Molecule: long non-coding RNA, 117383 nt
Filed under: Populus trichocarpa (black cottonwood)
Lineage: Eukaryota; Viridiplantae; Streptophyta; Magnoliopsida; Malpighiales; Salicaceae
Description: long non-coding RNA (PTRI_LNC000224)
Rfam family: MIR2912 microRNA precursor family (bases 98307-98461)
Source: RNAcentral
GGGAAUGAGAGAGAGAAAAAAGAAGAAGAAGAAGAAGAAAAUGGGGCUGAAAAACUUCACUGCCAUUUUUCAAAAUCAGACGACCCGUUUCCUUUCAAAGGGUAGCCAAAAAGUUCCCAUACACACCCAUUAGCGAGCUUCUUCUUUACCAAAAAAAAAACUAAAAAAAUUAGAUCAUCAUUUUCAAACCACCUUCUAGCUAGAACUGGAAACAAAAAAACAGUACAGACUCUCUCAUCAGCGCUGUCUCUUUACGCCACCCUCGAGUUACUACUAUCUUGCCCCACGUUGACUCAAGGAACCAUAGCCGCUGCUUCCACAGUACCGUUAACCUGAGGUGUUCAUUACCGGAAUCAUAACACAAGGCAGGCCAGGAGCCCACUCACAUCGUCCAUGUGCAUCUUCAGCGUGCUCGUUUUACAUUCUUGCCUCUGACCUCUCUGGACUUAGCUUUAUUCAAGCACUAGCCACUCAAAAAAAGAGUGAAGAUGAGGUACGGGAUAUCCAGUGGAGCUGUCUCCAUCAUAAUCACUCAAGGUAUAAAGCUUCUACCUAUUCUCAUGUAGUUGUAAUCUUUUACAUGUGCAUGCUACUGCAAAGGCAAGCUCCCGUUUUUCCUUUAUGUGCUAUGAAGUUAACAUAUAGUGUUGUAAGGUGUGUGGAUCGUCUUUUAAGUCCUAACCUGGUCACGGGUGUUCUUUCACUUGCUACGGGUACUGAAGGGGAUGGGGUGUGAUUUUUCCUUCAAGCGCAUAUGGUCUUGAAAACUUGAUUGCAUGUCCUAAGUUCAUGUUAAGACCUUGCCUAGUUAAUUAAGAAUGCUCUUACCCAAGGUUAAAGUUCAAGAACGGUAUGAGAAUGCUCUCUCAUUUUAUUUAGAUCGCUCAUUGAUUAUAAUAUUGUUGACUUAUUUUAUUAGAUUUUAAUGUAAUUUAAUUUCUUGACUAGAAUUAUCAGUAUAUAAUUAGUUAAAAAAUUAUUUAUGAUUUUAUGAUUUUACGAUCUGAGUUUAUUUUAUAUUUUUCGUGUCGUGUCAAAAAAUAUUUUUGACAACCUUGAACCCAGGAUCUUGACUUUAUUGAUCCACAAUCCCCAAACCAUAUUCGCAAACUAAAACUUUUUUUAUAUAGUUUAAAACAAGCACCUCGUGCAUGUAUUGAUUGCUUAGUGAAUUCUUAGUUUCUCAAUGGAUUUUAUAUUCGUAAAUUUUUAAGUGAACCCAGGUUAUAUUAUCAUGAUAACUAAAAUAAAAUGAGCUAAAUUUAUUUAUAAAAUGAGCACCACACGCUUAGAUUUAAAUUCCAUAGAAAGAUUAGCACCUGAUGACAAGUUAACUCGGGAAACAAAGGUAAUAACAAUGUUUUGAGAUUGAAUUCGACACUAGGUCUACUUAGUAGUUAGUACAUAUAAGUUGAAGGAUUGCUACCUUGACCAAUGAACUGAAAAUAUCUUUAAUUUAUAAUGAAUGGCAUACACCAUACAGUUUUACCAUAUCAACAGCAUGAAAAUUGAUAAUCGAUCCUUUAGGGAUAUUAUUCCAUUUCUUUAUUAAUUAUCAUAAAAACAUUUAUUAAAUGUGUUGUCCUCCAACUCUUUCCAUAAAAAGAAAGAGUUGUGAACCACAACAUACAUUUGAUCAUGGACAAAAGGUAAUCAAAUAGUUGCCUCCACUAGGACAAGUAAACGUGCUCGAUUUAUCAUCAAAAGCAUAACUAUAAGCUUGAGGACACUGCUGCUUGAAAGUCAUCGAAUAUUGGGUAGGAGGACAUGUUUCAGCUGUAUUAUGGUCUCCUGUGCAGCAGUACUGCGGCUGGUUAAAUGCCAAACACGCACUCUUGCAGGCAAUCACAGUCCCAUCUGAACCUUUCACUGCUAAACUAGGAUCACAAACAGCAUUCACGUUAGCUGCACAGCUUGUAGAAGGGCAGCCAGUAGAACCUCCUUGCGGGGUUACCGAAAUUGGGAGGUUAAAGCCAUCAACAAGGCUUAUAUCGUAAUAAUCUUUCCCACCAUCACCGCUUAGAGUAAAUUCUGCCAAGGAUGCUGGUGGGAUCGCACCGGCUCCAUUGCAUUCUAUGACACCAGAGGCACAGUCAGCAGUAGCACAAACAAACUUUCCCGAGGCAUCUGUAGAGCAUUGCGUUCUGGCCCACAAGCGGCCAGACCAAUUGACAGGGACACUCAGCGAAGAUGAAGCACCCGUUGCCAAUGUGAAGCCAGUUGAAGAUAAAGACGGACCGCCAGCAGCCGUUAGAGUUCCUGGCCAGACUGUGUAUGGACAGUUGUUUUUGAAGUCGAAAGUCACAGAUUGAGCUCCUGCAUGCGUGCAAGAUUUAUUUUUGUUGAUAUCAAUAAUUAAAUCUUGGUCGAUUCAAAGAUAACAUAAUUCAAUAUUUAAAAUCUUGUAUUAAUUCAGUUAUUUUUCUUUUAAAAAUAUAACAUAACCCAGGUUUUUUUUUAAUAUAUUUUUUUCUUUCUUGUUUUUUAUCUGGAAACUCUCCCUCCUGGAUAAGUUUAUUGGAUUCACGAAAUCCAUUGAAUAAUGAAAACUAGUUAAUAUUGCAUAUGCAAACAGAAAAUAUAUAUGUAGAAUAAUCAAAGUGAAUAAUAUGCAUAAUAGAGUUUUCCAUGCAAGAAUCUAAUAUAUGUAAUAUUGUAAAAGUACUUGCCAUAGAAGAAGAUGACGAGGGUGAAGGUAAUUAUAGCAAUGGGCAUACGACUCUCCAUUGCCGAGAUGCGUCGAAUUAAUUAAGACCUUUUCAGUAUCUUUCAAGAGAUUUGAGGUAAGCAAGAAACACUCUAUAUUUUAAAAAUAUUAUGAAAUGAGCAGACUUAAUAAAUAGUGUUAAAUUUGCAGACUAGUAAACAGAGGAACGUCCUGCUUCUGAUCACGUCAAAUGAAAGCAACACCCCAUUGAAUAUUGAAUGUAACUCUUGUCCAGCAGACGAGCCGUGAUGAAUGUGACACUCUUCAAAAUUAUCACACCGUGAUUAAUGCGAGAUUCUUCAAAAUUAAAGAAAAAAAAAUCACCACCUAUUAAUUAAAAAAUUUAGAAUUCAAAAAUAGACAUUGGUUAGAGAUUUAGGCAUUCGGGACAACUCGCUCUUCUGGCACCAGCACAGCACUUCGUCGAAAAGAAACCCAAUGAAAUAUACAAAUGCCCUUGGUUUGAACCACAAUAUAAAUGAAUUAUAUUCCACAAAACAUCGAAAGAUGUACUUUUAAAUUUAUUUUUUAAUAUUUUGGAUAAUAUAUUUAAAUUAAAAUUUUACUGUUAACUUCAAAUAUUCAUGUACAUGAGUUAAUAAUUGAUCUUAAAAAAAAAUUAUAUAUUUAUUUAAUAGCUCAGGACACGAAAACUUCUUUGCUCCGCCCUUGCUAAUAAUCAUCUUCCACACGAUGACAUUUGACAAUGAAUAUCAAAUUAUAAAAUUAUAAUUUAUUUAUAUUUAUAAAAAAAUAAAUUAUAAAAUUGGGUUUAUCACUUGAAGUGCGCGUAGACCGUCCAUGCAAUGACAUGCACUCAUCAACUAUUUUUAAUAUUAUUUAUAUUUAUUAAAUUAUAAAAUUAGAAAUAAACCACCCUGAUAACAAAAAAAAAAAAAAAACCCAAUGAAAUAUACAAAAGCCCUUAGUUUGAACCACAAGUGACUAACUAGAUAUCUCAAUUAACGAGAAAGCAGACUAGAAAACAGGCAAUUAGAGAAACGUCAAAUGAAACCAACACCCAAUUGAAUAUUGAAUGUAACAGUACCGGUCCCUUGUUUGAACCACAAGUGACUAACUAGAUAUCUCAAAUUCAAUUGAUGAGAAAGCAGACUAGUAAACAGCCAACAGUGGCAGUUCUCCUCAGGCAUUACACCGUGAUGAGUGCGAGACUCUUCAAAAUUAUCACACCGUGAUGAGUGCGAGACUCUUCAAAAUUGAUGAGAAAGCAGAGUAGUCCCUGGCUUCUGGAAUGAAUGUAACUCUGGAAUUAUUCCAAAUCCAUUUGUCUAAUGAAUGUUACUCUGGAAUUAUUCCAAAUCCACAAGUUUCAUAAUGUUGUGUUGAUUGUGAGACAUUAUUAUUUCAAAAACUGAAGGGGAUAAAAUUAUAAAAGAAUUUUAAUUUUAUAAAUUAUCUAAAAAAAAAAUAAUAAAAAUAAUAGGAACCAAAUUCGAAUGAAUAACAAAUUAAAAACGUACUUUGAAAUUUUGAAGUGCCACGUACGGAAAUCAAGAAAAGAAGAAAUAAGACAAAAAAAAAGAUUGUCGGUAACAAACUGAAAACUAUCUACAACACGUGCCGCCUCAUCCAUGACAGCAAUUGGUCAAUGAACAUCCCUGCACGCACCACUUGAUGUGUGUGGAAUUGCCCACGAACUAACCUGAACUCAUCAACUAUUUUUUUUAAUAUUAUUUAUAUUUAUUAAAUUAUAAAAUUGGAAAUAAACCACCUUGAUAAAAAAAAAAAAAAAAAAAACCCAAUGAAAAUAUACAAAUGUCCUUGGUUUGAACCACAAGUGACUAACAAGAUAUCUCAAUUAAUGAGAAAGCAGACUAGUAAACAGCCAAUUAGAGGAACGCCCUGCUUCUCACGUCUAAUGAAAGCAAUUGAAUGCAGGAAUAGGGCCAUACUCACAAGAAAAUUGAUUUACACCUGACAUAAUAUUUUGUAAGUGUAAAAGCUAUAUUUCUGUGUCUAUAAAUAUCAGGUAGAUUUUUUUAUGGAAAUAUCUUGUAAAUAAAUAUCAAAAUAUUUAAUAUCGCAAUUCAGAGCAUAUAUCUAAUUGUGUUUAAUAAUUUUUUUAUUUGAAUAAAUUUGUAUUUAACCAAAAGAUUAUCCAUGCCGAUAAAACGAUGUCUACCAAAUAUAUAUUUUUUUAUUUUGUAUUUUAAAAUAUUAUGAAAUGAGCAUCACUUUCCUAUAUUUAUUUAAUUAAUUAAAUUAAAUUAAAUGAAAAAAAUGUCUAUAAAAAAGAGAAAUUAAAAAAAAACAACAAAUAAAAAUACUCGAGAUAUCCCGAGUCAUUUUCAAAAUAAGUGAAAAAUCUUAUAGAAAGAAAAAAAAAAUCAAUGGAGCCCAAUAUCUAAUUAAAUAAAUAUUAAAGGAUGAAACUAAAAUAAACAUGAGCUUAAAAAAAGGGAAAAAACCAAGCAAACUCGGGUGAACCUCCUAAACCUGAGUUAAUCUCUAAAACUCCCAACUUAUGAAAUCCUAGACUUGAACUUGAUUAAGAAGCACAAUUCUCAACUAAUUUAAUGUUGAAUAAUGAAAACAGGAAAAAAAAUCAAUUUAAAAAAAAAAUUGCAAAAGUGAAAAAAAAGUUAGCAAUCAAAAGAAUGAGGAAUCAAAUCUGAUAGGAAAAAAAAACUUAUGGAGGAUGAUAUUGUAAAAAAAUAUCAAAUUAAAAAAUUAUCUCAAAUAAAAAAAUAGCAAUCAAAAGAAUAGGAACAAAAUUUGAAAGAUAAAAAAAUUAAAGGGGUAUGAAAUUGUCAAAGAAUUCUAAUUUAAUAAAUUAUUCCAAACAAAACAAAUAAUGAUCAAAAGAACAGCCACCAAAUCUUAAGGAAUAACAAAUUGAAGGCAUGCUUUGAAAUUUUGAAGGGGCACAAGCAAGAAUCAAUGAGAGAAAAAAGAAAAAGAGAAAGAAAAGGUUGUCGGCACCAAAUUGAACAACCAGUUCACUUGGUAUUACCAAACGGUCGACCGGACCAACUUAAAUUCCAGAUUUUGACAAUUUAAACCUGCUGAAUCUUGAACUGAUACUAAUCCUAUAUACAUGUAGAGUGAAGUGUUUGAGUCAUUUUAAUUGUGCUAUUAAGCUAAAAUAUAAAGAUUUACAAAAUCACUUAAAUGAACAAUUAAUUCUUAGUCUUCACUUGUUUUGCAUCUUGGAUAUCCUCAUUGAUUUUUUCAUGACAUCCUUCAUGCUUGUUGAUGUCAAAACUAAUUUUUGGGUUAUUCCCCACCAUUUUUUACCUUAUUCCUUUUCAAAAUAAAAAUAAAAUAAUAAAAUAAUAAUAGCAAGGAUACUAGCGACGUAGAAAAUGUUGGCUGGGGAAGGAUUUUAAAUAUAGAAAAAUUAAAGUUUUGGAGUCAAUUAAGGGCUGCAUUAAUGAAAUUUUCAGCCAAGAAUCAUUUUGAAAAAGGCAAUUAGGGACUUGAUUGAAGAAAUACAAAACCAAGGACCAAAUUGGAAAAGGCACGUGAAUAUAAGGGUUGAAAUUGACCGAAUCAGGGACCAGAUUGAAGAAAUUGGAAGUUUGUUGAUCAAUUGAAGGUCAAAAUGCACAAAUUCAAAACCAAGGAUCAAAGUGAAAAAGGCAACCAACUUCAAGGCUGACAUUUGAAUUUGAAAAAGAUGCAAUUGAAUUAAUUCUUAAAAUCAAAAUCUAAAUCGAUGACUUAAUUGAACAAAUAAAAAAUUGAGGACUGAUUUGGAGAAAAGGACUUCUUAGGCGCCAUUUUUAUUUAAAUGAAAUGGCGUGUUUUGUACGAAAACGAUGCCAUUUCAAGUAUUCUUAUUCCAAAAAGAAAAAAAAAAGACAAAGCUCAAAAUGGUGUCAUUUUGGAUGGCACUGUACAUCUUCUACUUCCCCUAGACGUGCUGUAGGCAGGGGAAAAAGGUUUUUUUCCCAUCCUUUACAGCACCUUUCUCUCUCCCUCCCUCCCUCUCUCUCUCUCUCUCUCUUUCUCUCUUUUUCUCUCUCUCCCACUUGCCUAAAAACCCUAACACAACCCACACCCCCUCAUGGCCUACCACCAUGAUGAAAGGGGCAGAGGGAACAAGCCUUACAGGCGACUCUGGGGCGGCUACACAGUGGACGCCCUAGCGCUACACUACCCCUUCAGCAUGACUAGACAGGGGUAGGGCAGCUCCCCCCCCCCGCCCUUUAUAAAUACCAUCCUUACCAGGAGGUUGGGGGGCGAAAGAAAGAAAGAAAGAAAGAAAAAGGAAAAAGGAACGAAACAAAAAAGAAAAGGAAAGAAAGAAAAACAAUGGAAAACAAAGGAAAGAAAGGGAAGAAAAAGAAAAACAAAGAAAAAAAAGGAAAGAAAACAAAGGAACACUCUUUGGCCUCUACUCGGAGAAGAAAAGGAACCUCUUCUCCUCAUCUCUCUUGCUAGUUAGUAGCAGCAGCCACCAUUCCUCCUAGUCGCCACCGCAACAAUGCCACCGUCAACAUCAGCAACCAUGCUACCCUCACUCCAAGUAAUCUUCUUCCCCUCUAUGUAACAUCUUCUUACCUGUUUUCCUUCUUCAUUUCAUUUGCAUGCAGAAUAUGAGCAAUUCACAUUCUGCAUAGUAACUAAUUACUGUGCUAAGCACAGUAACCAUUUAAUGGUUUUUUGGGCUGGGUCUAGCCUUAUAAAAAAAAAAAGAAUAUGUUGGGUCGACAUCGGCCCAACUCUUUUGGGCUGACCUCGACCCAAUUUCUUUUGGUUUGUAUUUUUACACUAUAAAUAUACAAAAUUCGUUAUUAAAAUACUUGUUUUUUCUCCAAAAUGUUGCAAAACAAAUAUAUAGAAAAAUAACAAAAAAACAUUUCUUGUUCUCAUGCAUAUGACCAAGUCUAAAAAAUAUAAGAAAUUUCAUAUUGUAUUUUCAUACAAAAUAAAAUUCAAAAAAAUAUGUGUUAGCAUGCAUUCUAGGCUUUAAUAACCAGUUUAUUAAAGCAAUCAGAACUACGCCUAUAUUUCAAAAAUACUAAAAAAAUAUUUUGUUUUCUUUUAGUAUCUAGGAUUAUAAACUUAUACAUAAGACGUAUUAUGGAUAUUAAAUAAAAAGGUAGUUCUUUUUUUUAUAUGUAUUGACAUUAGAACGGUUAGGUUUUUACCUGAUAAUAUAAGGAUCUCCUUACUAAGGAAGACUUUUCCUAAACCUUAGACUGGCCAACAAUUAGAAAACACAACAAUAUGUUAGUUAUAUUAGAUAAUUAAACAAUGCAGAUUACCUUAGGUAAGACGCAUUAAAGGUGCUAAUACCUCAUGUGAAACUUCAGAAAUUUAUAAUUUAGAUAUGUAGAUGACUUGGUGGAAACUCUGUAAAACCCCAACAAAAGACUUCACCAUGAUGAAUUGAAUAAUGAGAAAUAAAAUAUAAAUGGUGGUAAAUUGUAAACCCCCAAUCAAAUUUCAUGAUAUUAAUAAAAUUAUUGAUAAUUCAGAACCAAAAAUGGGAUGAUCUAGUUAAAAUAAAAUAAAAUGGAAUAGUAUUGAAUUAUUAGAAAAGAAAUUUUAGAGAGAGAUUUUUUUUGCAUGGUAUUUUAAAAGCGAGCAGCGAAAAGGCAUUUGGUUGAACGAAAAGAUACCUAAACUUGAUAUAAGGGUGUUUUAGUAAAUAUAGAUAGAUUUGCUAUAUAAAUUGCAAAAUUAUGCAGAAAUUAACUAGGAGUGCCGAAUGAAAGGAAAAGAGAGAGAGAGAGAGAGAGUACCUUGAGAGCAGAAAUUCAAACGGCCAUAUCUCUGAAUUGCACUGUUACAUUGGUUUGGUUUUGGGAUAUAUUAUACUUCUCACUACCCUCUAACAUCUAACCAUUCGGAUCUGAAUGUUCUAGUUCGAUGUGAGAGAUAUAGCCCUCACAACAUUUCAAGGAAAAUCUGCUUGCAGGUCAGUCAUGGUCUCUAGCAGUUUCCACCCUUGUCCACCGUUGGAUCCUGCUCAAGUUUGGAUAUGUGGGUCAUAUUGAUGAGCUCUUCAUUAUGAACGGUGGAGAUCAGGAUUAUAGACUCCGAUAAGAAGUUAGUCAUCGAAGAACAAUAUGUUGUCAAUUUUCAGGUCCGUUUUGGUUUUGUCUUGAUCUAGAAAGAUCUAACCGUUACAAUGCUAUGAUGUUUUGGUACGUGUUUCAUGUUAUAAUGGUGGAAAGUGUGGUGGCUUAAUUUGUGUUUAACCAUCAAAAGCAUGCUAUUUAUGAUUUAAAUUGAAGAAAAUCCUUAGUGUCUUUCCUUAGGCAUGUUCAGCUAUAUUAUUGAUAGUAGGAAAAGGGAGAUAUUGGUUGUCCAAUCUAUGAAUUUGGACUUAACAGUUUUAUCACCCACCUUUCAGUUGUGGUUAGGGAGCCAAAAUGAUAAAAUUCCAGAUUGGGUUCUUCACAAAGGUUGUAGGUAUAGAUGUUAUCUUUUAAACAAAACUGACCUCGUAUAAUUUGGAGUUAUAAAACUCCAUAUAUGUGUCGCGGGUGCGCGGCGUCGCGGCGAAAAUUCCACUUUUUAGAAUCUAGGAAGUGUGUAUGGUAUCUAUCUGGUAAAUGUGGGGAGACAAGAAAAUAGUCUUUUGUUGGUAGGAAAAUGGAAUGGGAGUCGCCACCUAGUAUUUUGGUCACUAGGAACCCUAACUGGUCUCAAAGAUUGGGUACGGGGACUGGUUGCGUAAAGGGAAGGUAUUAGCACCCCAAAUACGCCCUACCUAAAGUAAGCUGCAUUGUUUAUUUGUCUGAUAAAAUUCAAGGUCUCGUUGUGUUUCCUAGUUGUUGGUCCGUCUAUGGUUCAAGAAAAGUCCUCCUCAAUAAGGAGGUCCUUAUCUUAAGGGGUAAAACCUAAUCCUUCUAACGUCUAUGUAUGUUGGUCCGUCUAUGGUUCAAGAAAAGUCCUCCUCAAUAAGGAGGUCCUUAUCUUAUCGGGUAAAACCUAACCGUUCUAAUGUCUAUGUAAAAAAACCCAUAUUUUUAAUAUCAGGAAUACGUUUUACGUAUAAAUUCAUAAUCCCAAAUACUAAAAGAAGACAAAAAGAUUUUUUAAGAAUUUUUGAAAUAUUGGCCUAGUUCUCAUGGCUUGAAUAAACUGGUUAUUAAAGCCAAAAUGCAUGCUAAUACAUAUAUUGUUUUGAAAUUUCCUUUUGUUGUGUGAAAAUAUGAUGUUAGAAUAUUUAUAUAUAUAUAUUGGAGAGACUAGGCCGUAUGCAUGAAAACAAAACAUUUUUUUUUGUAAUUAUGUAUUUUUUGAUGUUUUGACGAAAAUCGGGUAUUUUAAUACCGGAUUUGUAUCUUUACCGUAUAAAAAUACAAACCGACAUUGAUCAAAAUACAGUAAUAAAAUUACAACAAAAUCGCAUAUUUUUUAAAUGAUUUUUGAAGAACCCUUUUUUAUUUUUUUAUUUUUUUUUUUUUAAAACAUGUAUACAUAUAUAAAUAAUACAAAACAAUAUAAUAUAUAAAUAUAUAAUAUUAAAUGGGUUGGGCUGGUCCGGCCCAACCAACUGGGCCGGACUCAGCCCAAAAAAUGUUGGGCCGAUUUCGGCCCAAAAUGGAUUGGGCCGAUCUCGGCCCAAAAAACUGAUAUUCUUCUCUGGGCCAGACCCGGCCCCGAAGACAGGGCCGGGCCAGGAUCUGCCUGGACCGGACCAAACGGGCGGGGGGAAUUAAUUCCCCCCCCACCCCUGCAUGCAGAACGCUACUCGUUCUGCAUGCAGAGAAGGAAAAAAAAUAAACACCAGAACAAGGGGGGAGGAAGAAUUACCUGGCGCGGAGGAGGCGAUGGCUUGCUGAUUGGAAUGCUUCGCUGGUGGUGCUGUGGUGGAGGCCGGUGGCGGUGUCAUGGCUCACGGACGGCGGCUCCAAGCGGCGGUGCUGCUAUUUCAAACGGUGGAGGGUGAGGUUACUGCUCUUCCCUUCUCCUCCGUAUGCCUUCCUCUUCUUUCGUUUUCGGUGGUUUCCUUUUAUCCUCCCGGUUUGUUGUCAAGUUUCCUACCCCGUUUCAAGCUUUUCCUUCCUCUCCGUUUGAGUUUAUCAGUGGUUCCCUUUUUAUUCGGUUCUGUUCUCUGUUUCUCUCUAUUUCCUCUUCUUUCGGUCCUCUCCCCUUUCUCCUCCCUUUCUUCUGUGUUCUUGGGUCUAUUUAUAGAGCCAAGAGGCGGGGCUUUUUAUGGCUGCACAUGGGGGGCAGGGGCUGCGGCGGUUGGUCGGCCAUUCGGGUGCAGCUGUCGAGACGUUACUCCCCUGUUUUCUGCAUGGCGCGCGGCGGGUGGUCGGCCAGCGGGCGUGGCUGGCGAGGUGCGGCUCCCUCGGUUUCCUGGCAAGGCAUGUGGUCAAGAGAGAGGCAGCACCGGUUUAAAGAAGAAAAACCAUUUUUCUUCCUUCUUCUGCAUCGCGUCCAGUGAGGAAGAAGAAAGGGGAACAGUGUCGUUCAAAACGACACCGUUCCGAUCUUCUUCUUCUUCUUUUUUUUUUUUUUUUUUGGCAUGAAACGGCGUCGUUUUAGGCAAAACGCGCCGUUUCAUUUAAGUCCAGCAAGACGCCAAAACGCGUCAAUUUGCAAAGCAGCCCUCAAUUAUCUUCUUUCCUUCAAUUGCAUCCCUGCCAAUUUCGGUCUCCGCCCCUAUAGUUGGCCGCGUUUUUCACUUUGGUCCUUGGCCUCUGAUUUAUGCAAUUGAGCCCUCAAUUGAUUAAUAAACUUUCAAUUUCUUCAAUUAGGCCCCUGAACCGAAUAAUUGCAGCCCCUCCAUUUACGCGCCUCUUCCAAUUUGGUCCCUGAUUUCGGAUUUUCUCAAUUAAGUCCCCAAUUGGCCCUUAAACUUCAAUAUUUAUGCAAUUAAGCCCCUGAUUUGACCUAAUAAAUUCCUAAAAAAUAUAUUUUGGCCCCAGAACUUAAAUUUCUUCUAAUUAAAACCCAAAUUGACUUAAAAAUCAAUUUUUCUUACAAUCAAAUCCCCUAUAAAUUCAUUUAAAAAUCCAAUUAAGUCCAUAAACAUCCAAAUUUGGGCUUUUCUCCUCAAAUUUCAAAAUUCCCCUCUCAAUAGGGCUCUCAUCCUUCAAGAAUAUACUGUCCUAACUCCAAUCUUUGUAUUUUUAACCUCAUUGACCAAUUUUCCAACCAUUUUCUGAGCACUCCCACCUCUUAUUAUUUUUUCUAAUUUCUUCCGGCUAUAUAUUUAUAUUUUUAUGGGGGGAACCCAAAAAUGGGUUACAACAGAUGCCCCCUCUUUAUAAUGCUUACGGAGCAGAGGUCUUGCGCAGUAAGUUUUAUAAAGAUAAACCCCAAAACGGAACUCCCGAAACUGAUCUGGUUGAAGCUUGAUUAAUCUGAAACUUGUCUUUUACAGCAAUCCUCCUCAACUUGGAAUCCCAUCUGGCGAUCUCCUUUAGUCAAUUUGGAAUCCCAUCUGGCGAUUCCUUUUUUAAUCAACAUGAAAAACGAGGUCCCAUCUGGCGACCUUCAAAUAGCGAAACAUGAGAUCCCUUCUGGCGAUCUCCUUUAAUCAAACUUGGAAUCCCAUCUGGCAAUUCCUUUUAUUCAAACGAAAUAUGAGGUCCCAUCUGGCGACCUCCAAAUAGCGAAAUACGAGAUCCCUUCUGGCGAUCUCCUUCAACUUGGAAUCCCAUCUGGCGAUUCCUUUUAUUCAACAGGUAAUACGAGGUCCCAUCUGGCGACCUCCAAAUAGCGAAACACGAGAUCCCUUCUGGCGAUCUCCUUUAUUCAACUUGGAAUCCCAUCUGGCGAUUCCUUUUAACCAACAUGUAAUACGAGGUCCCAUCUGGCGACCUUCAAAUAGCGAAACACGAGAUCCCUUCUGGCGAUCUCCUUUAAUCAACUUGGAAUCCCAUCUGGCGAUUCCUUCUAACCAACAUGUAAUACGAGGUCCCAUCUGGCGACCUUUAAAUAGCGAAACAUGAGAUCCCUUCUGGCGAUCUCCUUUAAUCAACUUGGAAUCCCAUCUGGCGAUUCCUUUCAACAUGAAAUAUGAGGUCCCAUCUGGCGACCUUCUAAUAGCGAAACACGAGAUCCCUUCUGGCGAUCUCCUUUAAUCAACUUGGAAUCCCAUCUGGCGAUUCCUUUCAACAUGAAAUGAGGUCCCAUCUGGCGACCUUCUAAUAGCGAAACACGAGAUCCCUUCUGGCGAUCUCCUUUAAUCAAUUUGGAAUCCCAUCUGGCGAUUCCUUAUUACCAAAGCUGAUAUCGAUGUCGUUCUUCCUGAUGGCAGGGUUCAAAACUUUUCAUUCUCUCUUUUUCUUGUUAUUCUCGUUGUUCCAGAAUCCACUAUGGUUCAAAACCGUGAUUCUUUGCUAUCAUCCUCUAUGAUUCUUUCUUCGUCUCCAAUCUUGUUGGAAAGCAUCAAGGUCUCCUCCUGUAACGAUCCAAAAAACAUAUAUGCAAUGCUUUAUGAUUAGAUGUCAUGCAUGCAUUCAUACCUGGUUUUGAAACAUAGGCCCCAUCACCUUCUUCGAGUUCAUGAGCCUCCUUCUUAACCUGAGCUUGCUUUUGAAGUCGCAUGCUGGAUUCAUCUCUCGUGUUGCCUCCUAUCAUAUUUUGGAGAAGAAAUCUCUGACUUUCUUUAAGUAGUCCUUUUCCCAAAAUGUAUGAUUUGUCAUUGCCUCUUUGUCAUGCUUUUGUCAAAUGCUUUAGCUUGGUUUUCAAAUCUAUAGGCUUCCGUACAUUUUAAACACGUAAAACUUUUCAUGAAAACAUCUCUUAUUGCCCCCAGUGUAGGGGUGUGAUUUUAGCCUAGGCUUUUGUAUAGAGAAGGAAUUCGUUCAGCCGAUGCUAAACUUUUUUAGGUGCGAUAACAACAAAACAUGCGCUAUUGGGAUUAAUGCAAAAAAAUGAUUGUUGUGAGAUCAAUGCAAAAAAAAAAAAAAAGUCAAUGGCCAAACUUUGCUUUAUUGAUUUAGGAGCGUACAUCAAACAUAAUAUCUUUUUACAGAGUCAGAAUUCACAGGUCGAGCUAGGUCUUCUCCAUCCAUUCUAGCCAACUUCAGCGCUCCUCCUGAGAAUGCCUUCUUUACUACGUAAGGACCCUCGUAAUUCGGUGCCCAUUUGCUUUGAUCGUCUCCAGGUAACGGCAAUAUUUUCUUCAAUACUAGAUCCCCUUCUUGAAACAACCGCGGUCUAACCUUCUUAUCAUAUGCCUUGGCCAUUCGUUUCUGGUAAAGUUGGUGAUGACAUAUUGCGGCCAUCCUUUUUUCACUGAUCAGGUUUAGUUGCUCAUAUCUCACUUUGGCCCACUCAACCUCUUCUAGCUCGGAAUCCAUUAAUACUCUUAACGAUGGGAUUUCUACUUCCAAAGGCAUCACUGCUUCCAUACCGUAUACCAAAGAAUAUGGGGUAGUCCCUGUCGAGGUCCUGACUGUAGUGCGGUAUGCGUGAAGUGCGAAUGACAACAUCUCAUGCCAAUCUCUAUAUGUGACUACCAUUUUCUGAAUAAUCUUCUUGAUGUUCUUGUUGGCGGCUUCUACUGCGCCAUUCAUCUUUGGUCGGUAUGGUGAAGAAUUCGAAUGCUUGAUUUUCCAUUUAGUACACAGCUCCGCUAUCAUUUUGCCAUUGAAAUUCUGUGCAUUAUCUGUCACUAUCUUUUCAGGAGGACCAUAUCGACAAAUCAAGUUCUUCUCUAUAAACCUCUUCACUACGUUCUGUGUUACGUGGGCAUAUGAACUAGCUUCUACCCAUUUUGUGAAGUAGUCAAUAGCUACGAGGAUGAAUCUAUGACCAUUGCUAGCUUUUGGGUUAACAGGCCCGAUCACGUCAAUUCCCCACAUUGCAAACGGCCAAGGGGAUAUUAGAUUAAAUAGAGGAGCUGGUGGCAUAUUGACCUUGUCACUGUAAACUUGACAUUUAUGACAUUUCCUGACAUAAUCGAUACAGUCUUUCUCUAGUGUCAUCCAAAAAUAACCAGCCCUUUGGAUUUUCCUCGCUAUCAUAUGCCCGCUAGCAUGGGUUGAGCAAAUCCCCUCAUGGACCUCCCGUAAUGCCUUUCUAGCAUCUGCCUCAUUCAAACACCUUAGUAGGGUCCCAUCAAAUGAUCUUUUGUACAAAAUCUCUCCAUCUAAAUAGAAGUCUAUAGCCAACCUUCUCAAAGUUUUCUUAUCCAUUUUGGAAGCUCCCACCGGAUAUUCGUGAUUUUGCACAAGGUUCUUGAUAUCAUAAUACCAAGGAUGUCCGUCUAUCUCUCCUUCAACUAAGCAACAAUAAGCUGGGUCAUUUCUAAUGUCAAUGUGUACCGGUUGUACCUUGCACUUGAGAUCAAUGGUAGUCAUAGCAGCUAACGUGGCCAAAGCAUCCGCAAAAUGGUUCCCCUCCCUUCCCAGAUGGGUGAAUCUAAUUCCUUCAAAUUCCUUUGCUAGCGUGGAUAGGUAUUCCUGGUACGGCCUCAACUUGUCCUCCUUGGUCUGCCAUUCCCCUUUAACCUGACAAAUAAUCAACAUUGAAUCUCUAUAUACAUCUAACUUCUUUAUCUUCAACUCUAAUGCCGCUUCUAAACCGAGGAUACAAGCUUCAUACUCAGCUGUGUUGUUGGUGCACUCGAAAUGUAGUUUAACCGAAACUGGAUAUUGUUUCUUAUUAGGAGAGAUUAUUACCGCACCGGCCCCGUUACCAUAUACAUUCACUGCACCAUCAAAAAACAUCGUCCACCAAUCUGUCUUCUCUUAUUCUUUCUCUAUUGACAAUAUAUCUUCAUCAGGGAAGUCAAAAUCCAAAGGUUCAUAAUCUUCAACAGCAUUAUCGGCCAGAUGGUCUGCAAUUGCACUUCCUUUUACGGCUUUCCUUGUCAUGUAUACUAUGUCAUAUUCUGCUAAUAGAACUUGCCACCUUGUAAUUCGACUUGAGAGAAAGGGCUUGUUACAAAUAUACCUCAGAGGAUCCACUUUUGAAAUUAACCAAGUGGUAUAGUAUAACAUAUAAUGUCGCAACCUCUUUGCAGCCCACACCAACGCACAACAAAGCCUUUCUAUCUCCGUGUAUCUAGACUCACAUUCAGUGAAUUUCUUACUUAAGUAAUAAAUAGCUCUUUCCUUCCUUCCGGUUUCAUCAUGCUGACCCAAUACACAUCCCAUGGCCGCUUCAGUCACUGUUAGAUACAAUACUAAAGGUUUUCCUGAUACCGGAGGCACCAGUAAAGGUGGAUUUUGUAAAUAAUGCUUGAUUUUAUUGAAUGCCUCCUCACACUCCUCAUUCAAGGUUCCAGGAUUCUUUUUCCUUAGUAGUCGGAAUAUUGGUUCACACGUCGUUGUUAACUGAGCUAUGAACCUAGCAAUGUAGUUUAAUCUUCCCAAGAAUCCUCUUACUUCUUUCUCCGUCUUAGGGGAUGACAUAGCUUGGAUGGCCUUCACUUUAUCUGGAUCCACCUCUAUACCUCUAUCACUUACCACAAAUCCUAACAGCUUACCCGAUUUAACUCCGAAUGAACAUUUUACAGGAUUGAGCCUUAAUUCAUACUUCCUCAGUCUCUCAAAUAACUUCCUCAAAACUUCAACAUGAUCCUCUUCCGGUCUGCAAUUGCACUUCCUUUUACGGCUUUCCUUGUCAUGUAUACUAUGUCAUAUUCUGCUAAUAGAACUUGCCAUUGCUCUUUGAUAGGUUGCUCCUGCAUUCUUCAAUCCAAAUGGCAUGACCUUAUAGCAGAAUGUUCCCCAAGGUGUGACAAAAGUUGUUUUCGUCUUAUCCUCCGGAGCCAUUUUUAUCUGGUUGUAUCCUGAAAAACCAUCCAUAAAGGAAUAUGUGGAACUCCGGGCAGCGUUGUCUACUAAAACAUCUAUGUGUGGUAGCGGAAAAUCAUCCUUGGGGCUAGCUUUAUUCAAAUUCCGAAAAUCCACGCACACUCUAAUCUUCCCCUCCUUCUUAGGCACCACAACAAUGUUAGAUACCCAUUGCGGAUAUCUAACUACUUCUAGAAAACCAGCAUCCCAUUGCUUCUCGAGUUCUGCCUUGACCUUGAUCCAGACAUCCGGGUGGGCCCUCCUCAGCUUCUGCUUGACUGGCUUACAACCUUCUUCCAACGGUAUCUUGUGUACUACAAUAUUUGUAUCCAAACCAGGCAUAUCUUCAUAGGACCAAGCAAAGACAUCUGAAUAUUCUUGUAAUAGGGUGAUCAUUUUGAUCCUUUGUUCAGAAGUAAUUAGGGUACCUAUUUUUAACUCUUUCUUAAGCUGAUCACUGCCCACAUUGAUGGUUUCGAGUUCCUCGACGAUAGGCUUCCAAGUCUGUUCCUGUUGUUCUACUAGCCUAGUGAAUUCACUGAUAUUGCUUUCAUCCCACUCUUCUUCUUCCAUAGCUAUCACAUGCUCGUUCAAGUUUGGCCAUUUAUUCUUGAUGCUAAAUGUAUGUGAUGUUGUGGGAGAUCCGCUUUCAGGAUUCCUGAAAGCGGGAAGUGUUUGGUGUAAAUGCAUAAAAAAAAGAAGGCAAUUUGUGAAAAGUGCAUGAUCUCACAAUUUAUUUAAAGAAAAGGUGGGCUCCAUGACAAACAUAAAAUCUAGCUGACAUCAUGAGCCUUGAUUGUCAACUAGAGGAAAUAAAAGCAAACAUAAGCAAUGACAAAAGCAUGUUAAGACAAACAAAAUUGGUUUACAUUUUGAAAACCACUGGAGCUUCUUGGGUCACCCAGUUCUGAAACUUCUCGUCUUGAGCUAACUUGCGCACAAAGGUCUUGGCGGAUACUUCUUCUAUGGUGUAGACCGUCAGUUGUGGGAGUGCUUCAUCUCCCUUUCUUGCUACUGUCUUCAUGUCAUCUCCUUCCACCUUGUUUUCCCCCAAGGUAUUUAUGCUCAUGUUUGACAGCUCUUGAUCAAGGCUUUCGGCUUCUUUAUCAUGUUACAUUAUGUAUGCAGCUUUUGGGAAUGACACGCUAAGGGGAGGGAUUUCCAGCUUUUCUUCAUCAGGCUCUCUUCCUUUAAUUCUAGCCAUCCUUCUUGCCCUUCUCCGACCAGCAGCCCACCGAUAAUCCUCUUGGUUAGGUUGGUACCCUAGCCCAAAUCUUUGAGCAGCACUUUUCAUCUUUGCCAGAUUAACCCCUUCUGGUAUCCUAAUAAUAAGGUUAUACUGAAAUGGGAUUCCGCGGUUCAAGAAGCAUAGACUUGCCAUCCUUGCUGCUUCUGAGAUCCUUGGCCUUCUUAGCACUGUGUUCUCCGACACCCAGUCGGUGUUCACAAUCUCAAAGGCAUGGAUAUUGUUACCCUUGCAAUCAUCCGCUUCGAUAAAAGGCACAGCUACAUUCUUUAUCAUGGAUACUGUGUCCUCGGCCUUGACAGUUACCAACAUCCCAUUCAUGAUAUACUUUAGGCAUUGGUGCAAUGACGAAGCUACUACCCCCGCUGCAUGAAUCCAAGGUCUUCCUAACAACAUACUAUAAGAAGGGUGGAUAUCCAUAACCUGAAGUGUUACUAGGAACAUUUGUGGUCCCACAUAUAGCUCCACUUCUAAAGUCCCAAUUAUUGGCCUAGGCGACCCAUCAUACGCUCUGGCCAUCAUAGUACUUGGCUUAACAUGGGAUUCAUCGAUCGGCAUUUCUUCUAGCAUGUGCUUUGGCAACACGUUAAGGGCCGAGCCAUUAUCAAUGAGUACUUUUCCUAUGAGGCAGUCCUUGCACCUAACCGUAAUGUAUAAAGGCUUGUUAUGUCCGGUACCUUCAGCAUCGAGCUCGUCAGCUGUGAAGUACAGGUAAUUCGUUGCAUGGAUCCUCCCCACUAGAUGCUCCAUGGUUUUGUGUUCGAUGUCUUGGGGUACAUAUGCCUCAUUCAAUACCUUUUGCAAGGCGUUUCGAUGCGGCUCAGAGCUGAGUAUCAAGGACAUAAGGGAGAUCCUAGCUGGAGUCUUCUUUAGUUGAUCCACUAUGCAAUAUUCGCUAUGCUUGAUCAACUUCAAGAAUUCAUUCGAUUCCUCUUCCGUUACUGGCUUGUUAACUUCUAGUGCUUUGUCCAGAUCUACCACUUCUUUGCCCUUUGACUUCCUCAACUCCUCGGGCGUAAAGCAACGACCACUCCUGGUCAAACCCCUUAUCUCAGGCUGGAACAAAGGAAGAGGAGCUCGGACGUUAGAGGCAUAACCAUAAUUAUAAGGCAUGGCAUUGUGAUUCCCUUUUGUGUAGGGCGGUUUAACCAAGAUUAGCCUUGGGGGCCCAUGAGCUGUUGGCUGGAUCCUGCAUACUCCUGUCAUUUCAUCUUGACCUUCCAUCAUACUCACCUCACCGCUGUUCUUCAUGGGUUCAAUCCUCAACUCCCCCAUUUUUAGCAUUUUUGCAAUCUUUUCGCAAAACUCGAUGCAAUCCUCAAUAUGAUGUCCAUCUCUUCCAUGGUAUUCACAAUAAUCAUAUCCCUCCGAAUGGCUCUCCACCUUUGUCUUUAGAAAUCCUGAUUGUACCAACAUGCCGUACAACCUCUUCAUGGACACCUUCGACACCUUGCAUUGAUUUCCCACUUCGAUCAUGCCUAUUCCACUACUAUUUGGGGCAUGCUUAGGCAAUGGGUUUGAAUUAACAUUGGGCUUGUCCUCAAAGGAUACCCAUCCCAUCUUAAUAAGCUCCAACAACCUCUUCUUGAAGGCGUAACAGGUUUCAAUCCCAUGCCCGGGAUUACCCCCAUGGUACUCGCAAGCCAACUCGGGCUUGUACCAAAUUGGGAAUGGUGGUUGUAGUGGUAGUGUAGGUAUAGGAGCUAUUUGUCCAAUGCUCAGAAGUUUGGCGUACAUGUCCUUCAAAGGCAUGGGUAAGGGUGGCAGUUGUUCUGAAGUGUAUUUUAUAUGGGGUCUUUGGUAGUGAUUUUGGUAGUUCGAUUGGUUAUUUGUUCGAUUAGGGGAAAAAGGUUGGUUAAAGUUUAUGCGUGAGAAUUGAGAGGUAGGUACUUGAGGAUUAUGAAAAUCUACUCUCUUGCCCUUAUACCCACCUUCCAGAUUGUUAACAUCGCCUUCUCUCUUUCUUCCAAUAAAACCCUUCUUCUCCACUGGCAUCGCUAUUCGCCCAGCUUUAAUCCCUUGUUCUAUCCUUUCAGCUAUGCGUACCGCAUCAUAGAAGUGUUGAGAGGAGCUACCCAUUAGGUGCUCAUAAUAAGGUGCUUUGAAGGUAUUGGCAAACAAGCUCACCAUCUCUGUUUCUAUCAAAGGGGGUUGGACAUGCAUUGCUUCAUCCCUCCAUCUUUGCGCAUAAGCCCUUACUGACUCCUGGCUCCUUUUCUCCAUUGUCAUUAGACUUGUUCGAUCAGGAGCGAUUUCCAUGUUAAACUUGUACUGUUUGAGGAAAGCCUCCACCAAGUCUCUCCAGCUCUUGAUCCUGAUGCUGUCUAACCUCAUAUACCAGCUUAAAGCGGAUCCUGCUAGGCUAUCUUGAAAGAAAUAGAUUAGCAAUUUAUCAUCACGGAUUACUUCCGCCAUUUUGUUGCAGUAGGAUCGAAGGUGAGUGUUUGGGCAUUCCAAACCGGUAUACUUAACGAACUCUGGUAUUCGAAAAUCUUUUGGUACCACGAUGUUUGGUACCAAACAUACUUCGGCUGCUCUCAUAGGGUCAAACCAAUCAUUACCCUCAACUGCCCUUAAUCUUUCUUCUAGUGCAAAUAGCUUGUCUUGGUCCAUCACACUGGGAGACCUAUUAUCCGGGACUCCCUCCGUUGUUAAGUCCACAGUGAUUGGAGCGUGAGUUGGCUGGAUAGGGGUGAUAGGCACGAAAUGUUGUUCAUUGGCCGAGUUUGCCCCCUGGUUUUGGGAUACUUGAGGGACGUACGCUGCUGGCGCUCCUUCAGGUUGUUGUGCUGAUGUUCCCUCCCCAUUCUUAGCUCUUAGAAGCUGCUCAAGUAAAUCAGUUAACCGAGAAACUUCAUUUUUUACGGACUCCAACUCGGUCUGAUAAUGUGACUCUAAGUGAGCUCUCUCUUCGUUCUCCAUUCUUGCUCUAGACCGGGUGUUGUGGACCUUGGAAGUGGGACCUAUGUUUCACGAUCUGGCGCAUAUGAUAAAUUAAACAAAUGCGUGAUGAAAAUAUGAUGCUCGUGCAAAUGUAUAUUUUAAAAUUGAUUCAUGACUUUCGUAAUCCUUUAGGCAAGAUUUCUGAGUUGACCCGAUUGCUGUAAAGGGGGUUUGCCAAGUUCUUUAUCAUAGUAGCUUACCAAAACACACUUAGAAAGAAAGAUAGGUCAUAGCCUUCUUAUAAAUAGAAGUUGCUCAUACAGUGAUAACAGAACAAGGGCGUUAUACAUUGCUAUCCUUAAAAGGCAUUUCCUCUAUUAGCUAAGUCCCCAAUAAAACAGGUGAUGGCCGCCAUAUAUUCUCGAUACUUUGAAGCAUCAUUUCCAACUUGAGUAGCUUGUCGUUGCAACCUUUCCGCAUAACGGGCUGCUUGCUCGACCUGCUUCGUUAUAUGCCUUAUCUUAUCAUGGAACACAGUGUUAUCUGCAAUUAUCACUUCGUUGCUGGCUCCUAGGGCUUCAUUACUUCUUUCUAACACUCGAACCAUAUCAUCCGACCGGGCCAACUUAUCCCUUACCCUCUGCAGUUCUUCCUUUUCGAUAUCCAGCUCGGCUAUUUUGGAGUUAAUUUGGACUGUAAAGCUGUCCAUGUAACCCUGACAUUCUUGACGCUCUUGCUUAGCCUUACUGAGCUCCUCUUCCAUCUCAAAGUAAUGGCUUCUCAACUCCCUCAACUCUUCUACUUGUAUCUCGAUCUCAGAUUGUAAAGCCAUCAUUCUUCCUUUCGAAGACUCAGCUCUUUUCUGGUAAUCUCUCAUAUCAGACUCGGCGGCCUUUCUUGCACUUCUCUCUUCCUCAAGCUGCACCAUAUAUUGAGCUCUAAUCCUUCUUUCCUCUUCUAUGUCGAGCUGGGCUAGCUGAUUCUUCUCCUUUUCAACUUCUAUUUUCUUUGAAAGAAUGCUCUUUCCCUUCUUCAAGGAAUCCAUCACCUCUUUGUCAACAUUCAUCUUGCCUUUUGUUGAUCUUUUAACCCUUGCCAACUCUUUUUCUGCGAGCCCAUUCUUCUUAACCAGCUCAUCAUAUUCGGUCAUUCGUUUCUUUAGCUCAGCCUGGACCCCUUUUGCUAUUUCUUCCGCUACCUCGGCCCUUUUCUGCCAUUCUUUCAAUGAUGUUAAUUGCUUAUCCUGUUUUUCCAACUGCUGGUUCAAGAAAACCCUCAUCGUGUUUUCUUCCUCUAACUGACUUUCUAAUAACUGUUGUUGCCCUUUACUUUUACUGAGAUCGAUUACACAUCGUUCUAGCUGCUUUCUUAACUCCUCCUCAUUAUCAGUCCUUUUCCUUUUUUGUUGCUCUAUUGUGGAUUCUGGAUGUUUUGGUAUUGAGAAAACCUUCACUUCAGAAAGCUCUUCAUUCCUCCAAACUGCAUAAUUCUGGCUAAAUGAUGUUUCAAACGUGCUCCCUUCUUCCCUUUUUAUCAACAGGGGUCUUUCCCAAUCUUGUCGGAUAAGCUCCAUCUCUUCGAGGAAGGGUUGGUGCUUGAAUAGACCGACGAAAUCAGCUAAACCCAGAGUUCUUGGUACGUACUGCAUUCCCCCUAACUGCCUUGUUACCAAGGCGGGCGCGUAACUGAUGUACCCGGUUACACCAAUCAAAGGAACCCAUAUCCUGCUUCCGCAACUCAUUGUGCAGAUGGCGUUGUUCAUCCAUGGUGCUUUCCAUUUAUCUAUCCAUGCUUUCUCAUCCCAAUUCUUCCAAGUCUCAUCCAUGGUAACCUUUAACGGUCGCAGGUCAAACCACCAAAAGUUGUUAAAAAUGUCCCUUGGUGUUUCGAUAUGACUGAUAAUCCAUAAAUACAACAUAGGGGCGCAACACCUCAUGGCUCCUUUUCCAUGCAUUCUGCAGUGGUUGAGUGAUAACAUGGUUUCUCCCAAAAUGGCUGAUGAGGGAUUGAUCCGGUCACGUUCGUAUUCUAUGAAGACACUUGCUGCUUCCAAACUGAUGACUCCGAUUUCGGAAGGGAACAAUACUAGCCCAAAAAUGGCGAAGGCCACCAACCUGUAUCGUUCUUCUCCUAACUUGCCUUCUUCAGCAUUUUUCUUCAUUCGGGCUUCUAUGACCUUCCAUUUGAAACCCCCCUCGGCGACUCUACAUUGACUGAUCUUUCCCAAGCCUAAUAAACUGACUACCUCCGAAGCUGUGUCUUCAAAUCUUCGCCUUAGAUAGAUCCUGUGGCUGUUGUUUGGAAAAUCUAGAAUCCUUUCAUAUUCCUCCAAAGUCGGUGUCAUAUCAAUGUUCCCAAAGGUAAAACUCCGAUAACUAGGAUCCCAAAAAUUCAGUAGGGCUUUGAUUGCUGUUGCUUGUACGGGUAACCUCAUUAGUUGUGCAAUUCUCCCAUAUCGCCUUUCAAAAAUAGUCUCAUCAAUGUAUUCCAUAAUAGACACUAACUUCCCCAAGUCAUUUACCAUGUGAUUUAUCUUAGUAAUGCAAGGCAACCUACUAGCAUCGAUUCUUGGGCAUUUUCCUUCAGCUACUUGAGUCAACUCAGAUUCUUGCCCAAACUCUUGGAAAGAUAGGUACUUAGUCAUGAUUUGGUUCAAAACCUGGAUUGAUGAAUUUAGCAUUAUUAAUCAUGAUGCAAAUGAACGUAAGAUAGAUAUCUUAAGGACAAGUUCUAUUUAAUAGGUGAGAAUGGGUAGGUUUUCUAUCUGGUCUUUAAAAGGGUCUCAUAUCUGCCCAGUGACGUUCUUCGUAAAGACAGUAUGGGGGCGUUGCAAGGAACAGUUAAGGUAAGUAUACCCACCAUUACCAAGCAGGCACUCAGAUAUGAGUUGGGUGUUUCACGCAUCUGAACCCUGACCGAUAGUCAUAGGGCAAAUCGCUAAUCCCCCACCUAACUUAAAGCUUUGUGUGUGCUUCUCAAAAAGUAUGUGAUGCAUGUGACAGUUUUAUAAGAUGCAUGAGACAGUUGUAUACAAAUGCAUGAACAAAAUGUGUAAAAAUAUUUAAAGCAUAUAAGCAGAUAACAAAAGGAAAGGUAUAUUAAAAAACACACGAAAACAAAAACAAUUCAGACAAAAACAAAGCUUAGUCCACAAGAAUCCCCAGUGGAGUCGCCAUUCUGUCGCGGGUGCGCGGUGUCGCGGCGAAAAUUCCACUUUUUAGAAUCUAGGAAGUGUGUAUGGUAUCUAUCUGGUAAAUGUGGGGAGACAAGAAAAUAGUCUUUUGUUGGUAGGAAAAUGGAAUGGGAGUCGCCACCUAGUAUUUUGGUCACUAGGAACCCUAACUGGUCUCAAAGAUUGGGUACGGGGACUGGUUGCGUAAAGGGAAGGUAUUAGCACCCCAAAUACGCCCUACCUAAAGUAAGCUGCAUUGUUUAUUUGUCUGAUAAAAUUCAAGGUCUCGUUGUGUUUCCUAGUUGUUGGUCCGUCUAUGGUUCAAGAAAAGUCCUCCUCAAUAAGGAGGUCCUUAUCUUAAGGGGUAAAACCUAAUCCUUCUAACGUCUAUGUAUGUUGGUCCGUCUAUGGUUCAAGAAAAGUCCUCCUCAAUAAGGAGGUCCUUAUCUUAUCGGGUAAAACCUAACCGUUCUAAUGUCUAUGUAAAAAAACCCAUAUUUUUAAUAUCAGGAAUACGUUUUACGUAUAAAUUCGUAAUCCCAAAUACUAAAAGAAGACAAAAAGAUUUUUUAAGAAUUUUUGAAAUAUUGGCCUAGUUCUCAUGGCUUGAAUAAACUGGUUAUUAAAGCCAAAAUGCAUGCUAAUACAUAUAUUGUUUUGAAAUUUCCUUUUGUUGUGUGAAAAUAUGAUGUUAGAAUAUUUAUAUAUAUAUAUUGGAGAGACUAGGCCGUAUGCAUGAAAACAAAACAUUUUUUUUUGUAAUUAUGUAUUUUUUGAUGUUUUGACGAAAAUCGGGUAUUUUAAUACCGGAUUUGUAUCUUUACCGUAUAAAAAUACAAACCGACAUUGAUCAAAAUACAGUAAUAAAAUUACAACAAAAUCGCAUAUUUUUUAAAUGAUUUUUGAAGAACCCUUUUUUAUUUUUUUGUUUUUUUUUUUUUUAAAACAUGUAUACAUAUAUAAAUAAUACAAAACAAUAUAAUAUAUAAAUAUAUAAUAUUAAAUGGGUUGGGCUGGUCCGGCCCAACCAACUGGGCCGGACUCAGCCCAAAAAAUGUUGGGCCGAUUUCGGCCCAAAAUGGAUUGGGCCGAUCUCGGCCCAAAAAACUGAUAUUCUUCUCUGGGCCAGAACAAGCAGAUAACAAAAGGAAAGGUAUAUUAAAAAACACACGAAAACAAAAACAAUUCAGACAGGGCCGGGCCAGGAUCUGCCUGCAUGCAGAACGCUACUCGUUCUGCAUGCAGAGAAGGAAAAAAAAUAAACACCAGAACAAGGGGGGAGGAAGAAUUACCUGGCGCGGAGGAGGCGAUGGCUUGCUGAUUGGAAUGCUUCGCUGGUGGUGCUGUGGUGGAGGCCGGUGGCGGUGUCGUGGCUCACGGACGGCGGCUCCAAGCGGCGGUGCUGCUAUUUCAAACGGUGGAGGGUGAGGUUACUGCUCUUCCCUUCUCCUCCGUAUGCCUUCCUCUUCUUUCGUUUUCGGUGGUUUCCUUUUAUCCUCCCGGUUUGUUGUCAAGUUUCCUACCCCGUUUCAAGCUUUUCCUUCCUCUCCGUUUGAGUUUAUCAGUGGUUCCCUUUUUAUUCGGUUCUGUUCUCUGUUUCUCUCUAUUUCCUCUUCUUUCGGUCCUCUCCCCUUUCUCCUCCCUUUCUUCUGUGUUCUUGGGUCUAUUUAUAGAGCCAAGAGGCGGGGCUUUUUAUGGCUGCACAUGGGGGGCAGGGGCUGCGGCGGUUGGUCGGCCAUUCGGGUGCAGCUGUCGAGACGUUACUCCCCUGUUUUCUGCAUGGCGCGCGGCGGGUGGUCGGCCAGCGGGCGUGGCUGGCGAGGUGCGGCUCCCUCGGUUUCCUGGCAAGGCAUGCGGUCAAGAGAGAGGCAGCACACGUGAAGAAGAAAAACCCACCAUUUUGCUUUCUUCCCCUGCUGCACGUCCAUGGGAGGAAGAAAGAGGAACAGUGUCGUUCAAAACGACACCGUUCCGAUCUUCUUCUUCUUCUUUUUUUUUUUUUUGGCAUGAAACGGCGUCGUUUUAGGCAAAACGCGCCGUUUCAUUUAAGUCCAGCAAGACGCCAAAACGCGUCAAUUUGCAAAGCAGCCCUCAAUUAUCUUCUUUCCUUCAAUUGCAUCCCUGCCAAUUUCGGUCUUCGCCCCUAUAGUUGGCCGCGUUUUUCACAUUGGUCCUUGGCCUCUGAUUUAUGCAAUUGAGCCCUCAAUUGAUUAAUAAACUUUCAAUUUCUUCAAUUAGGCCCCUGAACCGAAUAAUUGCAGCCCCUCCAUUUACGCGCCUCUUCCAAUUUGGUCCCUGAUUUCGGAUUUUCUCAAUUAAGUCCCCAAUUGGCCCUUAAACUUCAAUAUUUAUGCAAUUAAGCCCCUGAUUUGACCUAAUAAAUUCCUAAAAAAUAUAUUUUGGCCCCAGAACUUAAAUUUCUUCUAAUUAAAACCCAAAUUGACUUAAAAAUCAAUUUUUCUUACAAUCAAAUCCCCUAUAAAUUCAUUUAAAAAUCCAAUUAAGUCCAUAAACAUCCAAAUUUGGGCUUUUCUCCUCAAAUUUCAAAAUUCCCCUCUCAAUAGGGCUCUCAUCCUUCAAGAAUAUACUGUCCUAACUCCAAUCUUUGUAUUUUUAACCUCAUUGACCAAUUUUCCAACCAUUUUCUGAGCACUCCCACCUCUUAUUAUUUUUUAUAAUUUCUUCCGGCUAUAUAUUUAUAUUUUUAUGGGGGGAACCCAAAAAUGGGUUACAACAAUAUGGACUAAAAAUGAAAGAAGGGUCGAACUGUCUUGUACUUGACAGAUUUGGUUGAGUAUUAUAACAGAUAAUUUCGGGGGUGUUAAGGGCAGAAUUGGUCUUCCGAUCCUUUAGUAGAGUUGUAGAACCGUGUCUUACCUUUCCAACAAGCCAAACCACACUUAAAACUGAAUUCUAUAACUUUACUUACGAAUUAAUGAGGUAGUUGAAGAAAAUAAUCAGAAAAUGAAAUCAAAACAUGGUGAUGAAUUAAUUUGAAUGAGAUGGCAAUAGUAUGAGAACACACAUUGUGAUAAAAUUAGAAGAGGGUACUAAUUGUAUCUCUUGAUUCUCAAACAGAAGAGAUGCCUGGAGUAGGGUCGUCAGGAGUUGAUGUGACUCGAUCGGUUGGGGAAAUAGGUAGGUGCAUCACACCUUGUCUUUUCAUUUUGUGUAAACUCAUUGAUAAAUUUCAAAAUUUACUGUUUUAUUGCUUUGAUAAAUAUUGGAUUGAAUAUAAGUACCUUGUAUAUAUUGAUGUGUAUCAACUAGUUAUUAUAUAAUUGGAAUGGAUACGAGUACCUUACAUACAUUGAUAUGUAUCAAACUUGUGAUGAUAUUAUUAGAAUGAAUAAGAGUACCUUGCGUACAACGGUAUAGAUCAAUUAGUUAAGAUAAUGUUUGAAUGAAUAUGUACACCUUGCGUAGAUUGGUAUGGAUCAAGAUCGCUAGGAUAAUGUUUGAACGAACAUGAAUACCUUGUGUACAUUGUUAUGUAUCAAAUUAAUUAUGUUAUUAUUAGAAUGAAUAUGAUUACCUUGCAUACAUUGAUAGGUAUUGAAUUAGCCAUGAUAACUUUGGAAUAGAUGUUAUUAUCUUACAUACUUCAGUAUGGAAUAUGUAUACACAAUGACUAGGAGAUUGGAGGAGAAAUGAUAGAUAAUUGGUCAUUGUAGUGUCGGUGGCUAAUGAUACGUUAUGAUGCUACUUAGCACCAUGAUGAGGGUGGUUAAGGGCAUAAAUUGAUGCUUGGCACUGUGAUGAGGGUGACCAAGGUUAUGUGAAUGAUGCUUAAUGAUCGUAGUGUUUGUUACAAUGUAUAUGAUGUUAAUAAGAAGAAUAAAAGGGAAUCGGUACAAAUAGAAGGUUGAGAAGACAUUGAUUAGCUAUCUAGGUUUGGAUAGCUAAUGGUAUCGAUGAGGUUCCAUUGGUACCGACAUUUUAGAUGACAUUAAUUAGCUAUCCAGGUUUGGAUAGCUAAUUGUAUUGAUGAGGUUCCAUUGGUACCGACAUUUCAGAUGACAUUGAUUAACUAUCCGGGUUUGGAUAGCUAAUGGUAUCGAUGGGGUUCCAUUGGUGUCAGCGUUCCUUAAAUUGAUUAGUCAAUCCCGAGUAAUUAGGUGACUAAUGAUGUUAGUAAAGAUUUAUAACAUCGGCAUGGUUACUCCUGGUUAAGGGAAAAAAAUAAGUUGAUUAAUUAUUCUAGGUCGUGAAUAGUUAAUUAUAUCAAUCGGUCCUAUUGGUAUCGACAACCAUUUCUGGUGUAAUUAGCUACUCCAGGUAAGGAGGCUAAUGAUGGCAAGGGUUCUUGACAUUGACAACUUUGAUGGUAAACCAGAUAUGAAUAAGAAUUGAUUAACUAUUUUAGGGUAGAAAUAAUUAAUGAUAUCAAUUAGUUGUAUUGAUAUCGACACUUAAAUGGAAUUGAUUUGUCUAACCCGAUAUUGGGAGACUAAUGAUACUAAUGAGAUUCAAUAGUAUCGGCAAUUACCUUCCGAAAAAUGAAAGAGAAAAUAUUGAUUAGUUAUUCCAAAAGAAUGAGAUAAGCUAAUGAUACCAAGAGAGGAAUAUCUUGAUAUCAAGUGAGAAUUGAUUCAUAAGGAGAUGGUGUUCGAAACUAUUGAGUUGUAUUGAGAUUUCCAAGAUGAAAUUAUUUUCGGCAAAUGGGAUAGGAUAUUAGAUGGAUAUUGGUAAUAGAUGGAAAAUAUAUGUUGUAAAAGUGGUCUAUGCCUAAUUUUAUGUAUCAAAAGAAAUUCUAUAUAAAUGAUUACAUGUCAUUGUUAUUGUUUGUUACUACCUUUUUAUAUUUAUAUGUACAUGUUAAUUUUUAUUUCCAGGUUCAUUAGGGUCGCGUCAAGAGUUAUCUUAGUUUAGUUACCUUUUGCUUUCGGCCAUGUAAUGAUUUGUAAAUUAAGAGACUUCUCUCCUAAAACUUGAAAUGUAAUAUUAACCCGUACAUUUGGAUGUAUGACUUUAAUCUAAUGUUUGUAAUUCUAAGUACCUAUUUAACCAUGCAUGUUUAUAGUUGUAAUCGAAUCCUUCACUUGAAUAACAUUUUAUGAUGUUAUUAUGCAAGAUAUAGUUUAUAUGAUGUAACAAUUGAAUUAUGCAUUGUUAUUUUGUGAACUUGAAUUGUAUAAUGUUAUUGAAUAAGAUGUGUUGUGUUGGUGAUGAUGAGUUGAGUUAAGAUCCAGGAUGAUUGGAUCAGAUUGUGAAAUGAAAUUGGAAGUGUAAUAUGAAUUUGUCGAUAACUUGGGACCUCCCUGUAUAGAGGAGACUCUGCUAAAAUUUUGGUAGAAAUUUUGAUGGAACUUGUAUAUAAAAAUAACAAUGAUGAAAAAAAAUCAGGGUUGUUACACCUUCUCUUCACGCAACCAGUCCCCAUGUCAGAUCUCUGAGACCAGUUAGGGUUCCUAGUGAUCAAAAUACUAUGUGGCAACUCUCAUUCCCUCUUUCCACUAAUAAAGGACAAGAAUUCCUUGUCUUUCCCAUUUCCCAACCCGAGAGGAUGUUAGCCGUGAUGUCACACACGUGCGACAACCAUCAACAACUCUUGUGAGCCACCAAGAAUCUCCAUUGUGUAUAUAACAACCAACCACAUAACUCAGGAAGCUCUGACUAGUACUAGCAACUUCAAACUAACCACUUACCCUCUCCCAUGGUGACUGUAGCACCUAUAAGCAGUAGAGAGAAGAAUUAAAGAGAAAGAGGAAUUACAAUAGAAAUAGAACAAAGUAGAAAUUUCAACUCAGCCGAUCUUCUUUCUCUGGUUGUUGUGAGCCUCACCAUUGGGGUUAGCAGGAAGAGGAAGGACUGAUCUACCAUACUGAGGUCCUCACACGAUUUGAGGUCUCGUCAGCAUGACGCGCCAACAUUGGCAGUUCUCUUCUAGGGCGUGCAACAGACACAAUGCCAUUGAUCAACCUACUUCCAAUAGAUUCCAAACAUCUUUAGGCAUUCUCAAAGGUGAAAUAUUAAUGUUAAGAUUGAAAUUUGUUAAUGUUGUUUGGUUUUAUGAACAUAAUUUUGAGGUGAUGAGAAAGUUGUUUGAUUUGGAGUUUUGUUAUAAAUAUAAUAUGAUAUAAGUAUCAUGUGAAAAUAAUAAAUGAGCAUUAUUGAUUUCGAUUGUUUGAUUAAAAAAUAAUUGAAAAGUAUGAAUUGUGAUUUUGAAGAUAUGAUAGACAACAUGUACAUUUUUUUAUAAAAGAAAUGUUGAUUAGAAAUUGUUUGUUAAUUGGCUAUGUCCAUAUAAAAAAUAAAAAACAUGCAAAAUGUGUGAGAUAUUUGUUUUUGGAAGUUAGUUGGAUGAAUAUUAUAAGAUGGUUGAAUAUAACCAUAAAAUUUAAAAUUUGAGAAUUUUUAGAUCAUUGUGAAAAUUCUUGCAAUGAAUAUAUAUGGACCGAUUAUUUUUAUAAAAAUAACGAUUGAUUAAUUAACCCAAGAUUGUAUGGUCUAACCUUAGGCUUUAUCUUUCAGGUGUUGAUUAAUAAAGAAAAAGGAAAAGAAAAAGAAAAAGAAAAAGAAAAUUGUCCUUGUAUUGAUUGUUCUUAUUAAUUGAUUAAUUAAUCCAAGAUGGAAUGGUCUUCUACUAGGUCCUCUCUUUCAGAUGUCGGUUAUCGAGUAACAAGAUCAAUUAAUAUUUGAUCGAUGAAUUAACUGUUUCUAUUAAUUACUAAUUGACCCAUGAUGAUAUGAUCUAAUAUUGGGUUAUGUUCUUCUAGUGUCGAUAAGUGAAUAAUAGCACCAAUUAAUACAUGAUCUCUAGGAUAUUAACCAAUAAAAUUAAGUAGCCCAAGAUGGAAUGGUCUAAUAGCGGGCCCUGUUCUUUGAUUGCUACAUAAUGAAUAAUAUGAAUUUUUCAACCCGCAAUAAGCCUCAUAUAUAGGUGUGCUCAUCAUUUGCAAAUAACUGAGGAUAGAAAGGUCCAAUAGUAGAACUUGUCCUUUAAAUGUUUUCUAAUAGAUAAUAAGAACUAUACAUCGAAUAACAUACAUACUAGUUUAGGUGAACCAAAAACAAAACACAUUUAUCAUUAAAAACAAACAACAAUGCAGCUUACCUUGAGUAGGAUGUAUAGGGUUAUGUCUAUAUUACCUAAUACAUAACCAACCCCUUACCUAGAACUUCUAAAGAUCAGUUAGGAUUUCUAGUUACUAUAAAUCUAGGUGACGACUUUUUUUCACAUAGCUCGCCUCGAUGUUCACAUGCAACACAAGUUUGAGCAAGUGAACCGAGUUACAUGUUGACCCUUUAAGUCACUCGAGUUUGACUGGAUCAUUGUCCACUUCUGUUCAGAAGAAAAUCAAAACAAAACAAGGUUUUGGGUCAACGAAUCAGGAAUGCAUCCUGUUGGACUAGACCAAGUUUAAUGACUAUGACUUACAUAACUUCUCGUAGAAAUUGCACUUGGAUCUAAGUUUUUUGAGGUAAAAAAAUAUUAUAAAAAUAGCACAAUUAAUUAGUUGCAUUGUUAGGAACGAUUCAACCAUAUAAAUUACGUUGUUCUCAACCAUACAAUUCAAUAUGCUACACUAUUAAGAAUAUCGUAAACCUUGUCAUAAUCCAUUUUUUGGUUAUUCCCAAAAUUCACUUUUUCUCUUCCAAAAAAUGAAACAAAAUAUUAAAAAAAAAAUCUAAAAAAUAAUAACAGUGAGAAGAGGCUGUCAGAGCGCCCUGAAAAUAGCUAAAAAUUGGUUGAGGAGGCUCAAAAAUUCAAAGAUUAAAAUUUGACAGUAUAUUUUACAGAUGAAGAGCCCUGUUGACAAAGAAAAAUUCAAUUUGAGGAAAAAGUCCAAAAUCAGAUGUUUAUGGACUCAAUUAAAUUUUAUUGGAGGUUUAAUUGAAUUUAUAUAGGGUUUGAUUACAAGAAAAAAUUAUUUAAAGUCAAUUUAGGCUUUAAUUGGAGGAAAUUAAGGUUCUGGGUCAAAAUACAAUUUUUUAGAGUUGAUUUGGUCAAAUCAGGGGCUUAAUUGAAUAGAUAUUGAAGUUUGAUGGCCAAUUAGGGACUUGAUUGAAGAAAUCCAAAACCAAGGACCAAAUUGAAAAAGGCGCGUAAAUAAAGGGACUGGAAUUGACCAAAGCAGGGGUCAAAUUGAAGAAAUUGGAAGUUUAUUGAUCAAUUAAGGGUCAAAUUGCAUAAAUCCAAAACCAAGGACCAAAGGGAAAAAUGCGCUGAAAUCUGGGGUUUAAAUUGAAGUUCUUCAUGGGUAAAAUUGAACAAAAUUAAAAGUUUAAAGCCAAUCAGGGGUGUUGAUAGAAAUUAAUCACAAAUUGAAGGACUAAAUCGUAAGAUACUAUUCAUCUUCUUCUCCAGCUAGGCUGGUUGGGUGGCCACCUUCCCAAGGCAUUUGGCGCCUCGUUUCUUCACCAAAUUGGAUGAAACGUACAAGAAAACAAUCCUGUGAUACCUGACUACACGCUAGUGUAAGACGUUCGGGUUGAUCGAGGCUGUAGAGGCGGUGGCACCGCCCCAAAGUGGCCAACCCGACCAGCCAUUUUUCCUGCAAACUGACAGUUCAUCAUUGCUACUUUGAGCUAAUGGUUGGGAUGCUUUCGGGUUGAGCCAAUGGUUGGGAUGCUUUCGGGUCGAACCAAGAGCUGAGAUUUUGCACCAGAAGAGACAAAGUGUCCCUCUUCCGCCACCUAUAAAUAGAUUUUAUCUUCAUGCUCAGGGGGUGGAGAAAUAUGGGUCCAAAGACAGCAAAAAAACCAGCCUUCCUCCCAAGAAUUUUUUCUUUUCUGCCGUCUGCCUCUUCACACUCUCUCUCUCUACGCCGUCCAGGCCACCACUGUCAUCACCGUCAGCUUUUAAGCCACCAUCUCCACCACAGGAAGCCAACACAGCCACCACCGCUUGCACCACGCUGUCCUCCGCCACUGUCAGAACCACCGCAGGUCAGCCUUCCCCCCCUUCUUCUUCUUCUUCUUCUUCAUCCCAGCUGUUCACUGCGUGAACAGUAGACGUGAAUUAAUUCAAUAGGCGUGAACAGUAGGCGGCCCAAUCACAAAAAUUUUCAAAAAAAUAUUUUAAAUUUUUAUACCGUAAAGAUACAAAUGCGAUAUUAAAAUACCCGGUUUUCGUCAUAACAUUGCAAAAAAAUUUAUAAAACAAAAAAAUAUUUUGUUUUCAUGCAUACAGCCAAGUCUCUCCAAGAUAAAAAAAAAAUUAUAUCAUUUUUUCUUAUACAAAAAAAAAAUAUAAAAAUAUAAAAUAUGUUUUAGCAUGCAUUUUGGCUUUAAUAACAAGUUUAUUAGAGCUAUGAGAACUAGGCCAAUAUUUAAAAAAAACCCAAAAAAAAUAUUUUGUUUUCUUUUAAUAUCCGGGAUUAUGAAUUUAUACGUAAAGCAUACUUCUGAUAUUAAAAAGGUAGUUUUUUUAUUUGACGUUAGCACAGUUAGGUUUUUACCCGAUAAGAUAAAGACCUCCUUACCGAGGAGGACUUUUCUUGAGCCAUAGAUAGACCAAAAAUUAGAGAACACAAUAAGACCUUAGUUUUUAUCAGACAAUAAAACAAUGCAACUUACCUUAGGUAGGACGUAUUUGGGUACUAAUACCUUCCCUUUACGCAUCCAGUCCCCGUACUCGAUCUCUGAGACCAAUUAGAGUUCCUAGUGACCAAAAUACUAGGUGGCGACUCCCAUUCAAUUUUUUCCAUUGAUAAAAGACAAGAAUUCCUUGUCUUUCCAUGUUAGUUGUAGUGAAAUUAAAGUUCAAUAAAAUUCUUUAACUUUAUAGGUUAAUUAAUAAUUAUCAAUGAAAAUAAUUAGUUGUAGUCGAUAUAAAUUUUCUUAACUUGGUUAAUUAAUAAUUAUCAUAAUUAUCACACCAUGACAAAUGCGAGACUCUUCAAAAUUGAAGGAAAAAAAAAUAAUGAAGUCACCACCUAGUAAUAAAAAAAAAACUAGAAAUCCUAAAAUAGACACCGGUCAGUAGGUAUUGAGUUAGUUAUACCUAUGUCACCCUUACCGCAUCCUUUCAAACGAAAGGUUACCUCCACAAUGUUUUGUUCUAAAUUUAUUCUAUGCAUCCUUUCAAACGAAAGCUUACCUCCACAAUGUUUUGUUCUAAAUUUAUUCUAUGCAUACUAUUAAUGCAUACGAAAAGAAGACUCGACGAUAAAAGAAAAUCUUGACGUUAAUCCCUAAAAAUAGAUAAUUUCAUCGAUUUAGAAAAAAAUAUUAAUGUUAAUCUCUACUGUAUGUUUUUUAAAACACCUCCACACACAAAACCCUUCAUACUGAAAAACUAAACAUAUAAGAAAAAUCAAACAUCCACAUUAAAAUUUCAUAAUUGAGGGCAUCAUACCCCAUAAGUUGCCACACCAUAGUGUAAAUCCCAACGCUUUAAAUAUCGCAAACAUUCACAUUAAUACAUGAUUAGUCUCAAUCAAUAAGCAUUUCAUCAUAAUGUCUAACAACAUAAUAAAAAAUUAUUCAAAAAAUUAAUUUAGGCCUCAACAACCUUUUAGAGUGGCUAAAGUUAAUCAAAACAAUUGGAAUUGGGUGAAGAAACUAUUAGAUUAUUGAGGGCAAUAUUGGCAUAUGACAACCACGUGCUAGUGUGUGAUAACAAUUAUUGGUGGUAUCUGGUCCCAUGCGCCAAUGAUGGUCACAGAGGUGGUUAGCUAGAUCGGGUGUGCCACUAUAUUCUUUUCUCUUCCACAUUGGUGGUGUAGUCCACCACUCUUUGACGAGGGAGAUUGAGCCACUUGAACAUUUAAUUUCUCUCUCUUGUUUUCCUUCUCUCCCCACCUCUACUUCCACUGUUACUACCUUGCUACUACUGGUUAAGAAGCUAUUGUGAUGAUGUUGGAAAGAGAUUACAACAUUGAUAGUGGUGUUUUGUUUUGGUAAGUGAGAUUGAUGUUUUUCUCUAUUUUUGGGUCCCUGGAUAAAAAGGAGAAAAAAGAAAAAAAUCAAGAAAAAAAUUGUUGCAAGAAAACCAAAAAAAAUAUAUAGCAGUAAGAAGAAGACAUGGGGGCGCCCAAAAAUGGCCAAAGAUUGGUUAAGGAAGUUCAAAAAUACAAAGAUUGAAAUUUGACAGUAUAUUAUUGAUUGAUGAAGGCCAUAUUAACAAAGAAAAUUGAAUUUGAGGAAGAAAAGUCUAAAAUCAGAUGUUUAAGGGCUCAAUUAGAUUUUGUUGAAAGAUUAAUUGAGUUUACGAAGGUGAUUGCAAGAAAAAUUAAUUUUUAAGUUAAUUUUGGUUUUAAUUGGAAGAAAUUAAAGUUUGAGAGUCGAAUUAUAAUUUUUAGGUGUUAAUUUGAUCAAAUCAGGGGUUUAAUUGCAUAAAUAUUGAAGUUUGAUGGGCAAUUAGAGACUUGAUUGAAGAAAUCCAAAACCAAGAACCAAACUGGAAAAGGUGCAUGAAUAUAAGGGCUGAAAUUGACCAAAUCAGGGGUUAAAUUGAAGAAAUUUAAAGGUUUUUGAUCAAUUGAUGGUCAAAAUGCACAAAUUCAAUACUAAGGACUAAAGAGAAAAAGAUGGCCAACAUCAGAGGUGACCUUUGAAUUUGGCAAGGAUGCAAUUGAAUUAAUUCUUAAAAUCAAAAUUCCAAUUGAGAACUUGAUGAAUAAAUAAAAAGCUAAGGACUGAUUUGGAAAUUGAUACAUUUUGGUGCCAUUUUCAUUUAAAUGAAACGACGCAUUUUGUACAAAAUAACGUUGUUUCAUUCACUGUUCAUAUAUAAAAAAAGAAGCUUGUUUUGAACUGCAUUGUGCAUCUUCUUCUUCCCUUGACGCGCAAAGGCAGGGGAAGAAAGUUUUUCUUCCCCUUACUUUCUUCCCCUUCUUUGCAGUGUCUCCCCUCCCUCUUGCCCAAAAACCCUGACAUAACCCACACCCCCUCAUGACCUACCACCAUGAUGAAAGGGGCAGGGAAGACAAGCCCUGCAGGUGACUCUAGGGUGAUUGCACAGAGGCCGCCCCAGCCACCCUACCCCGUCACCAUGACUAGACAGGGGUAGGGUCGCUCUCACUCCCCUACCCCUUAUAAAUACCCCCUCACCACGAGGUGAGGAGGGAGAAAAAAAAGGGGGAUGAUGAGAACAAAAGAAGAAGAAGGAAUGGAAAAAAAUAAAAAGUAGGAGAGGGAAGGAAAAAAACGAAAUAGAAAAAAAUAGAGAAUAGAGUUUGUUGGGCCGAAAUCGGCCCAAGUUUGUUGGGCCAACCUCGGACCAGUUUGUUUGAGCCAAAUCUCGGCCCAACCAGGGUGGGUUCAGCCCACAUUAUUGGGCUGGGCCCAACACAAUAUAUUUUUAUAAUAUAAUAUUAAUAUUAUAUAUUAUUCAAAAAAACAAAAUGUUCCAAGAAUUUUCAAAAAAACUUUUCAAAACAUUUGUGAUUUUCUCGUGUAUUUUUCUAUCAAUUUUAAUUAAUAUUGGUUGAUAUUUUUAUAUUGUAAAAAUACAAAUCUGGUAUUAAAAUACACAGUUUUCUCCGUAAAUGUUGUGUGUGUGUGUAUUUGAAAAACAAAACAAAUGCUUUGUUUUCAUGCAUAUGACCAAGUCUCUCAAAAUAUAAAAAAAUAUUUCAUAUCAUAUUUUCAUGCAAAUAAUUUUUUUAAAAAAAUACGUGUGAGCAUGCAUUUUGAGCUUUAAUAACUAGUUUAUUAAAGCCAUGAGAACUAAGCUCAUAUUUCAAAAAUAUCAAAAAAAAAUAUUUUGUGUUUCUUUUAGUUUCUGAGAUUACAAACUUUUAUAUAUAGACAUUAGAACAAUUAGGUUUUUACCAAUAUUAAAAAUAUAGUUCUUUUAUAUAUAGAUUUUAGAAUGGUUAGGUUUUUACCCGAUAAGAUUAGGAUCUCCUUACCGAGGAGAUCUUUUCUUAAACCUUAGACAAACCAACAAUUAGAAAACACAACAAUACUCUAGUUAUAUCAGACAAUCAAAUAAUGCAUCUUACCUUAGGUAAGGAGUAUAAGAGGUGUUAAUACUUUCCGUUUACGCAACCAGUCUUCGUGCCCAAUCUCUGAGACCAGUUAGGGUUUAUAGUGAUCAAAAUACUAGAUGACGACUCUCAUUUCCUCUUUCCACUAAUAAAGGACAAAAAUUCCUUAUCCUAUCCAUUUCCCCACACCACAUGCCAAUAUGGAAUUUCAGGAGGAUGUUCGCGCGAUGUUGCAUCAUGUACGACAAUUGAGAAAAGUGAUGGUUGGAUUUUGGUCUCGACUUGAGUUGUUUUGGUUGUGAUAUUGGUGAUCGAUGUUGCUAUUAUCAUUAUUAGUGUAUGUCAUUGGAAGCUGCUAUCAGUGGUCGGUGAAUUAAGUGUUCCACUAUUAAUAACAAAUGUUGAAAUUAAUUCAAUUAAACAUAAUUAACGAAUAAUAUAAUUAAAUUGCAUAAAGUAAAGUGUAAAAGGAUAGGAAUUGUAAACUCAGUUUUUAACAUGGUUUUGGCAAGUCUAUACCCACACCUCAAGCACCUAAAUUGGUCUUGUGUAUUUUGUUCUUUCACUAGUCCAAGUUGAAGAUUACAAUUGUCACUUGAUGAAUCCACACCAAGAUUUUACACCACUUGAAGAUAUUCUUUUUAUGACAGUUUGAACCUGCUGAAUCUUGAACCGAUACUAAUCCUAUAUAUAUACAAAGAAGUGUUUGAGUUCAUUUUAAUUAUGGCAUUAAAAUAAAAUAUAAAUAUUUAUAUAAUUACUGCAAUGAACAAUUAAUUCUUAAAUUCUCAUUUCAUCUUCAUUUUCUUUGGUGGCUAGGUUUUAGAGAAGAAGAAGACUCUUUUUUUCUACACUUUCACUCCAUUUUGUUUCUUUCUCUAUCUUAAAUUUUUCUUCAAGGUUUGCUAGGGUUUCUUACCCACUUUUUGUUUUCCCUCUAAUUUUUAUGUAGAGGCUAGAGUUUUUUUUUACACCUCCUCCUUUUUCUUACCUUGCCUUUCUAUUUAUAGGCUAUGGGGUAGGUUCUAGAAUCUUUAUAGGUAGAACAAUCAUAUUCUUUGAUUUUUUUCGGUACAUUUGACCCUUCAUCAUUGUUGUAUAUUUGGCAGAACAUGCUCGUGUUCUAUAAAGCUCACACCAAAUCUUAAUCAUAAAGAGUGGGAAUGAGAGAGAGAAAAAAGAAGAAGAAGAAGAAGAAAAUGGGGCUGAAAAACUUCACUGCCAUUUUUCAAAAUCAGACGACCCGUUUCCUUUCAAAGGGUAGCCAAAAAGUUCCCAUACACACCCAUUAGCGAGCUUCUUCUUUACGAAAAAAAAAACUAAAAAAAUUAGAUCAUCAUUUUCAAACCACCUUCUAGCUAGAACUGGAAACAAAAAAACAGUACAGACUCUCUCAUCAGCGCUGUCUCUUUACGCCACCCUCGAGUUACUACUAUCUUGCCCCACGUUGACUCAAGGAACCAUAGCCGCUGCUUCCACAGUACCGUUAACCUGAGGUGUUCAUUACCGGAAUCAUAACACAAGGCAGGCCAGGAGCCCACUCACGUCGUCCAUGUGCAUCUUCAGCGUGCUCGUUUUACAUUCUUGCCUCUGACCUCUCUGGACUUAGCUUUAUUCAAGCACUAGCCACUCAAAAAAAGAGUGAAGAUGAGGUACGGGAUAUCCAGUGGAGCUGUCUCCAUCAUAAUCACUCAAGGUAUAAAGCUUCCACCUAUUCUCAUGUAGUUGUAAUCUUUUUGCAUGUGCAUGCUACUGCAAAGGCAAGCUCCCGUUUUUCCUUUAUGUGCUAUGAAGUUAACAUAUAGUGUUGUAAGGUGUGUGGAUCUUUUAAGUCCUAACCUGGUCACGGGUGUUCUUUCACUUGCUACGGGUACUGAAGGGGAUGGGGUGUGAUUUUUCCUUCAAACGCAUAUGGUCUUGAAAACUUGAUUGCAUGUCCUAAGGUCAUGUUAAGACCUUGCCUAGUUAAUUAAGAAUGCUCUUACCCAAGGUUAAAGUUCAAGAACGGUAUGAGAAGGUGGAAAAAGAUGUUGACAACUAUUGGGGUCAUAGGUUUUCCUUUUUUUUUUUUUGUCUUCAGAAAAUAAAAAUGCAUAGGACUGUCAGGGAGUUUUUCCAUACCAUGCUUGGGCUUCGGAUGUAUGUUUCCUUUACGUACAUGAGAUGAUGGUUACCUUGCUUUACGUACAGAAAUCUCCAAUGACUAAAUAAAAUGAUUUUUGGUUGAAGAAGAAUCGGUAUGUGCAAGGGUUUCUGGUUCAUUUCUUUUUACUGUCCCAUGGCUUUUCGUUAAUGCUAGUACAGCUAUAUUUCUCUUUUCUAAAGUUAAGUAGGUUGAUAUAUAUAGAAAUCGGUUUAUCACGGGUUUAAGAAUAUUAAAGAAAAAAAAAAAAAAAAAGCUUUCAUGGGUCUUCAAGGCACAAACACUCAUAUGACAAAUUUUAAGUUUUCUUUUUCACUAAGGACAUGUGUGGUAAAUAUGACCAAACAUAUUUUUCAUGGCCUUUAUUUUCUUUUCUUAAUUUUUUUUUGUUUUGUCUAACAUAUCUUAGUCUAAUUUUAAUUAUUUUUCAAGUUUUGAAGAGCCAUUUUGCAACUAUAUUUUUGGUUUUCCACGUCAUUUUUUACCUUUUCAUAUUUAAAAACAAGUUUAUUAAAUCCACAGGGAUUUGGCCUAAGUUUUAAAAAUACUAAAAAAAUUAAUUUGUUUAUUUUAAUACAAUGAAUUAUGAGCUUAUAUCUAAAAUGUAUUCUCGAUAUUAAAAGGAACAAAUGCAAAAAUAUGUUUUGGCUCUAGAAUGGCUAGACUUGACCCAUAAAGCCAUGGUUCUCUGUACUAGGGUAGACCUUCUUUAACUAAUAGACAAAUCAAUGAUUAGAUAAAGAAAACAGUGCCUUAGUAAUAAUCAGAAAAAUAAACAAUAAAGCUUAUCUUAGGUAUGAUUACUAAGGGUGAUAAUGUCCAUCCUAUAUACAACUUGUCCCCUUGUCUAGACUCUGAAGACUAGUUAGAGUUUUCAGUGAUCAAAAUACAAGAUAGCAACUCCAAGCAUUUUUUAUUUAUAAAGGACAAGAAGUCCAUGUUCUUUCCACACCACACCAAAGUCCUGAUCUAGGAGGAUGAUCGCAAUGAUACCACAUCCGUGCCACAUUCAACAUUGUAUUUUCCAUGAGUUAUCCUUUCUAUUUUUCAAUUACUUUGAUCCAAAUAAUGUGUUACCCUCUCAACAUUCUUCAAAGUCAACAUGUACUUCUACUAAUUGAUCUAAAUAUGAAUGUGAUGCGAUGUAAAUGAGUAUACAAGAUUAAACAUAUGGAAGAUGGGACUUUUUAGCACUACAAAACAUGUUUGGUGGCCAAAUGCUAUUAUCGACAAAAAAGGGUUUGAUUUUCAAGAGAUAUUUAGUGUAGUGAGGAAGCCUUGCACUAUUUAGACAAUGCUCGAUAUUGGUGAUACUUGAGGUUGGUCGGCUUAUUAGAGGGAUUUCUUCAUUUAGAUGUGUUUAUAACCCAAGCCAGGUUGUUAAAAUCGCGAGUUAUGAGUCAACAUGUAUCUAACGUGCUAAAUCGGACUAAAAACUCAAAAAUAGUAAAAUCAGACUUGUGCAAAAUCAGUAAAAUCGGUAAACUCAGUCCGAUUUUAUGAGUUUACUAAAUUUGUGAUAUGAAUCAAGUCAGGUUCAAAUUUGGCCUUAAAAUAUCUGCUGACUAGUUUUGCGAGAUUGAGCAUAUAUUUCAAACUGUAUAUUGGAUAAAACUGAUAUUUUACAGGAAAAUAUUAGAUACAUAAACAUAUAUUGUGGUAAAUUGUUAGGUCAAAUAGAGUUAGGAAACAUAAUUUUAGAGGGUCAAAGUUAGUAAACUAAUAUUGUCAAAUAUGUCAAACAAGUCCUUCGUGUACUGUUUGGAACAUAUCCAGAGCUACCGGUGGAAUUUUGCUUCAAUUAAAGUUGGGAUAGAAACUAGACAUCUGAAACUUUCCAACUAUAUACGUAGGCCCAAGAAUUCAUCCAAACAAGAGAGAAUGACAUGUUUGAAAUCAGGACUCAAAUCUACCAAGAAUAUGCAAAAAAUAGAAGAUUCAGGUUACAUGGAUGAAUUUUAACAUGAAGACUUUUUUAUUAUUCUAUUUUAUUUAUUUAAUUUUAAAUAAUUAUUUUUAAUUUGAAUUUUUUCUAGCGCAUUAGACAUUGUUUAGGAAUUUGUUUUAUUAUUGAAUUUAUGUUAGUUAAUUACUAAUUUAAACUUAUUAGCUUGCAACCCAAAAGGGGUCUAUCAAGACUUAUUGUGAUAGGAACAACCAGGUUGUCACUAGGUUUAUGUGUGCUUCCUACCUUUCAGUGAUUCCCUUGUAUUGAAAAAUUUUGUUCUGUGACUUUUUAUUUCUCCAUGUCAUUAAUUUAUUGAUUCAUACUAUCUAUCUCUCUCAUUUUAUUUAGAUCGCUCAUUGAUUAUAAUAUUGUUGACUCAUUUUAUUAGAUUUUAAUGUAAUUUAAUUUCUUGACUAAAAUUAUCAAUAUAUAAUUAGUUAAAAAAUUAUUUAUGAUUUUACGAUUUUACGAUCUGAGUUUAUUUUAUAUUUUUCGUGUCGUGUCAAAAAAUAUUUUUGACAACCUUGAACCCAGGCUCUUGACUUUAUUGAUCCACAAUCCCCAAACCAUAUUCGCAAACUAAAACUUUUUUUUUAUAGUUUAAAACAAGCACCUCGUGCAUGUAUUGAUUGCUUAGUGAAUUCUUAGUUUCUCAAUGGAUUUUAUAUUCGUAAAUUUUUAAGUGAACCCAGGUUAUAUUAUCAUGAUAACUAAAAUAAAAUGAGCUAAAUUUAUUUAUAAAAUGAGCACCACACGCUUAGAUUUAAAUUCCAUAGAAAGAUUAGCACCUGAUGACAAGUUAACUCGGGAAACAAAGGUAAUAACAAAGUUUUGAGAUUGAAUUCGACACUAGGUCUACUUAGUAGUUAGUACAUAUAAGUUGAAGGAUUGCUACCUUGACCAAUGAACUGAAAAUAUCUUUAAUUUAUAAUGAAUGGCAUACACCAUACAGUUUUACCAUAUCAACAGCAUGAAAAUUGAUAAUCGAUCCUUUAGGGAUAUUAUUCCAUUUCUUUAUUAAUUAUCAUAAAAACAUUUAUUAAAUGUGUUGUCCUCCAACUCUUUCCAUAAAAAGAAAGAGUUGUGAACCACAACAUACAUUUGAUCAUGGACAAAAGGUAAUCAAAUAGUUGCCUCCACUAGGACAAGUAAACGUGCUCGAUUUAUCAUCAAAAGCAUAACUAUAAGCUUGAGGACACUGCUGCUUGAAAGUCAUCGAAUAUUGGGUAGGAGGACAUGUUUCAGCUGUAUUAUACUCUCCUGUGCAGCAGUACUGCGGCUGGUUAAAUGCCAAACACGCACUCUUGCAGGCAAUCACAGUCCCAUCUGAACCUUUCACUGCUAAACUAGGAUCACAAACAGCAUUCACGUUAGCUGCACAGCUUGUAGAAGGGCAGCCAGUAGAACCUCCUUGCGGGGUUACCGAAAUUGGGAGGUUAAAGCCAUCAACAAGGCUUAUAUCGUAAUAAUCUUUCCCACCAUCACCGCUUAGAGUAAAUUCUGCCAAGGAUGCUGGUGGGAUCGCACCGGCUCCAUUGCAUUCUAUGACACCAGAGCCACAGUCAGCAGUAGCACAAACAAACUUUCCCGAGGCAUCUGUAGAGCAUUGCGUUCUGGCCCACAAGCGGCCAGACCAAUUGACAGGGACACUCAGCGAAGAUGAAGCACCCGUUGCCAAUGUGAAGCCAGUUGAAGAUAAAGACGGACCGCCAGCAGCCGUUAGAGUUCCUGGCCAGACUGUGUAUGGACAGUUGUUUGUGAAGUCGAAAGUCACAGAUUGAGCUCCUGCAUGCGUGCAAGAUUUAUUUUUGUUGAUAUCAAUAAUUAAAUCUUGGUCGAUUCAAAGAUAACAUAAUUCAAUAUUUAAAAUCUUGUAUUAAUUCAGUUAUUUUUCUUUUAAAAAUAUAACAUAACCCAUGUUUUUUUUUAAUAUAUUUUUUUCUUUUUUCUUUUUUAUCUGGAAACUCCCUCCUGGAUAAAUUUAUUGGAUUCACGAAAUCCAUUGAAUAAUGAAAACUAGUUAAUAUUGCAUACGCAAACAGAAAAUAUAUAUGUAGAAUAAUCAAAGUGAAUAAUAUGCAUAAUAGAGUUUUCCAUGCAAGAAUCUAGUAUAUGUAAUAUUGUAAAACUACUUGCCAUAGAGGAAGAUGACGAGGGUGAAGGUAAUUAUAGCAAUAUUGGGCAUACGACUCUCCAUUGCCGAGAUGCGUCGAAUUAAGACCUUUUCAGUAUCUUUCAAGAGAUUUGAGGUAACCAAGAAACACUCUAUAUUUUAAAAAUAUUAUGAAAUGAGCAGACUUAAUAAAUAGUGUAAAAUUUGCAGACUAGUAAACAGAGGAACGUCCUGCUUCUCACGUCAAAUGAAAGCAACACCCAAUUGAAUAUUGAAUGCAACUCUGGUCCAGCAGACGAGCCGUGAUGAAUGUGAGAGUCUUCAAAAUUAAAGAAAAAAAAUUCACCACCUAUUAAUUAAAAACUUUAGAAUUUAAAAAUAGACAUUGGUUAGAGAUUUAGACAUUGAGCUAGUUAAGUCUAAGAAAGAUCAAUAUCACCCUUAUCAUAUCCUUUAAAAUGAAAAGUUACCUCCACAAUGCAUUUAAGAAAAAUUAUUCCAUGCAUAAUAUUAAUUAUCUAAAUUUAUUUCUAAUCUUUUCGUGAUUUAUUUUAAUAAAAAAUUGGCAAUUCAAAAUUUAUUUCUCAUACAGACUAAACUAGAACUAUUUAUCAAGAAUUAUUUGUGCUAAUAAAUAUUAAAGAAACUCGUUAAUGAUAAGUAAAGACUAAACUAGGAUCAAAUUGAUGCUUAAAAUCAUAAUUCUCCAUUAAGUUAUCAAACAAUUCUGAAAAUUUGUGUGGACCCUUCUAAUAUGAUACUUUAACUUGAGUUAAAAUUUCAGAGUUUUUGAAGAAAGUCAGAAAUUUGAUGAAAAAUCACAAUUUUACCAGUUUUACGUUAUUGGGCGUAAUUUUCAAUCCGACCAUCCAAUUGAGCUGAAAUUUUACAAGGAAUCUUCAAAUAUAUUGAAUAAAAUCUGAUUAAAAUCUGAUUAAAUGAACGGAGCUUGGUAGUGCUAACAAAAAAAAGGACCGUCAAAUAAAAGCAAAACAACUCAUUAAGGGCAAAAUAGUUAUUUGCCAUUAAAAAUAAAACAAAUUAUCUCUUCCUUCUUUUUAUAUGUUGCCGACUGAGCAGAAGCAAAAUAGAAAAAGAAAGAAAAGAAAAGACGAGAGAGAAAGAGAGAAACGUAAGGGAAAACAUAAAAAGAAAAAUCAAAGGAAAAAAAAUAAGUGAGAGAAUAACCUUGUACACUUAUAAAGUCCGACUUAUAAAACACUAAUCUUAGAAAGAAUCAAGUGAAGGAAUGAGGAAUUGAGAAAGGGAAAAAAAUUUAAUUAUUUUUUUUCCAGUUGAUAUGAGAUUGUUAUUUUAUCCUGGUUAAGGGGUUGUUACAAUAUCGAUUCAGAUUCGAUUAUAAAUGAAUUAUAUUCCACAAAACAUCGAAGGAUAUAACUUCAAUAGUAGGUUUAUUUUUACUUUCACUUCAAUUUUAUGUACUUUUAAAUUUAUUUUUUAAUAUUUUGGAUAAUGUAUUUCAAUUAAAAUUUUACUGUUAACUUAAAAAAUUCAUAUACAUAAGUUAAUAAUUGAUCUUAAAAAAAUUUAUAUAUUUAUUUAAUAACCCAGGACGGGAAAAAUUCUUGACUCUGCUGGUAACAACCAUCUUCCACACGCACCGUCUCAUCCACGAUGACAUUUGACAAUGAAUGUCAAAUUAUAAAAUUAUAAUUUAUUUAUAUUUAUAAAAAAUUAAAUUAUAAAAUUGGGUCUAUCACCUAAAGUGCGCAGAGACCGUCCAUGCACUGACCUGCACUCAUCCAAAAAUUGAAUAUUGAAUGUAACUCUGGUCCAGCAGACGAGCCGUGAUGAAUGUGACCCUCUUCAAAAUUAUCACACCGUGAUGAAUGCGAGAUUCUUCAAAAUUAAAGGAAAAAAAAGUCACCACCUAUUAAUUAAAAAAUUUAGAAUUUAAAAAUAGACAUUGGUUAGAGAUUUAGACAUUGGUUAGAGAUUUAGACAUUGUGCUAGUUAAGUAUAAGAAAGAUCAAUAUCACCCUUAUCAUAUCCUUUAAAAUAAAAAGUUACCUCCACAAUGCAUUUAAGAAAAAUUAUUCGGUGCAUAAUAUUAAUUAUCUAAAUUUAUUUCUAAUGUUUUUCGUGAUUUAUUUUAAUAAAAAAUUGGCAAUUCAAAAUUUAUUUCGCAUACAUAUUAUUAAAUAAAUCAAGAAUUAUCUAUGCUAAUAAAUAUAAAAGAAACCCGUUAAUGAUAAAUAAAGACUAAACUAGGAAAAUUAAGAGAUAAAUAUAAACCAAAAUAUUUGAUAUCGCAACACGAAGCAUGUACCUAGUUGUGUUUAAUAAUUUAUUUAUUUGAAUAAAUUUUGUAUUUAAUAAAAUGAUUAUCCGUGCCAAUAAAAUGAUGUCUACCCAAUACAUUUUUUUUUGUAUUUCAAAAUAUUAUGAAAUGAGCAUCACAUGCUUAUAUUUAUUAAAUUAUAUUAUAUUAUAUUAAAUGAAAAAAAUAUUUAUAAAAAAAAUAAAUUAAAAAACAAAUAAAAAUACUCGAGAUAUCCCAAGUCCUUUUCAAAAUAAGUGAAAAAUCCUAUAGAAAAAACAAAAAAAAAACCUUCUAGAGGAUGAUAUUUUAAAAAAAAAUUCAAAUUAAAAAAUGAUCUCAAAUAAAAAAAUAAGAAUUAAAAGAACAGGGACAAAAUUUGGAAGAUGAAAAAACCAAAGGGAAUGAAAUUGUCAAAGAAUUUCAAUUUUAUAAAUUAUUCCAAACAAAACAAGUAAUAAUCAAAAGAACAGGGACCAAUUAAUAUGAAGGAAUAACAAAUUGAAGGCGUGCUUUGAAAUUUUGAAGGGGCACACACGAAAAUCAAGGGGAGAGUGCGAAGAAAAAGAAAAAGAAAAGCUUGUCGGCACCAAACCGAACAACUAUUUGCCACACACGUUGCCUCAUCCACAACGGCCUUUGUUCAACGAAUGACCCUACACCCGCCACCUGAAGUGCGCGGAGACCGCCCAUACACUCACCUGCACUCAUCAACUAUUUUUUUAAUAUUAUUUAUAUUUAUUAAAUUAUAAAUUUGGAAAUAAAACACCCUGAUAAAAAAAACCCAAUGAAAUAUACAAAUGCCCUUGGUUUGAACCACAAGUGACUAACUUAGAUAUCUCAAUUUAUGAGAAAGCAGAAUAGUAAACAGGCAAUUAGAGGAACGCCUUGCUUCUCACGUCAAAUGAAAGCAACACCCAAUUGACUAACGAAAGCACUAAAUAUCCCAAUUAAUGAGAAAGCAGACUAGUAAACAGCCUAUUAGAGGAAUUGAAACUAUAUAUCCCAUAUCCCAGUUAAUGAGAAAGCAGACUAAUAAACAGCCUAUUAGAGGAAUUGAAUGAAAGCAAUUGAAUGCAGGAAGAGGGCCAGACUAGUAAACAGCCAACAGUGGGAGUUCUCCUCUAGCACAUAGUUAUUAAACCCGGCCCAGGGGUUGACCCGGCCAAGGGGCCGGGUCCCAGGUUUCAUGGGUCGACCCAGGUCGACCGGGGUCAACCCGGAAAAAUUUAAAAAAAUUAAAGUUUUAAUAUUUUAUAUGAAAAAAUUAAGAAAAAAUCCAUGUAAAUAUAUGUUAUACAUAUUGUAAAUAAUGAAGUUUAAAAGAAUAUUUUAAAAAAAAUUUAUUCUGCAUUAAAAAUAUAUUAUGUUAAGUUUUUAAAUUGAAGUAUUUAAACCAAAAAAUUUUCUUAUCCCACAUUGAAAAAACAUAGUUUUUUUCUUAUGAACAUAGAGUAUAUAUACUAAUGAGUUUCAAAUCCCACAUUGAAAAAAGAUAACUUUUUUCUUGGGAACAUAGAGUAUAUAUACUAAUGUGUUUCAAAUGUCACAUUGAAAAAAGAUAAUUUUUUUCUUGGGAACAUAGAAUAUAUAUAUUAAUGGGUUUCAAAUCCCACAUUGAAAAAACAUAGUUUUUUUCUUGUGAAUAUUGAGUAUAUAUACUAAUGGGUUUCAAAUGCCACAUUGAAAAAAGAUAACUUUUUUCUUGGGAACAUAGAAUAUAUAUACUAAUGGGUUUCAAAUCCCACAUUGAAAAAACAUAGUUUUUUUCUUGUGAAUAUUGAGUAUAUAUACUAAUGGGUUUCAAAUCUCACAUUAAAAAGAUACUAUGUUAUCAUUUUAAGUUUUUUAUCCCACAUUGAAAAAACAUAAUUGUUUUCUUGGAAACACAAAGUAUAUAUACCAAUGGGUUUCAAAUCUCACAUUUGAAAAAAAAAACACUGGUUCUCACCCGGGUCGCCCAGGUCACGGGUUGACCCACUAGGUUUGAACGGGUCGUUGCACUGACCGGUCUUUUGACAAACUUGGACCGGUCCAACUCCCGGGUCGGCCGGGUCCCGGGUCAACCGGCAAGGUCAGGCCGGGUUUAAUAACACUGCUCCAGCAUGUGAAACCGAGGAGCCGUGAGGAAUGCGACACUCUUCCAAAUUAUCCCUUAAAAAUUUGGCAUUAAUCUUUAAAAAUAUAUGAUUUCAUCGAUUCAGGAAAAAUUGGACAUUAGUCCCUAAAAUAAAUAAUUUCAUCAAUUUUUGAAAAAUAUGAUAUUAAUUCUUAAAAAUAGGAGAUUUCAUUGAUUUAGAAAAAACAAUUAACAUUAAUCCCUAAAACUAGGUGAUUUUCUCGAGAUAUAUGUGUUUGUGUGUGUGUGUGUGUGUAUAGAACAUUUAUAUAUAUUUUAAUCCAAUAUAAUAUAUACAUAUCUCAAUAUUGAUAUAACACACACACACACACACACACAUACAUGUAUAAUAUUAUUCAUUUUAUCAUUUAUUACAUGUAUACAUAUUUCAAAUAUAUCUAUUACUAUUUUAUUUUUUGUUGAAUAUUAAAUAACAGUAGAACAAUGGUUACCAAUAUAGAUAUACUCGAAAUCUAAUGAAUAAAGUAUGAAUAUCUGAAUUUUUUACUUGAUGAAUAAUAGGUAGGGUAUAUAUAUAAAAAAACUUAACAUGUAGAUAUCCAUUGGGAUUAUACAUAAUUUCAAUAUAUAAAAUCAAUGCAUUAAUUCAUUUAUUUUUCUUUUACAAAGAUAAAAUGAUGAUAAAUGCAAAAUAUAUAUAUGUUUUUAAUUCUUUUACAUUAUGCUUUUAAUGUGUUUUAAUCUUAUUUGAGCUGAUUGAAAGUAAUUUUAUGAGUUUGGCAUGCCUAAAAGACUUGGUGAAUUAAUUGCUAAAAGAUAAAAAAAUUCUGCAUUUUAUGUUUCGAACCUUGGUAUUUCUGACAUCUUUUUCACCAUGUUGGAGUUACAGAAUAGGAACGUGGCUUAAUCAAAGUUGAACUACACAUAUCCAGCUUUCCAGGAAGGUAUUAUGGGAAGAAAUCUGAUCUUAUUUGAACAUCUAAUCAGACCUGCAAAAUCGAGCCAGAAUUCUAUUUGUAGCAGAAUUCUCUGUUUUCACAUUAGAUAUUCAAAUAGAUAUAUCUUGAGUUUCAGAUAUCGCAAUCAGACUAUUCAAAAGCCCAAAUUCAUCUACACAUCCAGGGAUACAACUUUUAUGAAGGACUCCAGAUCUGAUAAAAUUAUUUUCAAGAUGAAAAUCCUGAUGCAAGCUAGAUGACAAGUUUUGUCUCUUGAUCUGAUGAGAAACUAACAAGAUGAGAGUCCUAUCUUUUAAAGAAAAUCUGAUGGGAUCAGAUAGAUAUUCUUUAUAGCUUCUUACCUCCUAGUCUUUAGCCUUGAUAUUUUAUCAUGAAGGCUGCCUCUUAGGAUCAACGUGACAAAGCAACGAGGAAAAAAGCGUUCUUUGCCAAAAAAAAAUUUAAAGAGUUCAUCUUCGCUGCUGGAAUUUUCAAAGACCAUGAGCAACUAAUUCUCAAUUUCGGUUCAAGGGGAAUAGACACCUUCUCCAUUAUCAAGUUGUGAGAAAUAACAUUAUCAUUGUAAUUAUUUCAGACUCAAGUACUUAUUUUUUUUUUUAAGAAUUAUGUUAUUGAUUUAUGUUCAAGAUAAUUGAAUUGUUUUGAGAUGACAUGUAUGAUUUCUAGUUUCUUUCAAUUCAUAAUUGUUGUUGGGGACUAAAGUUAGAAGCAAAAGAAUUAAUUUGAUUGUUGCAACUCUCAUCUUAAAUUAUUUGGAAAGAAUAAGUUAAGUUAAAUUGUCAAGCUUUUGAAGGAUUGUUUAGUAUAAAUCUGACAGCCUUUUCUCUUAAGGCUAUUGUCAAAUGAAUGAGAAUUGCUUUUCAAUAUUACAUUUGUUUGAUAGUAAGAAAUUGAUUAAAAAGCUUUGUCUAAUUAAUUUACUGAUAGUCUCAUCGAUUCCUCGUAGUUUUAAGGAAUAUCGAAUUUAUUUGCUUGAUUUGAAAGAACAUUUAUUUUUACUUUGAUGAUUAAUAAAUUUAUAGGAAUGGAUGUAUGGACCCUUUGAACUGAGUUAAUAACAUAUCAAUUUAUCAAUUUUAUUUUUAGAAUUUUGUUUCUUUAAUUAUUCAAAUCCUCCACGUUUUAUUUAUUUUAGUUUCUUGUAGGAAGAUUAAAUAAAAUUUUCUUUAAAGAUGAAAACAGAAGAUUGGUCAAAAGGAAGGUAUGUUUUUUCAAAGAAGAACAAGGAAAUAAAAUAUUCUCAUUUGACUGUAAUUUUAUUUCAUAUUUUUUUCCUAAAUUGCUAGAUAUACUUAAAAUUUCCGAAUGAGGCUUCUGCGGAUUUUACAUGAACUGGCUAACUACUCCAACUUCAUAUGUAAUAUCUGAUCGUGUCAAGAUUAAGUAGAUAAGACUACCUAGUAUUCGUCAAUACAUAAUUGUAUUGCUUCAAACCUUUUAGCCUAUAUAAAGAUCAUUAUAUGUUUGUAGUAAGUUAUUUGAAUAAAAUUAAAUUAUACAUGUUUUUUUUUACAACUCAUAUACAAUAAAUUAAAACAAAUAUUAUAUAUUGUUAUAUUAAUUUUGGCCCCCCCUAACAAAUAAUCCUAGCUCCGCCCCUGCUUAGUUGUGCAUAAUUUUCCUUGAACCUUUAUCAGGGUAGAGACAGACUUGCGAUUGAGGAUUCCAUAUCUUUAUAGUAAAUCUUUUUGUAUACUGAUGUUGGCUAGAAAUAAAUGACUUUGUUCACUCAACUUCAAGUCCAAGGAAAUGUUUAAGCUCUCCAAGCUCCUUCAUUUGAAAACGGGCUGCUGAAUUUUCUCUUAUUUGACCGAUUUCCUUGGUAUCGUCUCUAGUAACAAUGAGAUCAUCUAUAUAGACCAUUAUUACUGCUAUUUCUCCUCGAUUUUUAACAGACAAGUUUGAAUCUGAUGAAGCCAUUGAGUAGCCAUUUUGUAUUAGAAACUCUUACCAUACCACGUCAUUUUAGCUUGUUUUAACCCACACAGGGCUUUCUUUAGCUUGCAUACUUGUUCAGGAUAAAUUUUCCUUUGAAACCCUUGCGGCUGCUCUAUAUAUAUAUAUAUAUAUAUAUAUAAUAGAGAUAUUAUUGAUGGAAUCAAUUUACCGUUAAGGCUAUCGUAAACUAGAAUUCAAAAUAUUAAGAGAUGUACAAAAAGAAGUAUUGACAAGCUCCUAAACCAAUAACACUUUACUUAUUAGUUCAUGAUAAAAUGUUGUCAGCGCCUCUAAUUAAAUCAUUUUUUGUGUAUGUAAAGUUAAUGUUGCAAGCCUUUAACCAAAGUGUAAGAUGGUGGAGAAUGAGUUGAAACUGUGCAUUCUAAUCUGGCAUCUUAUCCUUAAAUAUGAGCUUGUUCCUUGCAAUCCAAAUACCCCAUAAAAUGCCAUACGAUAGCAUCAUUAAGGCACUUCGCUGAAACUUGCCUUUUGCCAUGUCUCGCCAUUGGCUGAUGAUUUGAUCUAUUCUAUUCAGCAUGCACCUAGAAAUGCCAAACCAAUUAUGAAAUUGUUGCCACAGUCUCCACGUGUGGUAGCAAUGGAGGAAAAGAUGAUUAUCAUGUGUUGGGAAAACUAGGGACAACUAACCGGAUCAAUUCAGCGGAAUACAAUUCACAAUUUACAAGUCCCAAUCCUUUUUCCCUCUCUGUGCAGUAAAAACAGAAUCAAACAAUGAAUAAAUAUAAUGCAACAAUCACACAAAUCAACACCAAGAUUUUUACGUGGAAAACCCGAUACGGGAAAAACCACGGGACCGGAGUCCACCUAAAAACUUCCACUAUCACAAAUAAUGGGUUCACAAUUGUUCUUCCUCAGAUUCAACUAAGGGCUACAACAAAUAUAUCAUCAAGAACAACUUAUUCUCGGAUUACAACAAGAUUAAAGAGAGUAAUGUUAGAGAAAAGCUCACAACACUGACAGCCCCGUUUUCUGUCAAAACGAUCAGCUUUCACACCACCAAUAUUCAAUCCAACCGUUCAGAAUGAAGAGUAACGUGUCUAGAAGCUGCUGUCCAAAUCUCAGCCCGAUCCAACGGUGAACGAACUGGAAAUAAAAGAAAGAAGACAGACUGCUCUGCUGCCUCCUCUUCUUUCUUUCUCUCGGUUUUUCUCUGCUCUCUUGUUCAAAUUUUGCUACUACCUCUACAGUGGUAGUUUCAUUUUAAUUUAAACCAAAGAGGCAGCCAGCUGCCUCCUUAAUUAAUGUGGUGGUCCCCCCAUCACAUGGUGCGGGACCACACAACAAAUCUCCCCCUCACGCACCAUGUGAGGAAUUCGCCAUACUGGCGAUCAACAUGUAAGCUUCAAUUUAGGAGGCUCUGACAAGCCUGCCUCCCUUCUGCAAAACUCAAACUUCUCUCUCGGUAGAGGUUUGGUCAUCAUGUCUGACACGUUGUUAUCAGUAUGGAUCUUCUCAACAACAAAUGACUUCAUCUCCAUAGCAUCUCGAAUCCAUUGAUAUCUAACCUCAAUGUGCUUUGAUCGAGAGUGAAAAGUAGGAUGCUUACUGAGAUGGAUUGCACUUUGACUAUCACAGUGCAACACAAAGUUCUCUUGAACUAGGCCAAGUUCAUGUAGGAACUUCUUCAUCCAUAACAACUCUUUGCCCCCUUCAGUAAAAGCAAUAUAUUCAGCCUCUGUAGUGGAUAAUGCCACACAUUUUUGCAACCUUGAUUGCCAUGAGACUGCUCCCCCUGCAAACUUCAUCAAGUAUCCUGAUGUGGACUUUCUAGAAUCAACAUCACCAGCCAUAUCUGCAUCUGUGUAUCCAUCCAACACAGGUUUAUCAUUACCAAAACAUAAGCUGAAACUAGAAGUACCUUUGAGAUACCUGAGUAUCCAUUUCACUGCUGACCAGUGUUCUUUACCAGGAUUGGAGAGGAACCGACUGACCACACCAACUGCAUGAGCUAUAUCCGGCCUUGUGCAAACCAUGACAUACAUCAAGCUACCAACUACAGAUGCAUAAGGAACCUUUUUCAUCUCAUCUCUUUCUUCAUCACUUGAAGGACACUGCUUAGAACUUAGUUUAAAGUGGCUUGCAAGUGGAGAACAAACCGGUUUGGAUUGCUCAUGUUGAAUCUCUCAAGUACCUUUGGAACAUAUCUCUCCUGAGAUAGCCAAAGUUUCUCCUUCUUCCUGUCACGUGUGAUCUUCAUGCCAAGAAUCUGUUUUGUCGGUCCUAAGUCUUUCAUUGCAAAAGACUUGCUUAACUCUUCCUUCAAAAUCUGAAUCUUCUUAGCAUCAUGGCCAACAAUCAACAUAUCAUCCACAUACAAUAGGAGAAUAAUAAAGUUUCCAUCUGGAAACCUUUUCAUAAAUACACAAUGAUCAGAAGUGGUCCUGUCAUAACCAUGAUCCACCAUAAAAGAAUCAAACUUCUUAUACCACUACCUUGGAGCUUGCUUUAACCCAUAUAGGCUCUUUUUCAACUUGCAAACUAGCUGCUAUUUACCUUUUGCUUCAAACCCUUCAGGCUGUUCCAUGUAGAUCUCUUCAUCUAAAUCACCAUGGAGAAAGGCAGUUUUCACAUCAAGUUGCUCAACUUCAAGAUUCAAACUAGCAGCUAAGCCAAGCACAACUCGGAUUGAAGACAUCUUGACCACUGGUGAAAAGAUUUCUUCAAAAUCAAUACCCUUCUUCUGACCGAAGCCUUUCACAACCAAUCUUGCCUUGUACCUUGGUUGUGAGCAAUGUUUAUCAAUUUUCAACCUGAACACCCAUUUGUUCUUGAGUGCUCUCUUACCUUUAGGAAGCUUCACUAACUCAAAAGUAUGGUUUUCAUGCAAGGAUUUCAUCUCUUCUUGCAUUGCUUGCAACCACUCACUUUUCUUCUCAUGUGACAUGGCUUCAUCAAAGCAUUCUGGCUCUCCCCCAUCAGUAACUUGCACAUACUCAUGAGGAGAAUAUUUGGUGGAAGGUUGGCGAGGUCUGGUUGACCUCCUUAAUUGUGGCUCAUCUGGAGCUUCCUGUAUAACCUGCUCAGGAAUAACAUCAAUAUCAUCAUUAGUUGAUUCAUGAUCACCAACUAAUGGCUCAAUAAGAAAACCACCAUUAUCAUCAUUUUGCAAAUCUCCCCCAUGAUUAGCAAGCAUCAAAGGUAACUGUGGAGUAGGUCUUGGAUUUGAAUUAGAUGGAAUAAAAGUAGUAGACUCUGUUUUCUCCUUCAGUUCAAAGUCUUCAAUGGUUUGAUCUUCAAAGAAGAUAACAUCUCUGCUUCUCACAAUUUUCUUCUCCUUUGGAUCCCACAACCUAUAGCCAAACUCAUCAUCUUCAGAUCCCAAGAAAAUACACUGCUUUGUCUUGCUGUCAAGCUUGGACCUUUCAUCCCUUGGAACAUGUACAAAUGCUCUGCAUCCAAACACUCUCAAGUGUGCAUAGGAAACAUCCUUUCCUUUCCAAACUCUAUCUGGAACAUUAAACUCAAGAGGAACUGAUGGAGAAAGGUUGAUCAUGGCAACUGCAGUCUUCAUUGCCUCACCCCAAAAGGACUUAGGCAGCUUUGCAUGAGAGAGUAUACAUCUAAUUCUUUCAACAAUGGUUCUGUUCAUUCUCUCAGCCACUCCAUUCUGCUGUGGAGUCUUAGGAACUGUCUUCUCCAACUUGAUACCCUGUUCCCUGCAGUACUUAUCAAAAGGACCUCUGUAUUCACCACCAUUGUCUGCUCGAACACAUUUAAGCUUUCUACCAGUUUCUCUUUCAACUCUGGCAUGGAAAUCCUUAAAGACAUCAAGCACCUGAUCUUUGGAUUUCAAACAAGUGGCCCAAAUCUUCCUGGAGUGAUCAUCAAUAAAACUAACAAAGUACAAUGCACCUCCAAGAGACUUAUCAAUCAUAGAGCAAACAUCAGUAUGAACUAAAUCAAGAACAUGUGACCUUCUAUGUGAAGGUGAUCUUUGAAAUGCAACUCUAUGUUGUUUACCAACUAAACAAUGAGUACAUGUGUUCAAGUUCAUACCUUUCAAUGGAAGGUAGUUCUUCUUGGCAAGGAUGCCAAGGCCUUUCUCACUCAAAUGUCCAAGCCGCUUAUGCCAUAGAUCAGUAGAGCAAUCUUCAAUUGCAUUCACCUCCCCUUUGAUCACCUUGGCUUGUGACAUGUAGAGACCCAUCUUCUUCCCUUUAGCAACAAUUAGGGAAUUUCUGGAGAGCUUCCAUUUACCAUCUCCAAAGUAACUAUGAUAGCCUUCUUCAUCAAGAGUACCUGUAGAGAUUAAAUGUAGGCGCAUAUCAGGCACAUGCCUAACAUCUUUGAGUAGCAACUUGCACCCAGUAUUGGUUUCCAACCAAAUAUCUCCAAUGCCCACAACACUAGCCAUCCCUUGAUUUCCCAUCCUAACUUGACCAAAGUCACCAGCAGUGUAGGAUGUGUAAAAAUCACGUCGGGGUGUAACAUGGUAAGAAGUUGCUGAAUCUGCAACCCAGGUGGUAUCUUGACAUGCAAGAUUAACACAGCCAUCAUCACACACAAUGGCAACAUCACCAUCAGAUACAACUGCAGCUGUACCAUUGUCUUCAUUCUUGUCUUCAUCUCUACCCUUUUUAUCUCUUUUAUACUUUCUGCAAUCUUUUUGCAUAUGUCCAGGCUUGUCACAAUAAUAACACUUGAAACCCUUUCUUGACUGAGAUCUUCCUCUUGGCUUCCAUUUGCCUUUUCUAUUGCUGAAUUCUCUAUCUUGCUUGUCAUGAGAGAACCUGCUUUGACUUCUCCCUCGACUUUCUGUAACAAGUGCAUGAGACUCGGAAAUGCUUGUCCCUUUCCUCCUCUUCUCUUCAUUGAGGAUACAAUCCUUCACUGUUUUCAAAGUGUGACCUCCACUACCACUGAGCUGAGAUGUACUCCCUCAUAUCCAGCAAGCAUGAUGAAGAUGUUGUGGACAAGGAAAAUAGGCAUGGAUAAAGAUCUUUUAACAUCCCACCACAUAACCAUUUGUCUGUCUAGAAAUGGAUGUGUCUGCCAUUACCAACCCGAUACCAACAAUUGUUCUUCAAAGCCUCUCCAUGUACAGAGUUUGUGCUGUUGAGAGAAUUUAUGGAUUGCCAUGUUUCUGAAAGAGGUGGAUGAAGAGUUGAUAGGCCAUUAGUGAAGGAAGCUUGAUACUUUUUACUGAUAAGCUCUUGCCAGCCUCCUAGAUUAUUAUCUCGUAGCCUUCAUAGCCAUUUAAAUAGCAACGCCUUGUUCUUGCCUUCUAGUGAACCAAUGUCUAAACCUUCUCUAUUCUUUCCCCUGACCACUAUCUGCCAUGCAACUUUAUAAAUUUUCUGAUCUUUUGAAUCCCCACACCAUAAGAAUCUCCUCUUAAUUGAAGUAAUGACCUUAGCAACUCUCUUUGGCAUAAGAAACAAAGACAUGUGAUAUAAGGGGAGGGUGGAUAACACUAUUUUAAUAAGACACAUUCUUCUUGCCAUACUUAAUAAGCAUCCUUUCAACAGGCAUAGUCUUGUAUGAAUGCUAUUUAUUAUAGGUUUCUAAGUGGAGAGUUAUUUCGGAUUUGCUCCCAAGUAAAGUCCCAUUUGCAAUAUAUUGCAUUUUUCAUUCCUGUCGUAUAUUCAUCAUCUAAAUUGAUUCCAACCAGUGAAUUUUUAUGGAAGUUGACUUUCAGACCUGAAGCCAACUCAAACCACCUCAAAUUCCUUUUAGCGGUUGAUAUCGAAUGGAAGUCGUUAGGACUAAACACUAAGGUAUCAUCUACAUAUUGCAAAUGACUCAAAUGCAUGCCAUUUCCACAAUUAAUUCUUUUACACAAGCCAUAAUUUGAAGCUCUCUUGAACAGAACUGAUAACCCUUCCACAGCUAUGUCAAAAAGAAAAGGCGAUAGUGGGUUGCCUUGACAUAGACCACGGUGGACUCCAAACUCCAUGCUUGGUGAACCAUUAAUAAGAAUUGAUAACUUAAAUCCCAUAAUGCAUUCAUGGAUUAGAGAAAUCAACCUCUGCUCAAAGCCCAUAUACGACAUCAUUUCCUCUAGAUACUCCAUAUUAUAGAAUGUGUGUGUGUGUGUGUGUGUGUAUAUAUAAGAAAUAUUAUGGGCACUAUUCUAGUGUUGUAAUCUCUACCUUUACUAUUAUAAAUUGCCCUACACAUAUAAAUAGAAAAUGAUUGGAUAACUAAUAGGUUAAGCCUCCUACUUCUUCUCAACUCUCCCAAACAACUUAUUCAAAAGCCUUAAGAAAGUCCACUUUCAUAACAAAACCAUGCUGCCCACUUUUCUUAACACUGAGUACAACUCCAUUUUCCAUCAUGAAACCAUCUAAAACCUACCAGAGAUGAAAGUUGUCUGGUUAGCACUAAUAAUGCUAGGCAUAACCUGUCUCAAUCUGUUGGAUAACAAUUUUUCAAUAAUUUUGUACAAGUCAUGCACUAAACUUAUCGGCCUAUACUCUGAAAACUUAGUAGGCAGUUUAGUCUUUGGGACCAAAGCUACAUGAGAGACAUUAACCCCCUUUAGAAAUUUUCCAAGCCUGAAAAAUUCAUGUACAAUGUAAAAAAUAUCAUCCCUAUCAGAUGCCAUGCUAUCUUGUAGAAGGUGAACGUAAACCCGUCAGGUCCUAAAGCUUUGGUCCCAUCACAACUCCAAAUUGCUUGCUUGACCUCUUCGAUAGUUACCUCUUAUUCUAGUUGUUGAACUUGUUAUGUGAAGAGUUUAGUGAACCCAAGUGGUCUCAUUGUAGCUCUAUCAGUAGUGUCAUUAGUGAACAGACUUGAGAAGGAUGACGUUGUCGCCUCCUUAAUGUCUGCUGGAGAGGUAUGUAGUUUAUCAUUAUAUCUGAUUUGAUUAAUAAAGUUUCUGCCUUUUCGAGUCUUAGCUGUCAAGUGGAAGAAUUUUGUGUUUUUACCCCUAAGCUUGCACACCAGGUCUAUCGUGAUUUUUUAUGCCAGAUUGAUUCCACACACUUGCAUCCCACUGCUUGGAUCGUAAUGUUUGUAGCUCAGAAAUUUCAUCAUUGUUAAGUUGUAUAUCCUCUGUUAUGUUCUCAAUGGUCUGGAUUUCAUGCUGAAGAUGUAGCAGUUUUAAGUCUUGAUUGUCGAACUCUUGGUUGUUCUAAAUUCUGAGUUUUGUAGCCAUAAAUGCCAUCUUUUUAACUAAUUGAACUCUCCCAUCAAACUUAAUGUCAUACCUGAACAUCACGGUGAUCGAUCAAAAAUAUUUUCUAAUGAAAAAAAAAAGAACAGAUAUCUAACAUCUUGUUCUUUUGGGGAAAAUGGUCUAGUUUAAGAAGUCGUCACCUAAUAUUAUGAUCACUAUGAACUUUAAUUAGUCAACAAAGAUUUUUUGGUACGGGACUAGUUACGCGAAAGGAAAUAUAUUAUUACGUCUUAAGCGUUCUACUUAAGGUAAGCCGCAUUACUGGUUUUGUUUUAAAUUGCUAAAGGUUUGUUUUUGUUCUGUUCUUAUGGUCUUCCUAUGAUAUUCCUGACUCUGACGUCAAUGAAUAUUCGCCUAUGAAUAUUUUCAACUUUGGUGUUGGUAAAUAUUGCGUAACCCAAAAAAUACGGUAUUCUUGACUCUAACACCAGUAAAUAAAUUCACAAAAUUCUGCAUUAAAAGAAACAGAAAUUAUUUUUUUUCUUUUUUAUCAUUUUUUUUGUUAUUUAUGUAGCCUGGUCUCAAAACUUAAAAAGGGGUCGGGUCACUGGUCCAAACCAGUGACCCGGCUGGCCACUGUUGCAUGCAUGUGUGAAUGGUUCACGCAUGCAUGCAACAGUAACCAGUUAAUUAUUUUAGCAAGCAAGGAAGGAAACUUACUUGGGCGUGCUGCUGCUGGAGCCGAAGUCAAGGGAGACGGUUGGGCGCUGCUCACGAUUGUCAAUCCAACAUGCUGCUCAUGAUGAAGUUGGGGUGUUGUCACGGAGGAGAUCUUCCAAACUGUUGCGGCACUUGAAGAUGAAGAUGACGAUGAUGGAGGGCUGGCCUACUGAAACCAUCUUCUUCUCCUCUGUUUUCCUUUCGUUCUUCCCUUGGUCUUCUUUCUGUGCUCUCCUUGUCUGUACUGUGCUCGUCCGUUUUCCUUCUCUCUCACUGGUUCUUUUUAUGCUUGUGCUGAGGACGUACGGAUGUCUACAACCGUGGCUGAAGAGAAACAACUGUUGUUGCUCACGGUGGUUGCUGCUCAAGUCACUGAAAUUCGUGUUGCCACUACUGAGAAGAGAAGGCUGCUGCUGGAAAUGCAAGGGUGUAGCUGAUGCUGAUGGCUGUUGUUUUAGGCGAGGAGGAAAGGAAAGACAGUAACUACUAGAAAAUUGAUAAAUACAAACAAAAAUUUUGAGGGAAUAACAGUGGGGAAAAAAAUUAAAACAAAGAAAAAAAAAUGAUGACGUGUUAUUUUUACUAACGGAAUUACCAAUGGAAUAAAUCUCGUCGGUAAAUUUUGUUGGUAAAAUCGUUGGUAAACUGUAAACACUAUUCAUCAUGUCAAUUACAAAGGGAAUCAUCGACGGAAACUUCCAUCGGUGGUAUUUUACAGGAGAGCUCUAGAACUAUUCACUUCCCAAUUGCACUGUUAAAUAUUAUUCUUUACAGACAAAAUCACCGACGGAUUGAAAAGUUAUCGGUGUUAUAUGACGGUUUUCUAAAAAAUCUAGCUUAAAUUAAAUAUUACCAGACGGAUUUUUUUUUAAUUGGUAUACUUUAUGAAUUUUGUUUCUCUCUUAUUAUCUUCACUUGCAACUACAUUAAGGUAAAAAACAAUUUCUUCUUUUUUCGUGUUUUUUUCACAAUAUUUGUUUUUUAUUUUAUUUUAAUUGUUUUUGUUCGUAAUAAUUGUUUGAAUAUUAUUGUAGGAUUUCUUUUUUCAUAUGAGAUCAAUUUUCAGUUGAUUUAUUUAUAGGAUUUUUAAAAAAAAAUUCAUAUGAAUUUUUUUAGUUGAAUUUAUUUGUUUGUGUUGUUUAUUUGUUGCAAAUUUGUUUGAGUUGAUUUUCUUCUUUUUUUCCAAGCAUUUUGAGUAUUAUAGAGUUUUGAUUAAUAUUAAUUUAAUUAUUUUAUAGUUUUGUAAAAUAAAUUUUUAAAAAAUAUUUUUAAAUAAUUACCGACGGAAUUAUAUACAGUAUUUUUCCGAGGGAAUUACCGACGGAAUGAAGUGGGUAAAAAUUUUUUUGCUUGUUUUUUCCAUCAGUAAAUCCAUCGGUAAUAAUAUUUUUUUAUUACCAACGGACUUACCGACAAACAAAAAAUUACUGACGGAGCAUUUCCGUCGGUGAUUUUGUUGGUAAAUUAAUUACCAACGGAAUAGUAGUGCAAAUACCGACGGAAAAUUUCAUCAAUAAAUUUAAAGAUUGUUUUAGUGGGUCCCCUCUGAUGUUGCUAUUGGCUUGCAUUUAAUUUAUCCCGGUUGCUGGAGUUGUUGAUGACGUUGUUGCUAAUCUUGACUGCAACCAACAUUGGGGAUGGAGCUCACAGUUGGAGGCAACGCUAUUGAUGGCUGAGGAUGGAGUCCUGCUGUUGUCAACAUGAACUAGCUUUACUGCCGUAUUUCUCAUAAAGGGGAGCCAACCUUGAGGGAUAGGGAUGAUGCUGUUGCUGUGGCGCAGAGAAGAAGUUCCUGCUGGACUGGAGGGAAAGAGGAGACGAAGGCCUCUCCUGCAACACCGGAUGAAAGCCUAUAUGGUGGCUAGUAUAGGGUUCGCCGCUACCUCUUCUCUUUCUUUUUUAUGUUUCUCUCUUUAAGGGUUUCUGAUAAUAGCCUCUCAUUAAGUUUGAAUUUGAUUAACAAUCAAAUUUGAAAACGAAUAAUUAACUUUAUCUUGAAGAUAAGAAUAAAAUAACAAAAACAUAUUGUAGUAUCUAAUUUUCAUAUAAAAGUUGAUAAAAAUUUUUUAUUAAAAUAUCUUUGAUAUUUUAAUUUUACCUUUUAAACCCUAUAAAAUUAAAUAAAAAACCAACAUGUCAAAGUUUCUCCAUGAAUAGAGGUUGGGAUACCCAGCAACUUAGAAAACGAAAUGGCUCCCAUCCCCACGUUUGGCAUUGCUGUCCUAAAAUAAUUGGACAGUGGUCAGACAACCCUCGUGGCAAACGACUCAUGAGAAGAAGGCCUGAGAAUUUUAAAUGGCAGUCUGGAGUGGCAAAGGCUCUAUCAAUUCUACUCAUUGAGGUGGCAUGAAAUCGUGUGUAUCGGUGGCCACUGAGGGAAUACUCCAAAAGGUUAGAGCUUGAGAUGAAACGUUUGAAAUCUGCAGACCCAAUUGCAUUCGAAAACCCACUAUUCCUUUCAUAUUGAUGCAAAGUUUCAUUGAAGUCCCCAACAAUGAACAUAGGUGUGCAAAUGCAGCUUGUAAGAUAAGAAGAUAAUCCCACAGUUCACGCCUCUCAUGUACUGUGGUUCCGGCGUAGACUCCUAUUAUUGCACAAUUAAAUUGCUUCUCCACGUGUUAGACCAAGAAGCGCUACCCAUUGCCCACCAUAUUCGAUUGACUAUCUAGAGCCUUCCGUGAAAUUGCAGGAAUGCAUUAUUUACAUCCAUUUACCAUAGCUUCUACGGAUUUUUAGCUGUUAAUGCAAUUAAUAUUCUCACAAUAGUUAUUUUUGCUACUAAACUGAAUAUUUCAUCAUAAUCUAAUCCAUACUGCAAGAACCCUCGAGCUACCGAACUUGCCUUAUAUAUUUUGAUCGAUCCAUCUGGACAUGUCUUCACCUUGUAACCCAUUUAUAAGAUAUGUGCUUCACGUCUAUAUAGGCUUCGACACUAAGUCUCAUGUCCGAUUUUCCAUUAGAGCAUGGAUCUCCUCAUCCAUUUCUUUCUUUCAUUCACUACUCUGUGAUACUUCUUCUUAAGUCAUAGGCUCUAUAACCUAAGCUUUCAAAGCUAAUGUUAUGUUAGCAUAUUUUGGAUUUAGUUUCCGUUGUCUCCUUGACCUUUUCACUUAUGACUGAUGUGUACCUUGUUCUUAAACUUUUGCUAUCUUGGUUACUCUUCUUUCGAAGAUAUUUGAUGAACACUAGUUUUCCAGGGGCUUGCUCGCAUUAUAGGAUUUUCUUGAUCAUCAAAUGUUGUAGACUCCUCCAUUUUUCAAGGUAUUUGUUACAUAUUUUAAGAUAUGAUUUAUAUUAUUUUCUAACACACCCCUUCAAGUGAAAGCCAUUUGAGCUUGAAACUUGCACAUGUUCACACCACAUUAUGCUUGAUUUUUAUCAAAUAAAUGGAGAUGAUGAGAUUUGAACUCGUGAUCACUUGGUCAUCAAGGCUCUGAUACCAUAUCAAAAAACCAAUUCAACCCAAUAGCUUAAACUGUUAGGUAAAGUUUCAAAUAUGAUUUAUAUUAUUCUCUAACACACCUUCACCUUUUCUAUUGGCCACUAGGAAGUUGCUUCAUCAAACAUGACCUUCCUCGCAGUGGUGGAGCCAAGAUUUUUUAAAUAAGAGAGCAAAUUACUAGCAAAUAUUUGAUAUUAUAUGCUAUACAAACAUGUGUUAUAUAAAGAAAUUAAUUUGAAAUAUAUGUACCAACUCAAGUCAAGUAAAAUUAAUUUAAGAAUACUUUUAAAAUAAAAAAACUUUAUAAUUGUUCUCUUCGAGAUUUUAUAUUUUAAACUGCUUUAUAAUGAUUUUAUUUUUAAUUUUUAUUUUUAAUCUCAUUAAAAAUAUCUUUCUCAAUAUAUACAAUAAACUUUCAUUUAUCUAUUUCUAAAUCUUCUAAAGACUAGGAAAGUUCUUGGCAACAAUUCUAUGUUGACAUAUAGUACAUAACAUCUAAAAUCAUAGCUUAAAAAGAUUGUCACAAAUUGAUGUUGUUCUUGCUAACUUAUUGUUUUAUACAAAUGGAUUAAACAUAAAUAUUAAAUGUUUUAUUUUUAAUUUAUAUAUUAUGAUAAUUUUUUGAAUUGUCUUGUAUUUUAUUUUUAAUCACUAGUAAAUUCAUCAUCAUCAUUUUUCAUAUGAAAUUCAUAGCAAAAUACUUAUCAAUUCAUCAAAACUCAUUUCAAUUCAUAUCUAUUAACAUAUAAUAUUACCCAUACACGUAUUAAUUCAACAAACCCAUAAAUUAUUAUAAACCCCAACAUUUUCAAUAACUAAUUAUAAAGAAAUAAAACUAAAAUUAGAUAAUGAAACAAAUAGAAAAAAUGAAGGAAAUAAAUUAGAUAAUGAAACAAAUAGAAAAAAUGAAGGAAAUUUUCCUUAAAUAUAAGAGGUUUGAAGAAAAAUUUUGUAGAAGAGAGAAAGACAUGGACAAUAAUGAAAAAAGAAAAAGAGUUUGGAUUAAUUAGUAGCUAAUAAAAAAAAUUAACCCUGUAAAGCUAUAAUAUUAAUAUUUUAAUAUAAAAAGAUACUUUAAAAAAAAAGAGAUUAAAGGGGCAAUUGCCCUCUCUUGAUCUAUUGUGGCCACUACACUACAAGAUUUAACAGUUUUACCAACGGAAUUUUUCCGUCGGCGUAAGACACAUAUUCCGUCGGUAAUUAAUUUUCCGACGGAAUCACAGACGGAAAUGCUCCGUCGGUGAAUCUUUCGUCGGUAAUUAUUUUUUCGUCGGUAAAUCUGUUGGUAAUAAAAAAAUAAAUUUAUCCGCUUCAUUUCGUCGGUAUAUCCCUCGGUAAUAAUAUUUUUUUAUUACCAACGGAUUUACCGAUGGAAUUGCCGUCGGUAAUUCCAUCGGUAAUUAUUUAAAAACAUUUAAAAAAAUUCAUUUUAUAAAAUUAUAAAAUAAUUAAAUUAGCAUAAAUUAACACUGUAUAAUAUAUACUCAAAAUGCUUGGAAAAAGAAUAAGAAAAUCAACUCAAACAAAUUUGCAACAAAUAAAUAAAAUGAAAAAAUAAAUUCAACUAAAAAAUUCAUAUGAAAAAAAUAAAGAUGCAAUUGCUAAAAAUUUAAAAAUCCUAUAAAUAAAUUAACUAAAAAUUGAUCUCAUAUGAAGAAAAAAUCUCACAACAACAUUUAUACAAUUAUUAAGAACAAAAACAAUUAAAAAUAAAAUAAAAAACAAAUAUAGUGAAAAAAAUCAUGAAAAAAGAAGAAAAAAAAUCUUACCUUAAUGUAGUUGCAAGUGAAGCUAAGGAGAGAAAAAAAUAUUUCGUUAAGCAUAUUAAUUAAAAAAAAACUAAGAGGAUAAAAGAAGAAAGAAGAAGAAGACAUACCCAAGCAUGAAGGAAAAGAGAAGGAGAUGAGGAGAGAAAAGAAGAGAAAGAAAUAUAUAUUGAUGUUUUUUACAUAUAGCGAAGAAGAAGAAGAAGAAGAAGAAGAAGAAGUAGAAGAACAAGAAGAAGAAAUGAGUCUGUCUCUUGUGAAAUAAGGGGAUUCAUGCUUUUUAUUGGGGCGCGUUACCGACGGAUUUACCGACGGAUAAUUGAAUAUUAAUAUUUUUUAAUUAUUCCGUUGGUAAUUCCAUCGGUAAUAUUUAAUUUAAAUUUUCAAUUUCAUAAAAAUUUUUCAGAAACCGCCAACAAUUACCGACGGUUUUUCAAUCCGUCGGUGAUUCCGUCUGUAAUAUUUAAAUGAAAAUUUUAAAUUAAUUGAAUUUUUUCAGAAAACCGCCAAAUAACACUCUCUGGAAAAUACCGACGGAAAAUUCCGUCAGUGAUUCCCUUUGUAAUUGAGAUGAUGAACAGUGUUCACAGUUUACCGACGGAAUUACCAAGGGAAUUUACCGACGGAAAAUUCCGUCGGUAUUUCCGUCGGUAAUUCCGUUGGUAAAAAUGACACGUCAUCUUUUUUUUUUUGCUUUGUUUUAAAUUUUUUUCCCACGGUAAUUCCGUCGGUAUAUACCGAGGGAAUAUUUCCGUCGGUAAAAUCCCUCGGAAAUUUACCGAUGAAAAUAUUCCCUCGGUAUUUCUGUUUGUAUUUAUCAAUUUUCUGGUAGUGGGCUCCGUCACUGCUUUCUCGAUACCAUACAUUUUAUUGGUACUGGGAUUGCAACAUUUCCAUGCUUUUCGUUGCUCAUUUUAAACCCAAGAAUAUGCAAUGAAUCACUUUCUUAUCUAAUUUUCUUCGAAGAAUAUCGGGCAUGAACACAUAUCAUACAUAUCCAAACACUCUAAAGUAACACAUCUUUGCCCUUAUGCUCGUAACUUUUCACAUGAUGUGGUGAAUCUAAGAUUUGCUUAGGUAAGCCUAUUGAUAACAUGUGUAGCUGCCUUCAUGCACUCACCUUAGAAUCUCCUUGGAACAUUCUUGACAUGUAGCAUACGUCUACAAGUUUUCGCUAAGUGCCUAUUCUUUCUCCCCGCUACUCUAUUUUGAUGGGGCCCUGCUGGACAAGUAAGUUGUCGACAAAUACUGCAUACUCUUAGAUAGUUAUUGAGUUCUUCACAAGUGUCACGUUAUCUGUACUAAGUAUUAUAGAAUGUGUUAGAAUAGGAAAUAUUGUAUUAUUAAUGUAUUGACUUAUCGUAUAUAGCAUACUAUACUGUAAUAGAUGUACUGUUUUAAUUAUAUAAAUAGCAGAGGUGGUUAUCUCAUUAGCUCAAGCCUCUCAAUUAUCACAAACUUUGUUGCAACUUGAUAUCAGAGCCAAUUUAUCUUCACAUAUUUAUUCUUCAAACAGCAGCCCCUCUACUACUUCUCUGCAACAAAAUCAUCUCCUCUGUUUGUUGUCUAUUUCUACUCCUCCAUCAGCUAAUUAUUCUUCAAACGACAGCCCCUCUAAUUAUUUUUUAUUACUACUGCUUCAAACAAAAUCCAUUAGCAACGAUAUUGCUUCUCUGCAACGCUGACUUUCUGCCUCAUGAUCAGCGUGUUAAUUACUUGCUUCAUUGUGCUAUUGUUUUUUCUGUUAAUUACUGCAUUGUUGUUACGAUGUCGCGGUCACACAAAUUAAUUACCCUAACUUAAAAUACAACACACAAGAUAAUAUAGAGCAAAUAAGGGGUCGAUCCCACGAGGAAAGUUCGAGUCAGAUUUUUAUGCUGUAUGAUAUGCAACUGGGGGGUUGUGAAGUUAUCUAGGUUAAAGCAAAAGAAAACAAAAAAAUACCAAGCAAAAUUAAAUAAAAUCAGAAAAUAAUCAAUAGAACAAACCUUGGUCACAAGUAAACGUCCACCUACAGAAAUCAGAACUGAUCAUGGAAACAAAACAUCAAUUUAUAUUCCGAAUAUUUAUCUCUUCUUAACAUUGGUUAGUUAAUGGAUCCGCUAUAUAACUAACCCUAGUCAUCAAACAACCACAGUGUCCGCACUAGUAAUUUAAUUAAAUGGCAGCCUUAAGAACUAGAUAAGUUAAUUAAUCAAGAAAAAAUAACUAUCUGCAGUCUAUGUUUGAUUUGAUUGAAUAUUCUCCUUAAGAUUAAUAACAUAGAUCCAUCACAAUUAUUAAACUCAGUUGCUUCACAAGUUCAUAUACCACAACUCCGGUUUUGAUAUCAAACUUAGCAAUAAAUUGUCUACAAUAAUAACUUAGAGUCCGCUCUAGCAAUUAAAAUAAACAAUCAUAGAAAAAAUAAGCGUAGGAGAACAAACAUAUUCAUCAUAUAAACUGGAAAGAAAAGGUAAAAUAAAUCUCACAGUUCUUGAAAUCCGAAGGUUUUUGUGUUCUUGCAACCAAGAAAAAGAGUUUAGCCUUGCAUGUUUGUUGAAAAACUAAUCAAAAAGAAGGAGGAAUGCAUGAUUUCGGGUUUCUUAGAGGAAAGGGGUGUUUUUCUCUUCUUUCCAGCCUGCCUCUCUUCUCUUCUCUCAUUCUUUUUAUAUCCUAAGAAACCUAGUCUCUAUUUUACAAAAUAGUCCUCCCUUAAGUAGAUAGUUUACAUUUAAGUACUUCAAUAACUAUUUUCCUAAAAAAAAGAAAUAUCCUUGCAUGAAAUCUUCAAUCUUUGACUUAGAGGAGCUAAAUUGGUGAAACAAAAACUUGAAUGUCGGUUUAAAUGCCCCUUAACGUAAUUUGGACUCGUUUCUUCACGAAACUUGUUUGCUGGCAGAAUUAAGUUGUGAUCUUUGAAAAAUCAUAUCUCCCUCAUAUGACAUUGUUUUUUGAUGAAAGUUGGAGUGUUGAUAUUUAUUUGAGUCCAGAAUCCAAAAACAUUGAGUUUGCAUCAAUUGGAUUUUUGUAACUCAAGAUAUUCAAGUUGGAAUGGCUGAAGGUCAAUACCAGCAGAUUGCAAGAUUUGACUUUGAAGGUUGCAAUUUCCAUAUUCUUCCUUAUUUUAUUUUCUUGGCUUAGAUUUCCAGAAAGGUAUGGAUGUUAGCUUUUUAUUCCACUGGAAUCACUUCAUUUUGACCUCUAGAACUCACACUCUGCACAAAACAUCUAUUGAAGGUCAAAUCUGCCAAUUACCUUUAAUUUACUCAUUUUUACAUCUUUCAUCCAAAAGUGCCUUCAAAACAUAAAACAAAAAAUAUUAAGGCAUUUUAUAUAAAACAAAACAUAAGCAAAACACUAUGUAAAUGUGUGUUGUUAUCCAUUUUUGGGUUCCCGCACAAAAAAUAAAAAAAAUACAUAUUAGAAAAUAUAUUCGGAAGGAAUCCAAAAAAAUAAUAUGAGUGAGAAAAGGAUGUUGGAACACCCAUAAAAUGUCUAGAAAUUGGUUGAGGAGGUUCAAAAAUACAAGAAUUGAAAUUUGACAAUAUAUUUUCAAGUGGUGAGAGCCUUGUUUACAAGGAAAAUUUAAUUUUUGAGGAAGAAAAGUCCAAAAUCAGAUGUUUAUGGACUUAAUUAAAUUUUAUCUAAGGUUUAAUUGAAUUUAUGGAGGGUUUGGUUACAAGAAAUAUUGAUUUUUAAGUCAAUUUAAGCUUUUAUUGGAAGAAAUUAAAGUUCUGAGAGCCAAUUAUAAUUUUAAAGAGUUGAUUUGGUCAAAUUAGGGGCUUAAUUGCAUAAUUAUUGAAGUUUGAUGGCCAAUUAGGGACUUAAUUGAAACAAUCCAAAACCAAUUACCAAACUGGAAAAGGCGCUCAAAUCAAGGGAUCCAAUUACAAUUUUUCUGGGGUCUUGAUUAUAAACUUGCAAAAACAUCCAAGGACCAAAUCAGAAAUAUCAUUUAAAGUUGCAAAACGGUGUCGUUUCACUGAACACUGCUCACUGUCGUUACGUGCAGCUGGCCGAGAGACGUUGCAGCAGCGAAGGCGUUGAUUUGCUUCAAUCAAUGGGGCAUGUUUCAUGGCUGAUAUCUCUCGCCACCAUGAUGCACGCCGGCCGUUACUCUGUCCCUGCAACAACAAAUGAAAACGCCUGCAUCCUCUGGCUAUAAAAGCUAGAGGAUGUACUGAACAGAAGGAGAAAAAAAAAGGAACGAGACAGAGGAAAGAAAAAACAGAGGGAGAGGGGAACGUAAAGAAGAGAAAACAGAGGGAGGAAGAGCGUAAGAAACUAAAAAAAAGCAGUAAGAGAAGAAAGCAGAGAGAGGAGAAUAGAGGAGAGCAAACAGGAAAAGAAAGAAAAAGAGAAAGAGAGAGAGAGAGGAGAGUGAACGAAAAAAAAAACAGAGGAACACAUUAGCAACCUAAAGCAGAGAACGCAGAUAGCAAAAGAGGUCAGCACCAUCAUCGUCUUCAUCUCUCCAGCACCAGGUAUGUUCACUUCCCUCCUCAGUCCCUGUAAUAAAAAGCGUCAUAGUAACUCUGCGCCAACGUUUCUGGUUUUCAUCAAGCAUCACUUCUUCUUUCUUUUCACAUAAUUUCCAACCAUAAUUCCAUGAUAUAUCACAAGUAUAUGCUCUACUAAUCCUUGGCCAGGGUAAAAGAGAAAAACAUAUAAAAAGUUAAGGCUUAUACAUGGAUAAAGCAAAGAAAAGAUAAACAAGCUCAAAAGGGCUCACUAAGGAUAAUAUGUUUUAGGUUGGCUUUUUGGCUCAAGUGAUUGAAAUUCCUAAUGCCUUUGUCAUCUUCAUAUAUAUAUGUAAUGCGAAUGUAAUCUCAACAAGAUAUGAAGCAAGUUCUAGAGAUACAUAUCAUUGAAAGAAUGCACAAUCAAAGAAUAUAAUGUUGAAGGCUCAAAAGCUUGCAUUGGUAUAACAGUAUAAAGUCAACAUGACAUAUUUUCAAAGUCAAUCCUUAAACCAAUUACACAUUAAAACUUGCAUGCACACUCAUUCAUUAGAUUUAUAUCUUUAUCUAUCUCAAUUAAUUCUCAUGCAUAAUACUCAUAUUCUCAUAAACCAAUGGGAGUUCAAAAAAAUCAAACAUAGAAUUUUUUUUUUUUGAAAAAUAACAAAGAAAACCAAAAUUCCCUUAAUACCCCCACACUUUAAACACAACAUUGUCUUCAAUCUUGAAAUAAAAGAAAAGGAAUAUAGGAGAAUGACAAAAAUAAAGUAAAAUGUGAAAAAUAAAAGAUAAGGGAAAAAGAAAGCAAAUAUGAUUUUUUUUUCUUUUUGUGAUGGGUUGCCUCCCAGUAAGCGUUUUUGUUUUAUAUCAUUGGCUCAACAUGUGGCAUACUUAUUCUUCAUAGAUUGGUUUUGCUAAAUCCACAGAAGCGGUGAGUUCUGUCGUCCAACCUUCAAAGAAAGGUUUCAAGCGAUGCUCAUUGACCUUAAACACUUUGUUUGUUUCUAAACUUGUAAUUUCAAUUGCACCAUAAGGAAAAAUAUUAGAAACAACAAAGGGUCCAAUCCAACGAGAGCGCAACUUUCCAGGAAAAAGUUCCAAACACGAAUGAUAAAGAAGGACUUUGUCUCCAACAUUAAACUCUUUUCUUUGCAAAUCCUUGCAUUCUUAAGCAUCAUUUCAAAUCUCUUCUAACUCUUGUAAUAGCAACUUUCUUGCAAUCCCAGCAGCAUCAUAAUCCAUGUUACAUUUUUUAAUGGCCCAAAAAGCUUUGUGUUCAAGCUCCACCGGUAGAUGACAUGUUUUCCCGUAAAUCAUCCUAUAAGGUGACAUUCCUAUAGGUGAUUUGUAAGCAGUCCGAUAAGCCCAAAGUGCAUUACCAAGUCGUAGACUCCAAUCUCACCGGUUAGGUUGCACUAUCUUCUCCAAAAUGGAUUUGAUUUCUCAAUUUGAAAUUUCAGCUUGGCCAUUCAUUUGAGGAUGGUAUGUUGUGGAAGUUCAAUGAGUCACAUGUAUUUGUGUAACAAUGUUUCCAUUUAACGAUUGCAAAAAUGAGUGCCAUGAUCACUAAUGAUAGCUUUAGGGAUUCCAAACCUAUCAAAUAUGUGAGUCCUGACAAAAUCUAAAACAACCUUAGCAUUGUUAGUUCAUGUGGCUUUCGCCUCAAGAAGGAUAUAAAGAUUGCCUAAAGAAGAAGGAAAUGGACCCAUAAAAUCAAUACCUCAAACAUAAAAAAUUUCACUUACAAGAAUAUUCGUUAAAGGCAUUUGAUUCUUAUGAGUGAUAUUACCUGUUCUUCGGCAUUUUUCACAUGAUUUUCAAAAAUAAUAUGCAUCCUUAAAAAUAGAAGGCCAAUAAAAACCACUUUCAAGUACCUUAUGGAUCGUUUUUUUUUCUCCAAAAUGCCCACCACAAGAAUGAGAAUGACAAAAAGUGAGAAUGGAAUGAAAUUCAUCCUGUGGUACACAUCUCCUAACUAUUUGAUCCACACAAAAUUUUCACAAAUAGGGGGUAUCCCAAAAAUAAUAUUUAGCAUCAGCUAGUAACUUGUUUUUUUAGGAUGUAGACAAACCUGAAGGGAAUUCUUUGGUGACUAAAUAGUUCACCAAAUUAGCAUACCAUGGUCUUGUAGAGGAAUAUAACACAUACAACUGCUCAUCGGGGAAUGUCUCUCUUAUUGUUUUGGUUUGUAUAUCCUCGGUCCUUAGUCGACUCAAGUGAUCAGCCUCUUGGUUUUCAACACCUUUUUUUUCUUUGAUCUCAAGAUCAAUUUCUUGUAAAAGCAAGAUCCACUUAAUCAAUCUUGGUUUGGACUCCUUUUUCUUCAAAAGAUACCUCAAAGCUACAUAGUCAGUAAAAACGACUUUUAUACCAAGUAAAUAUGACAUGAAUUUUUCUAGAGCAAAUAUCAUUGCAAAAAGUUCCUUUUCAGUUGUAUGGUAAUUGCAUUGCGCUCCGUCCAACAUGUGGGAAGCAUAGGCUAAACAUGCAAAUUCUUACCAAUUCUUUGCCCAAUUACAACCCCUAUCGCAGAGUCAAUCGCAUCACACAUUAUCUUGAAAGGCUCAUCCUAGUUUGGUGGUUGCAUGAUAGGGGUAGAUGUGACAUGCCUCUUGAGCUCAUCAUGGACAUCUUUACAUGCUUGAUAAAACACAAAAUCCACUUCUUUCACUAAUAGUUUGCACAAGGGUGUUGUGAUCUUCAAGAAAUCUUUGAUAAAGCGUCGAUAGAAACCUGUAUGGCUCAGAAAAGAACGAACUUCCCUCACGCAUGAGGGGUAAGGAAAUAAUGAAAUAAUGUCUAUUUUAGCUUUAUCAACCUCUAAUCUACAUGAAGACACAACAUGUCCAAGAACUAUUCCUUGUUCUACCAUAAAAUAACACUUUUCAAAAUUCAAGACAAGGUUAGUUUCAAUGCACCUUUUCAAAAUUAAAGAUAAAUUUUCUAGACAUUUAUCAAAAGUGUCGCACCCGACAUCGCGGCGGCCUUAAAAAUUAUUAAAUCUUUGGAAAGAACGGAUUUCUGGCAUCCUGUUCUUUAAUGCGGAAUGGUCUUGUUUAAGGAGUCGCCACCUAGUAUUAUGGUCACUAGGAACCCUAACUGGUCAACAGAGAUUCUAUGGUUCGGGACUGCUACGUAAAAGGAAAGAUAUUAUCACUCCUUAAAUGUUCUGCCUGAGGCAGGCUGCAUUGCUAGUUUUGUCUUAAAUUGCUAAAUAUUUAUUGGUUUAUGCUCUGAUGGUUUACUUGCAAUAUUCCUGACUCUGGCGCCAGUGAAUAUUUAACUACGAAUAUUUCCAACUCUGGCGUUGGUAAAUAUUACGUAGGUACCAAAAUAAAUAAAUUUAAAUCAUCAUUUUCCUUUUUUAUUCCUGACUCUGGCGUCAAUAAAUAAACAAAUAAAAAUCAAUUUAUUUUUAUACAUACGCAUUUUUAUUUUUAUGUAGCUAAAUAAAAGCAAAAUACAAAUAAAAAAUUAAAUAUAGUUGACAAUGGGGUUAAGACAAAAAGAAUCACCAUACACUGUGAAAUCAUCCAUGAAAACUUCAAUUAUUCUUUAAACAUAGUCAGAAAAAAUACUCAUCAUGCAUCUUUGAAAAGUUGCAGGUGCAUUACAGAGACCAAAUGACAUUCUCCUAUAUGCAUAUGUACCAAAUGGACAUGUAAAUGUAGUCUUUUCUUGAUGUUCAGGAUUAAUAACAAUCUGAUUAUAUCCAUUAUAUCUAUCAAGAAAGCAAUAAAAAGACUUACCUGUCAGGCGUUCAAGCAUUUGGUCCAUGAAUGGUAAUGAGAAAUGAUCUUUGCGUGUAGAGAGAUUAAGCUUUCUAUAAUCAACACACAUUCUCCAUCCACUCAAGAUGCGAGUAGUAAUGAGUUCCUCAUUUUUGUUCUUUAACAACGUGAUCCUGAUCUUUUUGAGCACCACAUGGAUAGGCACCACCCAUUUACUGUCCAUGAUGGGGUAAAUGACUCCUGCAUCUAAUAGUUUCAAAAUCUCAGCUUUCACUACCUCCAUCAUAGGCGGAUUCAACCUCCUUUGCAUUUCCCUCAUUGGUUUUGCAUUGUCCUCCAAUAAUAUGUGAUGCAUACACAUGGAGGGACUAAUGCCUUUGAUGUCGGCUAAAGUCCAUCCAAUUGCCGUCUUGUGAUCACACAACAACUUCAUAAUUUUUUCCUCUUGCGCCCUUGUCAAAUCUUUUGCUAUGAUAACGGGAAGUGUGUUGUUGUCGCCAAUGAAUACAUACUUCAAAUUAUCGGGCAAAGGUUUUAAUUCUAACUCAGGGGCCUGUAAAAUAGAUGGCAAAAGCUUUUUAUGUGAAAGUACUAAAUCAACAAAGACAUUACCAUAAGGAAUGGUUUGCAAAGCUUGCAAAGCCAAUGCUGAUUCGUGCAUGUUUUGGGGAACACAUGUGCCUCUCUAUCUCUUUUAUCUUGGUAAAAUCAUAGCCAUAACUCAAAGUCAUGCUUAAUUCGUUCUCACGGUCAUAAUAAAAAACUUGUCGCACACACUUAUCAACUUGGUCAUAGCAUGUGAUAGAAUAAACAUUGUUGUAUGGAUAUUUCAUUGCAUCAUGAAAAUUAAAUUCAAUUUCUUCAUCUCCUACCUCCAUAGACAAAGUAUCCUAACCACAAUCAAUCUUUGUAUUGGCAGUUUUCAAGAAUGGUCUCCCAAACAAUAUAAGAGUGUUGUUUGAUGAAUCACAAGAGUCCUGUUCCAUAUCAAGAAUAUAAAAGUCGCAUGGAGUAACCAAACUAUCAAUCUUGACUAGAACAUCUUCUAUCACACUAAGUGGAUAAACAAAACUAUGAUCCGCAAGUUGUAUUACAAUACUAGAUUUAUUUGAGCUCCAAACUAAGAGAAUCAUAAACAUGUUUAGGCAUAACACUAAUGGAUGCACCUAAAUCGCAUAAAGCCCUUUUAAAACUAGCAUUACCAAUAACACAUGGGAUAGUAAAUACACUUAGGUCUUUUUGCUUCAAAGGCAUAUUCUUUUGAAGAACAGCAGAUACAACUUCACCCAUACUUACUAUUUCAUGACCUUUCAGUUUGAAAGCUCUCUUGGUAGUACACAACUCCUUCAAAAAUUUGGCAUACUUGGGAAUUUGCUUGAUAGCAUCAAGUAAAGGAAUGUUGAGUUCUACUUUCUUGAAAACCUCUAAAUUAUCUUUUUCUUUGUCCUCUUUCUUUGACCUAGAAGAACUCACAGAAAAGGAUGGAAUUGUUUUAAAACUAGAAUUCAUUGACUGACGAGUUACCUUUGGAGUGUUGGUCGUUGUUUCAUUUUGUGGAGGAGAAGGGUGUUUCUUCUUUGUACUCAAUUUGGUUUCUAUCUCUUCUUCUUCCUCCAUCUCAAUUUGUUUCAACCUUUGCCUUUCAAGUUCUUUCCCACUUCACAGCAUGAUUGCACUAACAUUCUCUUUUGAAUUCAAUGCUUGGGAAGGCAAUUUUCCAUUCAUUUGUGCUUCCAAUUUCCCCACACUUGAAGCUAUUUGCUCCAUUUGCUUCUCCAAAUUAUGAAUACUUAACCUUGUUCUUGUUGAAAAGACAUGACGUUUUAUUGCAAGGUCAUUGUAUUAAAAGCUAAUGUCUUCGUCAUCUCAUAAAGAUCAUCAUUGGAUGACGAACCCAUAACAUUAGAGUUUGUGAAUGGAGGGGGCGGUCUCACUUGAUAAUUCUGCUAAGGCUAAAAUCCAUGGGGAUGGAAUUGUCGGCCUUGAUUGCCUUGUUGAGGCAGGUUCCCAUAGCGUAAGUUUGGAUGAUCUCUCCAUCUGGGAUUGUACAUGUUGGAAAAGGGAUCAUAGUUACGCUAGGGUUAGCCGUUGAAUCCUCCAUCAACUGCAUGAACUUGUUCAAUAUAAUCUUCUUGUAUUGUUGGGCAUAUAUCUGUGCUAUGUCCUUGUAAGGAACAUAUGCUACAAACUUUCACUUGUUGUACAUUUCCAUAAGCCAAAGAGCGCAUAAGAGAAGUAAGAUCAUUAACUUUAUUUUCAAUGUUAGAAAUACUUACCUCAUUUACUCGUUUGUUUGAGAUGUCUCCACGGGUGCCAAACUGUUUUGAGUUGGCUAUCAUGUUUAAGAUCAAUUGGCGUGCACCCUCUGGUGUCUUGUCUACCAAUGCCCCUCCAUAUGCAGCAUCAAUGAUACUACGAUCAGUAGGCAUCAAUCCUUCAUAGAAAUAUUGAAUGAGCAGCUGACCGGGUAUUUAAUGAUGAGGGCAUUGGAUGCACAGUUGCUCAAAUCUUUCCUAAUAUUCGGAGAGUGUCUCGCCAUAAGAUUGCCGAAUCCCACAUAUUUCUUUCCUUGUGUUGGCAACUUGAGAUGCUAGGAAAUUACUUCUCAAGGAAGAUCUUCUUCAUGGCAUUCCACGUUCCAAUGGAACCUGGGAGAAUAGAGAAAAGCCAUGCCUUUGCUGCCCCUUUUAAAGAGAAAGAGAAAGCUUUCAACUUAACUUGUUCUUCAUCAACUCCAUUCAGUUUCAUGCCAACGCAAACCAUAUGAAACUCCUUAAGAUGAGUAUGGUUGAUUUUCCAUGUUAGGAGCAGCAAGCUCUAUGAGUGUUUGUUAUCAUGCAAUAGCCUUAGUGUUGACGCGAGCUUCGUUUCAUAACCUGAGUAAAGUGUUUUCUAUUUUGAGAUCCACAUGUACUUGACUCUGGUUAAUAGAACGGGUUACAGGCAUAAAUCAUCAAGAAAACUCAAAAGAAACUAACCACACAAGAGAUCGAAAACAAUGCAAAUUGUACGAAAAUCCUAUCCUCUCUCCCGUUCUCUCUUUUUCUCUUAUUUUUCUGCUCCCUUUUUUUGCUAUUUUUUUGCUCUCUUUUUGCCGCCCCUUGCUAGGUCAUUAAAGGGGUUUAUAUAUAGUCUAGAAUAUCUCUAUUUAGGAAAGAUUUAAUGCAUUAAUUCUAGGACGUAAAUCCCUACUGAUUUGCAGUAAAAAAACGCAAAAGGAAGCUGCAAUAUUCUGAUUUUGUGCUGGUGCUUUACGUCUGAUUUCUUUCCAAUUUUAGAGGAGGGUGUGGCUAUUUUCUUUCCUUCCUUUCAUAGGGCCAGCUGCUCCCUUUCAAAUGAGGCAAGAAAAAACGUGGUUGCAGCUCCAAAAUUCAGGCAUGAUGAUAAAGGAAAAACAGCAGGAAUUUGCAGCGAAAAAAAGGAAAGAAAUCAGAUGGAGGGUGCAGCUGCAAAGUCUCAUUUUCCUUAUUCGGUGUGGAAAAAAUCCUGUCAUUUAUGAUGAUACAGCCCCCUCUCCAGCUUUCAAUAUCCUUCUUCAAUUCAAUCCCUCAUUUUAACAAUUUUUGAUUCAGUCCUGGGUCCAAAAAAAAUCCUUCGAAUCAGCCCCGCGAAUUGGGCUAUAUCCUUCCCGCGGCAGAAUUUUCUAUCCUCACGUUAGAUAUUCAAAAUGGGAAUAUCUUGAGCUUCUGAUAUCGAAAUCAAGUGAUUCAAAAGCCCAAAUUCAUCUACAUGUCUAGGACUAAAACUUUAAUGAAGAAGUCGAAGUGAGAUAAAAUCUUUUUACAGAACAGAAACUGGCAGUAAUCUAGUUGGUCAAAAGGAAUCUCCGGGUCUAACUCAAAAACUGAGGAAUGUCGAGAAUCCUGAUAUGACUGAGAGUAUGAACUAAGAACGAAAAUCACAAAAACUAGGCCAAAAAUAGAGUUUCUUUAGUGUAGACUCGGGUCAAUAUCCUUCUCGCGGCAGAAUUCUCUGCCUUCACGUUAGAUAUUCAAACGGGAACAUCUUAGGCCUCUGAUAUCAAAAUCAAGUGAUUCAAAAGCCCAAAUUCAUCUACGCGUCUAGGACUACAACUUUGAUGAAGGAGUUGAAGUGAGAUAAAAUCUUUUUACAGAACAGAAACUGGCAGUAAUCUAGUUGGUCAAAAGGGAUCUCUGGGUCUAACUCAAAAACUGACGAAUGCCGAGAAUCCUGAUAUGACUGAGAGUAUGAACUAAGAACAAACAUCACAAAACUAGGCCAAAAAUAGAGUUUUUUUAGUGCAGACUCGGGUCAAUAUCCUUCUCGCGGCAGAAUUCUCUACCUUCACGUUAGAUAUUCAAAUGGGAACAUCUUGAGCCUCUAAUAUUGAAAUCAAGUGAUUCAAAAGCUCAAAUUCAUCUACGCGUCUAGGACUACAACUUUGAUGAAGGAGUCGAAGUGAGAUAAAAUCUUUUUACAUAACAGAAACUGGUAGUAAUCUAGUUGGUCAAAAAGGUUCUUGAUCUGACAAUACUGAGCAUCCAAAUCUAAAUGAGAAUCUGCUCUAAGAACAAUGAUCCCUAGGACCUAAUAAAGGUGUACGUCAAUUUUUCAAUAUGUAAUGAGUGACAGGAUAUACCUAGGAUGGUCAGAUAUCGUAUGAAACUGAGUCAGAAUCAGAGCCUAAGUUGGAACCAAAAAAAAUUGCGACAGCAGCAGAACUAUUUUUUUAGUGCAAAUUCUGAGGGAUUUAUUCAACUUUAAAGACCAGAUAAAAAAUAAUGAAUUUAGCAUUAUGAAGACUCCUGAUCAAACUAAGAAAACCUGAUGAUUUUGGUAGUAAAGGGGAAGGAUAAAAAGAGCAGAAAACAACUCAAACAAGGUUUCAAAAUAUUUCUUUAUGUGCCUUUGUCAAUCUUUUGGUGAAUAUGAGCUAAUCUCCUACACUCUGUUCAAAAGAGGUAUACACUGUCUUCAGCACGUGGGGUCCAAAAUUGAGUAACAACAGUUGCCCCCUCUUUACAAUGCUUACGAAGCAAAACUUGUCAAGCGCUUCGCGUAGUAAGUGUUGUAAAGAUAAACCAUUUGAUCCUGCUAAAUCUCACUGCUUUUCCUAAACAAUGGUCUCCCUAUCAGAUGACCUGCUUAUUUAAGAUUUCUAGAAAAACUUCAAUUUUUUUUGAAAUGGUCUGAUUAUCGGGUGACCUGCCCAUCUUAAGAUUCUUUGAAAACUCCACGCUUUUCUAAGAAACGGUCUCAAUAUCAGGUGACAGGCCCAUCUUAAAAUUCUUAGAAAACUCCACGCUUUUCUAAGAAACGGUUUCAAUAUCAGGUAACCGGCCCCUCUUAAAAUUCUUUAGAAAACUCCACGCUUUUCUAAGGAAUGGUCUCAAUAUCGGGUGACCUCUUAGAAAACUCCACGCUUUUCUAAGGAAUGGUCUCAAUAUCGGGUGACCUGCCCAUCUUAAGAUUCUUAGAAAACUCCACGCUUUUCUAAGAAACGGUCUCAGUAUCAGGUGACCGACCCAUCUUAAAAUUCUUAGAAAACUCCACGCUUUUCUAAGAAACAGUUUCAAUAUCAGGUAACCGACCCCUCUGAAAAUUCUUUAGAAAACUCCACGCUUUUCUAAGAAAUGGUCUCAAUAUCGGGUGACCUGCCCAUCUUAAGAUUCUUAGAAAACUCCACGCUUUUCUAAGAAAAGGUCUCAAUAUCAGGUGACUGGCCCAUCUUAAAAUUCUUAGAAAACUCCACGCUUUUCUAAGAAACAGUUUCAAUAUCAGGUAACCGGCCCCUCUUAAAAUUCUUUAGAAAACUCCACGCUUUUCUAAGGAAUGGUCUCAAUAUCGGGUGACCUGCCCAUCGUAAGAUUCUUAGAAAACUCCACGCUUUUCUAAGAAAUGGUCUCAAUAUCAGGUGCCCGGCCCAUCUUAAAAUUCUUAGAAAACUCCACGUUUUUCUAAGAAACAGUUUCAAUAUCAGGUAACCGGCCCCUCUUAAAAUUCUUUAGAAAUCUCCAUGCUUUUCUAAGGAAUGGUCUCAAUAUCGGGUGACCUGCCCAUCUUAAGAUUCUUAGAAAACUCCACGCUUUUCUAAGAAACGGUCCAAUAUCAGGUGACCGGCCCAUCUUAAGAUUCUUAGAAAACUCCACGCUUUUCUAAGAAACGGUCCAAUAUCAGGUGACCGGCCCAUCUUAAAAUUCUUAGAAAACUCCACGCUUUUCUAAGAAACGGUUUCAAUAUCAGGUAACCGGCCGCUCUUAAAAUUCUUUAGAAAAAUCCACGCUUUUCUAAGGAAUGGUCUCAAUAUCGGGUGACCUGCCCAUCUUAAGAUUCUUAGAAAACUCCACGCUUUUCUAAGAAACGGUCCAAUAUCAGGUGACUGGCCCAUCUAAAAAUUCUUAGAAAACUCCACGCUUUUCUAAGAAACGGUUUCAAUAUCAGGUAACCGGCCUCUCUUAAAAUUCUUUAGAAAACUCCACGCUUUUCUAAGGAAUGGUCUCAAUAUCGGGUGACCUGCCCGUUUUAAGAUUUUUAGCAAAUACUCCAUGCUUUUUUUCAAAAAAAAAAAAAGAUCUCAAUAUUGGGUGACCUGCCCGUUUUGAACUUCAAAAGAAAUCAUCUUACCUCGUGGAAUGAAGCAAUGCUGGUUCACAAUUCCUAUCAUUUUCCAUAGUUUCGUUGACCUGAGAUUUUGUACCUCAGCAGUUCCCAAAAAACUUGGAAAUUUAUUUUGUCUUUCGUCACGCCUUUUCCUGCCAGGUUAGUGUUAUGACAAUAUAGCAUGCAUGUUUUUUUGUUACCUAUUUUGGAAACAUAGGUCCCCCUUUCUGUUGUAGACUUAUUGAGCUCUUGUUUCCACUUGUUUUGUCCGACUUGUCCUCUUAAAACAAAAUAUGCUCCACGCGCUAUACUUCCUAUCCUUUUGGUGAAGAGAUCUUUGGUUCCUUAUGGGGCCCUUUAUUGCUCCACUGAGUAUUGUCUUUUUAUUAUUAUUUUAAAAGGAAAACUCAAAAUAUUUGGUUGUUCAUGAAAACUGAAACUUCAAUGCAAUUGGCAAUUCUCAUAAGAGACGCUUUUUCUAGAAAUUUUUAUGAUGAUACCCCUUUUGGCUUUGGUUCACUAUGGACCCCUAUGUGCACUUCGUACACUUCUUGCCCCCAGUGUGGUGUGCAUAAAUACGCCAAGUUUAGAUUUGAUUUGGUUCCCUCCAAUUAAUGGAGUCAUUUCCUUAGUCAUGUGUAAGAAAAGAGUUUGUUUAAGUAAAAGAUUUCAAAUGCUAUGAGAUCAUGCUUUUUAUGAAAAAAGGUUUUUUUACAAAGGAAAUUCAUGGCCAAACUUUAUUUUAUUGAUUGGGAGAUUACAGAAUACAUCAAGCGUAAUAUUUCCUUACAGAGUCAGAAUUCACUGGCCUAACUAGAUCUUCUCCAUCCAUUCUAGAUAACAGCAAAGCUACUCCCGAGAACGCUUUCUUCACCAUGUAAGGGCCCUCAUAGUUCGGCGCCCAUUUACUCUGAUCUUCUCCUGGUAAAGGCAAUAUUUUCUUCAGUACGAGAUCUCCUUCAUGGAAUCCUCGAGGUCGAACCUUUUUGUCGUAUGAUUUGGCCAUCCUUCUUUGGUAAAGUUGAUGAUGACAGAUUGCAGCUAUCCUCUUUUCACUGAUCAGAUUCAGCUGUUCAUAUCUAACUUUUGCCCAUUCUACCUCUUCCAGCUCAGAAUUUACCAGUACUCUCAAUGAGGGGAUUUCCACUUCUAAAGGCAUAACCGCCUCCAUUCCAUAUACCAACGUGUACGGGGUGGCUCCUAUUGAGGUUCGGACUGCGGUGCGAUACGCAUGAAGGGAAAAUGGCAACAUCUCAUGCCAAUCCUUAUAGGUGACUACCAUCUUCUGAAUAAUCUUUUUGACAUUCUUGUUAGCAGCUUCUACCGCACCAUUCAUCUUUGGUCUAUACGGCGAAGAGUUGGAAUGCUUGAUUUUCCAUUUAGCGCAGAGUUCUAUUAUCAUCUUGCCAUUGAAAUUCUGGGCAUUAUCAGUUAUAAUCUUUUCUGGUGGACCAUAUCGACAAAUCAAAUCUCUCUCAAUAAAUUUCUUCACUACUUUUUGCGUCACAUGAGCAAAUGACCCGGCUUCUACCCAUUUUGUAAAGUAGUCGAUAGCCACGAGAAUAAACCUAUGACCAUUGCUGGCUUUUGGGUUUAUAGGUCCAAUCACAUCAAUUCCCCACUUCGCGAAGGGCCAUGGAGAUGUCAAGUUAAAUAGAGGAGUUAGAGGGGCAUUGAUUUUGUCACUGUAUACUUGGCACUUAUGACAUUUUCGGACAUAGUCGAUGCAAUCCUUUUCUAAUGUCAUCCAGAAGUAACCGGCUCUUUGUAUCUUCCUAGCCAUCACGUGUCCAUUAGCAUGGGUUGAGCAAAUCCCUUCAUGGACUUCUCGUAACGCGCUUUUUGCCUCAAAUUCAUCCAAACAUCUCAACAAAGUCCCGUCGAAUGAUUUCUUAUACAAAAUCUCCCCAUCAAGAUAAAAAUCCAUUGCCAACCUCCUCAAGGUCUUCUUGUCGAUUUUGGAUGCCCCCAUGGGAUAUGCCUGGUUUUGGAUGAAAUUCUUGACAUCAUAGUACCAAGGGUUUCCAUCCACUUCUCUUUCGACUGAGCAACAAUGAGCUGGGUUAUUUCUGAUAUUGAUGUGUACUGGUUGUACCCUGUGCCCGAAGUCUAUUUUGGCCAUAGAUGCUAGUGUAGCCAAAGCAUCUGCAAACUGGUUUCCUUCCCUUCCUAGAUGGGUGAACUCUAUUUCCUCAAAUUCUCCAGCCAGUUUAGAUAGGUAUUCUUGGUAAGGCCUUAACUUCUCUUCCUUGGUUUGCCAUUCUCCUUUUACUUGACAAAUGAUCAGCAUUGAGUCUCCAUACACAUCUAUCUUUCUGAUGUUUAGCUCCAAUGCAGCCUCAAAACCGAGAAUGCAAGCUUCAUACUCAGUCGUGUUGUUGGUACACCCGAACUGUAGCUUAACUGAAACCGGAUACUGCUUCUUAUCAGGAGAGAUUAUCACCGCACCCGCUCCGUUACCACAUACAUUUACAGCACCAUCAAAGUACAUAAUCCACCAAUCUGAUUUCUCUUCCUCGAUUGCAAGCACAUCUUCAUCAGGAAAUUCAAAGUCUAAUGAUUCAUAAUCUUCCAUAGCAUGGUCAGCCAGGUGAUCGGCAAUAAUACUCCCUUUUACAGCUUUCCUUGUCAUAUAUAUUAUGUCAUACUCAGCCAAUAGAACUUGCCAUCUUGCAAUUCGGCUCGAUAAAUAGGGCUUUUCACAAAUGUACCUCAACGGGUCUAAUUUGGAAAUUAACCACGUAGUGUGAUACAACAUAUACUGACGUAAUCUCUUUGCAGCCCAUGUCAGUGCGCAACACAACUUCUCAAUCACAGUAUACUUAGACUCACAUUCCGUGAACUUCUUGCUCAGGUAAUAAAUGGCCCUUUCCUUCCUUCCGGUUUCAUCGUGUUGCCCAAGCACACAUCCCAUUGCUGUUUCUGUUACUGUUAGGUACAAUAUCAAUGGCCUUUCUGGUACAGGAGGAACAAGCAGGGGUGGAUUUAACAAGUACUGCUUGAUUUUCUCAAAAGCCUCUUCGCACUCUUCAUUCCAAUUUCCAGGGUUCUUCUUCCUUAACAAACGAAAGAUCGGGUCACAAGUCGUGGUUAAUUGGGAUAUAAAUCGAGCAAUGUAAUUCAACCUUCCUAAGAAACCUCUCACAUCCUUCUCAGUCUUGGGAGGUGGCAUAAAUUGAAUAGCCUUUACUUUGUCGGGAUCCACUUCUAUCCCUUUAUCACUCACCACAAAUCCCAACAACUUCCCAGAUUUCACCCCGAACGAACACUGUGCCGGGUUAAGUCUCAACUUAUAUUUCCUUAAUCUUUCAAACAAUUUCUUCAAUAUUUGGACAUGAUUCUCUCCCUCUCUAGAUUUAGCAAUCAUGUCAUCCACGUAUACUUCAAUCUCUUUGUGCAUCAUGUCAUGAAACAAAGUCACCAUAGCCCUUUGGUAGGUGGCCCCAGCAUUCUUUAAACCAAAUGGCAUGACUUUGUAGCAAAAUGUUCCCCAUGGUGUUACAAAGGUUGUCUUCUCUUUAUCCUCUUGCGCCAUUUUUAUCUUAUUGUAGCCCGAAAAUCCAUCCAUAAAGGAAUAUGUGGAGCUACGUGCUGCAUUAUCAACUAACAUAUCUAUGUGUGGUAGAGGAAAAUUAUCUUUAGGGCUAGCCCGGUUUAAGUCCCUAAAGUCCACACAAACUCUGAUUUUACCUUCCUUUUUGGGUACCACCACUAUGUUUGACACCCAUUGUGGAUACUUGACUACUUCCAAAAAACCAGCGUUCCAUUGUUUUUCAAUUUCUGCUUUUACUUUGAUUAAGACCUCCGGAUGAGUUCUCCUCAACUUCUGCUUAAUCAGUUUGCAUCCUUCCACCAGUGGUAUCCUAUGUACUACGAUAUCCGUAUCCAAACCAGGUAUAUCCUCGUAGGACCAAGCAAAGACAUCUAUGUAAUCUCGAAGCAGUGCAAUCAAUUCUUCCUUCUCUUCAGGGGUGAUCAAAGUCCCUAUUUUCAGCUCUCUCUUGAUUUCUUCAUUACCCACAUUUAUGGUUUCAAGUUCCUCUUUAGCGGGCCUCCAAGCCUGUUCAUGCUGUUCUAUUAAUUUUGUGAAUUCACUUAUGUUUUUCUCCUCCCAUUCCUCAUCUUCUACAGCUACUAUGUAUUCUUUAAAGUUUGGCCAUUCAUUCUCAAUGUAAAGUGCAGGUGUUGUUGUGGAGGAUCCACUUUCAGGGUUCCUGAAAGCGGGAAGUGAUGUGUAAAUGCACAGUAAGACAUCAAGAUGAAUUUUGAAAAUGCAUGAUCUCAUUAAAAGGAAAAGAUUGGCUCAAAAACAAAAAUAAAAUCCAAUUGACAUCUUGAGCUUCGAUUGUCAAUGAAAAAAAAAAUAGAAAGAAAAAAAAAGGCAAACAACAUAGAUAAAAUUAUAAUCUAAUAAUCAUUGUUGAUUACAUUUUGAGAACCAAUGGAGCUUCUUGGGUCUCCCAAUUCUGGAACUUCUCUCCUUCGGCUAGCUUUCGAAUGAAAGUCUUGGCGGUAAAUUCUUCCAGAGUGUAGAUGGUUAAUUGCGGUAGCUCUUCAUCCCUUCUUCCGGAUUCAAUCUUCUUAGCAAUGUCCUCGACUUGAUCUCCCUCCAAAGUGUUUAUGUUCAUUGAAAAAAACUUCUGAAGAAGGUUUCCAUGUCCCUUAUCAGGUUGCAUCUCAUAUGCGGCCUUUGGAAAAGAAAUCCUGAUUGGAGGGAUAGCUAAGCUUUCUUCUUCAGGCUUCCUUCCUUCAAUCCUAGCCAUUCUUUUCUCCCUUCUUGCACCAGCAGCUCGCUUGUAAUCCUCUUUCUUGGGCUUAUAAUCAAGCCCAAACCUCUGUUCUGUAGCUUUCAGCUUGAUUAUAUCAAUCCAUUCAAGUCUUCCUUUCUUGAUGUCAUAUGGGCAAGGAAUCUUGUGUUUCAAAAAGCUUUUAGCGGCUAUUUUGGUGGCCUCCGAGAUUUCUGGUUUCCUCACCACAGUGUUCUCGGGCACCCACUCGAUAUUCACAACUUCAAAUGCAUGAAGGUUUCCAUCCUUACAAUCUUCGGCUUCGAUGAAUGGAACCGCCACAUUUCUUACCAUUGAUAUAGUCUCCUCAGCCUUAACAGUAACCAGAACACCAUUGGCAAUGUACUUCAAACAUUGAUGCAGUGAGGAGGUGACAGCUCCCGCAGAAUGUAUCCAUGGCCUUCCUAACAACAUACUAUAGGAAGGGUGGAUAUCCAUCACUUGAAGGGUUACUAGAAAGACUUGUGGACCCACAGCUAGUUCGACCUCAAUUGUCCCUAUCACUUGCCUUGGCGAGCCAUCGUACGCUCUAGCCGUCAUCACACUGGGUUGCAUAUGUGAGGGAUCUACUGGCAUUUCAUCCAGCAUAUGCCUUGGUAACACAUUAAGGGCUGAGCCGUUAUCAAUGAGAACUUUACCAAUGAGACAAUCUUUGCAUCGAACCGUGACAUAUAAGGGCUUGUUAUGUCCCGUUCCUUCAGCGUCAAGUUCAUCUUCCGUGAAAUAUAAGUAAUUAGCAGCAUGGAUCCUCCCUACUAGAUGCUCCAUAGUUUUUUGUUCAAUAUCUUGGGGUACGUAGGCCUCAUUCAGUACUUUUUGCAAAGCAUUACGAUGCGGCUCGGAGCUAAGUAUUAAUGACAUGAUGGAGAUCUUGGCAGGGGUCUUCUUCAACUGAUCCACUAUACAAUACUCACUAUGCUUCAUCAAUUUCAGGAACUCAUUUGUUUCUUCCUCAGUCACAGGUUUAUUUACCUCGAGCUCUUUAUCGAGGUCCAAUACCUCCUUGCCUUUAGCCUUUCUUUGCUUCUCUAGUUCUUCAGGUGUGAAACAACGACCACUCCGAGUUAGCCCACUUAUCUCAUUUUGGAACAAUGACAAAGGAGUUUCGACAUUCGAGGUAUAACCAUAAUCUCCAGGCAUCGCUCCAUAGUCUACUUUGUUUGCAUACGAGGGCUUAGUUAAUACCAAUUUCGAGAGCCCAUUAGCUGUUGAUUGGACUCUACAUUUCCCCCGAUUCUCUAUCAUCUCUAUCUCUUCAUUAUCUUUUACAGCCCCAAUCCUUAACUCUCCUAAAGUCAGCAUUCUCACAACCUUUUGAUGAAACUCAAUGCAUUCAUCAAUGUGAUGCCCUUUCUUUCUAUGGAAUGGGCAAAAAUCAUCUUCCCUUAUGCAAUGUUCAGAUGGUUUCUCCAAAUGUCCAGAUUGUACCAACAUUUCAUACAGCCUUGCCAUGGUCACUCUCAGCACCUUCUCUUUACUACCGACCUCCAUAGUAUUCACUCCACUACCACCUACAGCAUGUUUGGGUAGAGGGUUUGAAUUCACAUUAGGCGAAUCUUCAAAAGUGACCCUUCCGAUUUUGAUCAACUGCGAUACCCUUUUCUUAAAAGCUACGCAGUUUUCGAUGUUGUGACCCGUAUUACUAGCAUGGUAUUCACAAGUCAACUCGGGGUUGUACCAGGUAGGGAAAGGCGGUUGCAUAGGAGGUAAUGGUAGGGGAGCUAUCUGCCCAAUACUUAGUAACUUGGCAUAUAACUCCUUUAGGGUUAUUGGCAAAGGUGGUAAUUGUUCUUCUAGUUGUCGGUUGUCUCUCCUUUGGUAAUUGUUUUGGCUAUUGGUGGGGAAUUUUGUUUGAUGGGGUUGGUUUGGGACGGAGGGUUUGGAAAAGUUGAUGCUAGUGAUUUGGGAGGUAGGUAUUUGGUAGUUUUGGUAGUUUUUUCCUCUCCCUUUAUAACUGUCUUCUAGGUUAUUUACCUCAAUUUCCUUCUUCUUCCCAACAAAACCCCUCUUCUCUAUAGGUUCCGCAAUUCUCCCACUUCGGAUUCCUUGCUCAAUCCUUUCAGCAAUUCGCACAGCAUCAUAGAAAUGUUGGGCUGAGCUACCCAUAAGAUGCUCAUAGUAUGGGGCCCUAAAAGUAUUGGCAAACAACGUUACCAUCUCCGUCUCUAUUAGUGGAGGUUGUACAUUGAUAGCUUGGUCUCGCCACCUCUGAGCAUAAGCCCUCACGGACUCUUGAGUUCCUUUCUCCAUGGUAAUUAGACUGGUCCUAUCAGGAGCAAUCUCAAGAUUGAACUUGUAUUGUUUUAAGAAAGCAUCUGCCAGAUCUGUCCAUUUCUUGAUCCUAACGUUGUCCAGCCUCAUAUACCAGCUGAGGGCCGAUCCUAUCAAGCUAUCUUGGAAGAAGUAAAUUAGCAACUUAUCAUCGUGGAUAACUUCUGCCAUCUUGUUAUAGUAGGAACGAAGAUGGGUCUUUGGGCAUUCCAUCCCGGUAUACUUAACAAACUCCGGCACUCUGAACUUCUUUGGAAUUACGAUGUUAGGUACCAAACAUACUUCAGCGGCCCUAAUUGGGUCAAAUAAAUCAUUUCCUUCAACUGCCCUUAGCCUCUCUUCUAGCGCAGUCCAUUUAUCAUACCCAACAUGAUCAGAGAAUCUGACGUCCUGUGGAUCCUCGUUUGUUAAAUCCAUUGUAAUAGGGAUUUGGAUGGGCCGAGUGGGAUUAGGAUGCUGCUUAUGUGGUGUAUUUGCCCCCAUGUUUAUAGGUGCGACAAGGAUUUGAGCUGCUGCUGGUGCUUCAUCAGUUUGAGUAGACGUUCCCUCUCCAUCUUUGGCUCUCAACAUUUGCUCAAGCAAACUGGUCAGGUGCGCCACAUCAUUCCGAACUCCUUCAAGUUCCCUUUGAUACUAAGCUUCUGGUUGUGACCUUUCUUCAUUUUCCAUCCUUUUUCUUUGUCGAGUGUUGUGGAUUCUAGAAGGGGGACCUAUGUUUCUUAGUCUGCAGAUGCGUGUAUAGAUGUAUGAGAAAAUGCAUGAUUGAGAAUGCUUUGUAUAUUAGGUAUGGAUGCAACCUUCUUGUGAACGAAUAAUAGCCACCACCUUAUAAACAUAGGUUCUUUUGUCACAUUGCUAGGAGUACUGCCUUUGAAGUCGUUUGCUUGAAUCAUAUUCACCAAGAGACAGAUUUUGCAUAAGAAGAUGGGUCAACGCCCUUUUCAUUAAUGCUUGAUAAGUUUAUUACAUUAAUAAAUAAAAAGGAAAUACAAAAUUUAUUAAUCCCUUUCCUCCACAAACUCUCUAGCCAAAGGUAAGAAGGCAAAACCACGGUUCUCAAUCUUCCCUAGAAAGACAUCGGUUUCAGCUAGGCUUCGGCGAUAGCGAAUGAUAUCCCCUCCCACAUUCCGCGCAUUAAUUCUAAUAAUUCGAGCAUGUGCAGCAGCUUCAUCCAUUUGCUCAUCUGUCUUGGUCAUCUUUUCUAUGAGCAACAUAUUGGUUCUGUUCAAAGCAGUGUUGUUGGCGUCGAUUUGAUCCUUGUGUUUUUCCAUUGCUGCUAGCUUCUCGUCCAAAUACUUCACCUUUUCACGUUCCUUAUCAAGUUUUAUCCUCAUAACUUUUAUCUCAUUCCUCUUAACCGCUAAUUCUGUUUCAAAAGCCUCAAAACCUUUCCUUUUAUUAUCUUUUUUUGCAAUCCCCAUUAAACGGCUUUCCAACUCCAUAUAUUUCUUGUUCAAAUCCUCAUACUUCCCAAUCCUAUCCAUCAAUUCAAACUGGACUUGUGCAAAUUUUUCUUGGAAAUAUUCUGCACUUCCUUGGCAAUCGUUAAAGUCAAUCUCCAUUGCUUCAAGUUCAGAGCAACUUUGCAUCCAAUCCAAACUCAUCCCUCUUAGCUCCUUCUCACUCUUUUCCCUAGCAAUCUUCUCCUCACCCAGCUUUAACUCAAGCUUUGUUAUUCGCGCAUCUCUAGAUUGUAUUUGCUCAUCUAGAAAUGCUCUCCUUUUAUCUUCUUUUAGCAUCAUUUCUUCCAACAUUGCCUUAUCUUUUCUGCUUUUGCUCAACUCUGUCCGAAGUUUUUCCACUUGUCUUCUCAACUCCUCUUCAUUAUUGACCCUUUUCCUCUUAACAGACUCUUCUAUAGUUUGGGGAGAUUUAGCCUCUACACAAGGCAUGGCUAAAGCAGCUAAGUCUCUCCAUCUUGCAUAUCCUUCGCUUGCACUUGGAUCCUUUAAACCUUCUAUCUCAACCAAAACCAGAUGCUUCCAAUCUUGUUUGAUGAUCUCCAAAACUUCUUGUGCAAUGGGAUCUUUGAACAAACCAAAGAAUUGAGCAAUUCCCAUAGUCCUUGGAACAAACUGCAUGCCCCCAAGUUGCCUUACCACCAGGGCAGGAGCAUAACUUACAUAACCUGUAAUCCCUACCAAUGGUACCCAACGUCUUUGUCCACAACUCAUUAGGACUUUCACUAUCGUUACCCAUGGGGCUCUCCACUUAAAAUCACUAUUAGGCAAACCUUCUAAUUUGUCAACCCAACCUUGGUUGUCUAGAUCCACCCAUUCUUCUUCUUCUACUAACUUCAGGGGUCUUUGGGUGAACCACCAAAAAUUAUUGAAGACGGGUUUUUUUGUUUCGAUAUGGCUAACCAUCCAGAUAUACAACAACUGCGUGCAGCAUCUCAUUGCCCCUUUUCCGGUCCUCCUACAAUGAUUAAGCGUCAAGAUGGUUUCAGCUAAAAUCGCAGCCACUGGAUUGAUUUGUGUAUUCUCAUACUCUACAUAAGCAGCAGCGGCCUCCAAACUCACUAAACCCGUCUGACUUGGAAACAACACAAGGCCAAAUAUGCCCAAGGCAAUCAAUCUCUCUUUUUCUAAUCCUGACUUCUUUUCCAGUUCAAUUUCUAGCAUCCUCCAUUUCAGACCGGUAGCAUUCUUUUCCAAAAACUUUUCCAAGUUGGAGAUUCUGAGCAGUUUUGACAGUUCGGGGAUGAUCUUGUCAGAUCUCAAAGGCAAAUAAAUCCGAUACAGAUUGUUUGGAAACUCAGUCAACAUCCCAUAUUCCUCCAUAGUGGGACAUAGGUCUAUACUUCCAAAAGAAAAACACCGGUAGUCUGGAUCCCAAAAAUGAACUAUGGCUCGCACAGCUGGGCUUAAAACUUCUACCCUUGCAAUUUCCAUCAAACGUCCGUAUUUAUUAAAAAAUGCAUCCUUAUCCACAUUCUGAAAGUGAGUCGUUAACUUGUUCACCUCAUUCAUAAUGCAAUUCAGGUUCUUGAUUGGUGACAGUUUCUUAGCAUCGCUUCUAAGGCAGUCUCCUUCAGUCAAUUGUGACAGUUCAGAAUUUUUCCCAUAUUCUAUGAUGGAAAAUUUAGCAAUGGUGGCCAUUUCGUUCACAAGUCCUGCAAUUCAAAAUGCCUUGGGGUUAGACUUGUUUUGAUACAAAAGAUAUUAUGGAUCAUACAACCUAAGGAUAGGUUCUAGUUCCUUUACGUGAGACAUAGGGUAGGUUUACUACUUGGUCUCUAAAAAAGGGUCUCUUGCUGUCCCAGUGAUCGCCCUCGUAAAGGCAAUAUGGGGGUUCAGCAGAUAGUGGGAUGGCACAUGUACCAAUCACUAUCAGUCUAAACACUCAGCAAAAAGUUGGGGUUUACACAAACUUAAACCUUGACUCAAGUCAUAAGGCAAGCUGCUAGUUCCCCACUUAGCUUAAAGUUAAAUGUGUGUGCCCUCAAAAAAAAAAAAAAUAAUAAAGUGAUGCAUGAUUAUACCAUGUAUGACAGAAUGUAAAGAUGCAUGCUAAAGCUUUUAAACAAGGUAUCAUUCAUAUAAGAAAACAAAAAUCAAUAACACAUAGCAUAAACAAACAAAUUACCAAGCCUAGUCCUAAGUCCCCAGUGGAGUCGCCAUCCUGUCGCACCCUCGCGGCGGAGCGCGGCGUCGCGGUGACCAUCGAUUGAUUUCGGGGUCUUUUUGUGUAAAGGAGUCGCCACCUAGUAUUAUGGUCACUAGGAAACCUAACUGGUCUUUCAGAGAUUCUAAGGCAAGGGACUGGUUGCGUAAAGGGAAGGUAUUAGCACCCCUAGUACGCCAUACCUAAGGUAAGCUGCUUAGUAUUUGGUUUGUCUUAUAAUUGCUAUGGUGUUGAUGUUUUCUAAUCCCAUCAGUUUUCUAGGUUUUGAUUCAAACUAAAUUUAUUAGGAUAGAAACCCAAGGAAGUUCCAUGUGCUUUAAAAGCUCAUUUUCCCCUUAGUUUUUCAAGGGUUUGCGACUCAUAAAUCGCAAGGAGGAGGGGCAAAAAUUUAGAAAUCUAGGGUGCUUUAAAAACCUAUUUUUUUUGUCUUAGUGUUUUAACUCUCACAGCUCGUAAAUCGUGGAAAAAAAAUUUGAAAUGUCCUCGAUUAUAAUCAAGGCUUCUUUCAAGGAUGUGUGCGGAUUUAUUACUCCCAAUAAUAUUUUGGAUAUUCGUCCUUUAAGGAUUUCUUUAUCCAAACAUUAGCGGUGAAUAAUAGAUGAAUUCCCCUCAAAAUAAGAUUUUUAUAUUUUUUGGAAUAUUGACCAAUACCCUUUGGAGUUUUACAAACAUGUUGUAAAAUCCAGAAAUGCAAGAAAAACAAUUUUUGGUGUUUAAGAAAUCCAUGCGAAAACACAUUUUCGAAACUUCCAAUGUUUUUUUGUGUAUAAAAAAAAGAGCGUUCAAAACAUGUUAGGGUAUUGGCCGUAUGCAACACGCAAGAAAAUAUUUUUUAUUUGAUCGAAACAUAAGCAUCACGGUAAUCACAAAUAAAGACAACAAGUCAUCACAUAUAUUUCAAAAAAAAUCAUAAGCCUUAAACAUUUCAGUUAAAAUAAAGCAGGAGAAAAAUAAAAAAAGAAAAGCGCUCCAAAGCCAAAACUCAUCAAAUAGAAUUUGAUCCAUCAAAUCACUCAGAGCCUAAACAUAGCAUGACCUAUUAUUUUCGACAGAAAAAAAAAACAAAAGAGUCCAUAUCACGUAAAAAAAAAACAACCCUUUGAACCCAAUCCUAUAGCAAAACCCCUGACUCCUUUUUCUGUCUGUGUUAAAAACCCAAACUGCGCCUAAAAGCCAACUAUUCCUAUGCAACAUUCUAACAGAGAGCACUCGGACAAAGAAAUGAAGGAAUAAUGAAGACCCUUAAAGUUUAAAAUUCCUCUCAAUAAGAGAGCAAAACAAACGCAACUCUAACAUAUAUAAAAAAAUCUUAACUCAAAGACACGGGAGGGACAGUGGGCAAGCAUGCAAAUUUGUAGCUAAGAUAGAAAACGAAGGUGCAAAACCAGAAGACAAAACAGUUUUUAAACAUCAAAAACAAGGACCUGCAGGUCUCACUGAAAUGUCUUAUUGCAGCAGCUGAAAUCAAAACCAAACGAACGUUGCUGACAGAGUUUAGAGCAAAACCCGACUCACGCCUCUCCUUUUUCAAAGCAAUGCAGGUCUUACUGAAAUGCUUUACUGCAGCAGCUAAAUAUAAACCAAAUGAACGUUGCUGUCAAGGCUUAGCAGCAAAGCUCCCUCUCCGUCUUGUCUUUUUUUCCUCCUCUUUCCUCACAGUAACUCAAGAAUGCAAGAAAGAAACUCUCUCUGUUUUUCUGCUUUUUUUCUACUGCCUCUCUCUUGCGUUUUUCUUGUCUUUCUUUUCCUAUCCUCUCUCCCGUUCUCUCUUUUUCUCUUAUUUUUCUGCUCCCUUUUUUUGCUAUUUUUUUGCUCUCUUUUUGCCGCCCCUUGCUAGGUCAUUAGAGGGGUUUAUAUAUAGUCUAGAAUAUCUCUAUUUAGGAAAGAUUUAAUGCAUUAAUUCUAGGACAUAAAUCCCUACUGAUUUGCAGUAAAAAAACGCAAAAGGAAGCUGCAAUAUUCUGAUUUUGUGCUGGUGCUUUACGUCUGAUUUCUUUCCAGUUUUAGAGGAGGGUGUGGCUAUUUUCUUUCCUUCCAUAGGGCCAGCUGCUCCCUUUCAAAUGAGGCAAGAAAAAACGUGGUUGCAGCUCCAAAAUUCAGGCAUGAUGAUAAAGGAAAAACAGCAGGAAUUUGCAGCAAAAAAAAGGAAAGAAAUCAGAUGGAGGGUGCAGCUGCAAAGUCUCAUUUUCCUUAUUCGGUGUGGAAAAAUUCCUGUCAUUUAUGAUGAUCCAGCCCCCUCUCCAGCUUUCAAUAUCCUUCUUCAAUUCAAUCCCUCAUUUUAACAAUUUUUGAUUCAGUCCUGGGUCCAAAAAAAAUCCUUCGAAUCAGCCCCGCGAACUUGGGCUAUAUCCUUCCCGCGGCAGAAUUUUCUGUCCUCACGUUAGAUAUUCAAAUGGGAAUAUCUUGAGCUUCUGAUAUCAAAAUCAAGUGAUUCAAAAGCCCAAAUUCAUCUACACGUCUAGGACUAAAACUUUAAUGAAGAAGUCGAAGUGAGAUAAAAUCUUUUUACAGAACAGAAACUGGCAGUAAUCUAGUUGGUCAAAAGGAAUCUCCGGGUCUAACUCAAAAACUGACGAAUGUCGAGAAUCCUGAUAUGACUGAGAGUAUGAACUAAGAACGAAAAUCACAAAAACUAGGCCAAAAAUAGAGUUUCUUUAGUGUAGACUCGGGUCAAUAUCCUUCUCGCGGCAGAAUUCUCUGCCUUCACGUUAGAUAUUCAAACGGGAACAUCUUAGGCCUCUGAUAUCGAAAUCAAGUGAUUCAAAAGCCCAAAUUCAUCUACGCGUCUAGGACUACAACUUUGAUGAAGGAGUUGAAGUGAGAUAAAAUCUUUUUACAGAACAGAAACUGGCAGUAAUCUAGUUGGUCAAAAGGGAUCUCUGGGUCUAACUCAAAAACUGACGAAUGCCGAGAAUCCUGAUAUGACUGAGAGUAUGAACUAAGAACAAACAUCACAAAACUAGGCCAAAAAUAGAGUUUUUUUAGUGCAGACUCGGGUCAAUAUCCUUCUCGCGGCAGAAUUCUCUACCUUCACGUUAGAUAUUCAAAUGGGAACAUCUUGAGCCUCUAAUAUUGAAAUCAAGUGAUUCAAAAGCUCAAAUUCAUCUACGCGUCUAGGACUACAACUUUGAUGAAGGAGUUGAAGUGAGAUAAAAUCUUUUUACAGAACAGAAACUGGUAGUAAUCUAGUUGGUCAAAAAGGUUCUUGAUCUGACAAUACUGAGCAUCCAAAUCUAAAUGAGAAUCUGCUCUAAGAACAAUGAUCCCUAGGACCUAAUAAAGGUGUACGUCAAUUUUUCAAUAUGUAAUGAGUGACAGGAUAUACCUAGGAUGGUCAGAUAUCGUACGAAACUGAGUCAGAAUCAGAGCCUAAGUUGGAACCAAAAAAAUUGCGACAGCAGCAGAACUAUUUUUUUAGUGCAAAUUCUGAGGGAUUUAUUCAACCUUAAAGACCAGAUAAAAAAUAAUGAAUUUAGCAUUAUGAAGACUCCUGAUCAAACUAAGAAAACCUGAUGAUUUUGGUAGUAAAGGGGAAGGAUAAAAAGAGCAGAAAACAACUCAAACAAGGUUUUAAAAUAUUUCUUUAUGUGCCUUUGUCAAUCUUUUGGUGAAUAUGAGCUAAACUCCUACACUCUGUUCAAAAGAGGUAUACACUGUCUUCAGCACGUGGGGUCCAAAAUUGAGUAACAACAACUGUUUCUACUCCAUUCUGCAACGUUGAUUUUGCUACUGCUUCAACAUUUUCUGCUAUUUUCUUUGCUAUUGUUUCAUCUUCCCUGCAAUUAUCUGCUAUCAACUUCUGUUUUCUACUCAUCUUCUGUAAUAUGGAUCCUUUGUUUUUUGCUACAGUUGGCACCACUAGCAGUCCUUCUUCUCCCAACAUUAAUGUUGUCACGCUUCCCUCUACUGCGACAGCAGCUGUUAUUCCACUGCCAAAUACACAGCAGGCCAUCAACCUCAAACUCACCAAUUCCAAUUAUUUAUUUUAGCGUAUGCAAAUGAAGCCAUAUCUGAUUGGCUAAGGGUGUUCUCGUUUGUCGAUGGCUCGUAUUCUUACCCUUCUCUGCUUGAUCUGUCCAGUCACUCUACUGUCACCUCUACAAACAUUAAUUCUGGUCCUUCCUAAAUGUUUCUCUCAUGGAAACAACAAGAUUAACUCAUACUCAAUGCUUUACUCUCAUCCUUCUCCAUUGAUGUUCUUCACCUUGUGGUGGACUGCCCAACUGCAGCAAGUGUUUGGAGCACCCUUGAAAGUACCCUUACCUCUCCAUCCAACUCUAGGAUUAUGCAAUUAUAUGGCUCUCUUCAGGAUCUUCAUCAAGGUGAUGAUAUUGUCACUCUCUACCUGCAGAAAGCUAAAGGCUUAUUUGACGAACUAGCCGUAGCAGGCAGGCCUAUCUCCUUCACUGACUUCAAUCUCUAUGUUUUUCGAGGCCUUCGCGAUGAAUUUUGAGAUUUGGUUACUAGUCUGUUGACCAACGUUAAGCCUCAUCCAUACUCUGAGCUCCAUAGUUACUUGUCUACACAUGAAUUUUUACACAUGAGCUCUCUUCAAUCCAUUCCAGCUACUGCACCGUUGCUACCCACACCCUCCCUCUACAUAUGCUGCACAACGUGCCUUUGUUGGAUUUAAUGGCAGUGGCUCCUCUUCUUAUUGGGGUAGAGGAAGAAGAGGAGGCUGGAGAGGUAACUUUUGCAGCAAUUAUAACCAGUACCCUAGCCAGCCUUACUAUGGAAACAGUGGGAGCUCCUCCUAGCAGAACAUAGGAGCUACGACAUCAACAAAAACAAGGAGGGCAACACCAGUGGCCUCGACAGAUUAGAUGCCAACUUUGCAGCAACAUCGGACACUCUGCACAACAAUGUUCUUAGCUUGUGCAUAAUGGGAAUCAAGCUUCAACCAACCUCUCCUUUAGUGAUGCUUUAACAACAAAUCCUAUCACUUGGUUCCCCGAUACAGGUGCGAAUCAACAUGUUACUUCGAACAUUGUCGGUAUGACACAUGCAGACCCUUAUCUUGGUAAUGAUCAAUUGUAUGUUGGUGAUGGCAAGACACUUAUUAUAUCUAAUACAGCUCAUAAAAUUUUGCAUGCUCUAAAACGAACCUUUACUUUGUCUAAUAUUCUACAUGUUCUAAAAAUUAAGAAAAGACUCUUAUCUAUUCAACAAUUUUGUCAUGAAAAUUGUGUCUUUUUUAGUUUCACUCUUUUUUUUUUCUAUAUGAAGGAUCUUAUAUCCAAGAUAGUGUCUUCCCCAGGCUUUUCUAUCUACCUUUGCUGAUGUUUGGCAUCGUCGUCUCGAUCAUCUCAGCUCUCAUGUUCUAAGUCUCUUAGCGUCAAAUAAAAAGGUUGUUUGUACUUCUUGUCCUUUAAAUUUUCAAUGUCAAGCUUGUCCGUUAGGCAAAUCAUCUCGUCUGUCUUUAGGCCCUACAGGUCAUCAAACAUCUGCUCCUCUUGAACUUGUUUUUAAUGAUGUGUGGGGCCUUACUCCUAUGUUAUCUUCGGAUGGUUUUUGUUAUUUUUGUUAUUUUUAUGGAUGCACAUACAAAUUUUAUCUGGUUUUAUCCUCUUGUCCUCAAAUUUGAUGUCUUCAAUAUGUUUCAUCUCAUCAAUUUCAAGUCUUCGUCGAACGACAAUUCUCUCGAAAAAUUAAAUUUGUUCAAACUGACUAGGUGCUAAAUAUCGUAAAUUAAAUUUAUUCUGUAAAACCAUUGGUAUUCAUCAUCACCUCAUAUGCCCACAUACGCUUGAACAGAAUGGUAUUGUUGAGCGUUGUCAUCGUCACAAUGUUGAAACUAGUCUUACCCUUCUUGGUCAAUGUAAGGCACCUUUAAAAUUUUGGACUUAUGCUUUUGAAACCUCUGUUUACCUCAUUAAUUGUAUGUCUACACCAGUUUUGCGCAAUAAAUCCCCUUUUGAAUGUCUGCUUCGUCAACCACCUAAUUGAUUUUUUAUGUACUUUCAGAUGUUUAUGUUUUCCCUUCCUUCGACCUUAUAAUGCUCAUAAGUUAGACUAUCGCUUUACUACAUGUGUGUUCUUAGGCUAUAGUUCAUCUCAUCUAGGGUAUCAUUGUCUGGACUUAUUGUCUCUACAUCUCCCGUCAUCUUCGAUUUAAUGAACAAGUGUUUCCAUUUCUCGAGUCUGCCCAUCUCCCUCCACCCACCAGCCAUACCCAUCCGCCUACCACUGUCACACACCUUCCCUCACUCACCAUCUUUCCGUCUACCACACCAUCAGCCCCACCACCAAUUUCCUUUAACCCUGAUGUCCCCUUAUCACCAUCUGCCUCCAUAUAUGUUGAUCAUUUUGCAAGUACAGAGUCUGCAACACCAGUGUUGUUUGUGUGUGCGUCUCCUCCAGCUGCUGUCUCUCCAGCACGGUCAUCCAGCUCUUCCUCUCCAUCCAAAUCAUCUACCAUGUCUUCACCAAGUCUGGACCUCUGUGUUGAUUUGUCCAGUUAUACUCUUGUGUGGCACCGUCCCCUAUUCAAACCCCUGCUCCUUCAGCACAGCGACAACACCCUAUGGUGCUGAGUCCCAGAUAUAACAGGACUGCCAACAUCACUUCAGUCGCUUAUUCUUCCUCAUAACCUCCAGCUUCACGGGUAAUGUCUCCCUCCACUCUCAAACCUCUUACUUUUAAGGAGGCCGACCGUUUUAUUUGUUGGCAUACUACCAUGAAGUCAUAAAUUGCAGCUUUACAUGCCAAUGGUACCUGGUACCUUUUGAUCCCUCCAUGAAUGUGGUUGGCUAUUGAUGGUUGUAUAAAAUAAAGUGUUAAACUAAUGGUGUUAUUGACCACUAUAAGGCUUGCUUGGUUGCGCGCGGGUUCACUCAACAGGAAGGCAUUGAUUACUCAAAAACCUUUAGUCUUGUUGUUAAACCAACUACUGUUCGAUUAGUUCUCACUAUUGUCAUGUCCAAAGGAUGGCAGAUUCAACAACUUGAUGUCCACAAUGCCUUCCUUUUGUAGACUCUACUUUGCGAAAUCAUGUUUGUCUUCUUCACAUGUCUCUAUACGGUCUAAAACAAGCCCCUCGGGCUUCGUACACCCACCUGAGUGACUUCCUUCAGAUUAUUGGUUUUCAGGCUUCCAAGGUUGAUACCUCUCUCUUUGUUCUGACAAGGAAUCAUGAUAUUUGCUAUUUAUUUCUCUAUGUCGAUGACAUCCUACUUAAUGGUAACAACUUUGCCUUAAUUCAUCGCCUUAUUACCUUACUGAGUUCAAAAUUUAAGCUAUGUGACUUGGGUAAUGCUUAUUAUUUUUUGAGAGUUAAGGUCACUCCUACUAGUGUGGGACUCAUACUGAGUCAGCAUAAGUAUGUUCUUGAUAUUCUUUGUCAUGCUGGUAUGUCAUCUUGUAAACCUGUCGAUACACCAGCCUUUGUUUCUAAGCUUGAUCUUUCGUCUACUAUGUUAUUCUCGGAUCCCACUCGCUUUUGAUAAAUUGUUGGUGCUCUUUAGUAUCUCACAUUUACUAGACCGGACAUUUGUUAUGUUGUUAACAAGGUUUGUCAGUUUAUGCAUACUCCUACUAAGAGUCAUUGGGCUGCUGUUAAACGUAUCUUACGCUACUUUAAAGGUAUGUCAUCUUAUGGCAUCCACCUUACUCGUGGCUCCUCUUUAUCACUUCAUGGGUUCACUGACGCAGUUAGAGCGGGGAGUGUUGAUGAUCGAAAAUCUACUCGAGGAUAUAUUGUUUUUCUUAGUACCACACUUGUUUCAUGGAAAUCUGGAAAGCAAUGCACUGUUGCUUACUCCUCCACUGAAGCAAAGUAUAAAGCUUUGGUUGAUGGUACUGCUGAGGUUCUUUGGUUACACUAUCUUCUGACAGAUCUGUGUUUUCCCCUAGUUCUGUUACUACUAUCUAGUACGAUAAUUUGGGUGCUACUUAUGUAUUUGCUAAUCUGAUUUUUUAUGCUUAAACAAAAGAUGUUGAAGUUGAUUAUCACUUUGUUCGUGACCGGAUGACCAAAAAGGAGAUUCAGAUUUGCUUCAUCUCCUCCAAAGAUCAAUUAGUAGAUGUUCUUACUAAGCCACUCUCUUACUCUAUAUUUGCUCUUUUAUGUUCCAAGCUUCAUGUGGAUAACUCACCUUCAACUUGAGGGGGUGUAUUAUGGAAUGUGUUAGAAUAGGAAAUAUUGUAUUAUUAAUGUAUUGACUUAUUAUGUGUAAUAUGCUACACCAUAACACAUGUACUACCCUAAUUAUAUAAAUAGCAGAGGUGGCAAUCUGACAUGAUCAAAAGAUUGAUGUCUUAUCCCAAGUGCAGGAGUAUCGAAGUAAUAAAUAACUCAGCAAGACCGAGGUCGAACCACAGGGAGGUGAACUAUAUAAAAUUAUAAACAAUAAAUGAAAAGGAGUUGAAAAGAACUUUUGAGAUGUGAUAUUGAUGUAAGGAUUAAACAAUGAUAAAACAAUUGUCAAUGUUAAAGGACCCACUAAUGGUAUUUCAAACAAGUAUAGUAUAAACUCUUUUUAUUACUCAACUGAAAACCACACACAAAGGAGGUUCCAAUCGAAUUAUAAAUUCUUAACAUGAUUAUAUUAAUUAUCUUAUUUGAGUAAUGUUAAUACUUGUAAAUGUAGUCAGGUAUUCAUGAUUAUUUCUUGCCCUGUUCUCCUGAGAGAUACAUUGUGUUCCCUAGUUUGCUUGUUGUUUGGCUUGUUGCUGGAUGUGGCUUGCUGGUUGCUGGUUGCUGGUUGUUGCUUGCUCCUCUCUGCCUUGCUUGUCAGGCCUGUUGAUUGCUAUUUGGCUUGUAGCUUGUUGCUUUUACUGUAGAAGCCUGUUCCCCCUUUUUGGGAUGUUUGGUUGGUCUGCUGGAUCGGAUCUUCUGUUUGUAUAAGGGCGCAUGUUCCCUAGUGAUUUUCGGUGUGCUUGUCCUGGGGAGGCUGUUCCCCUGCACACGCCUUUGUGUUGUACUUGUUUUGCAAGCUAAGCUUGCUUUGGUUUCUUUGCUUUAUGGUCCGGUUGCUUGUUCAGGGGAGGCUGUUCCCCAGCACAAGCCUUUUGUUUUCUUAUGUUCAGCAAGAUCUUCUUGCUUUAGUUUUCUAAGGGCAUAUGUUCUCCUUGGCUGCUGCUGCUGCUGUCUGUAAUGUUCUGCUGGUUUCCAGCUUGUAUUGCAAGCUUGUCUUGCUAUUUUCGAUCUAUAUACUUCUUACAUUUGAUAAAUAAAAAAAACAAAUCAAGUUCCUUUCAUAGCAUAGGUGUUGGUUAUACCAUAUAGUUGGCUAUGAAAGGGUCAAGUAUUUGUUGCACCUAGGCUUCUACACCACAAAUCUAGAUUAACCAUUUAACAAGCAAGGUAUUAAGAGUGAGUAAGACAACAAAUACGAAACAUGUUGGUAUCAAACAUUAAAAUCCAUGUUGAGUUUAUAUUAUACUUAUUCUUACACCAUUAGUGUAUCCUUUUCACCUUGACAAAAUUAACUUAGCUAAACAUCAUGAAGAAGAAAAACAUAAAUAAACAAUAUAAGAACAUGAACAUGAUAUAAGUUAACUAAGAAUAGUAAAGAAAAUGGAAAGCAUAAACAAGAGAUUGAUAUAACAUAAAAUAAAACUUGAACAUUAAAAUAAAAAGAGAGAGAGUGAUCUUGAUCUGAAAACCAAAAUGUCUAAAUGUAUGGUAAAUGCCUCCUUUUAUAGGCUAAAAUUCAGAACUAUUGAUUUGAUGACUAAUUAUUGAGUGGAUGGCCACCUCUUGACUUGGUGACAACCAUUGUCUUCUUGUCUGAACAAAACAUCAUUGCUAACGUUAGAAUUUAAACAGAUAGUCUACAUGAACAUUCUGGGCAUUUGUCUCAGCUUUCCAACAAAACAAGAAUGAGCUCAUUUGGAUAUCUAGAACUCUAGAUAUGAGCUGAACAUUGAACAGUGUUUGGGCUGCAAGACAGAUUCCAACUUCUCUUUUGUUGCUACAAUUUGAACUUGAAAAUGACCCAUUUGAAUUUGGACUCUUCAUUAAAGUUUUAGGCCUAUGUCUUAGCUUUCCAUCCAUAUAAACCAGACCUAAAUCCAAGUUAUACAGCUCCAGUUAUGAUCCAAUAACCGAAUGGUGUUCCAGUUUGAAUUGAACCAUCAUCUCUUCUUUAAGCUUAGCCCUCUUUUUGUCUUUUUACUUUCAAUAGUUAAACACAUCAAUCAAUCCUUUAAAUUGAGAGAUUUGCCUGCAUUCAAAAUGAGCAUUUACCAUAAAUCAAAGAUAUCUUAUGUUAUCGUGCUUGCUAUUAUAAAACAUGCUCAAGUUAGGGAAUUUAAUGAUAUUUUAAGUCCAAUAUGAUGAUAUAAAACCUUAAUGAAAAUGCACUUUUAAGUACUAAUAACUAUCUCAUUAGGUCAAGCCUCUCAAUUAUCACAAACCUUGUUUCAGCUAUAAAUAUUUCAUUUUCUUACUAACCUCACUUUCAACUUUCUUUUUAAACUCUAAAACUUUGCUAAGGUUUUAGAUCUUUCUUUCAUGAAAUGCACCGGACAUACCUGGGGUAGUCAAUGAUAAAUGUCACCACCAUAUAGAGAUAUCCACUGAUUGAUGCCUCAUUUAUUUUUCCAAUACAUCUAGGUGGAUGAGCUUUAUGUUAGUGUAUAUAUUUAAUUUAUUAAUAAAGAUUUUUUUUAUUUUUAAUAUUCAUCAAAUAUUUGAUUAAUGAAUCUAAUAUUUGAUAAUAAGUCUAGAGUAAGGAUAAAUUCAUUAAGACAAAAAUGCUUCGCAAAAAAAAUUAUAAAAUUGUCUUGAUCUGAAACAAAAUUUAAGCAUUAUAAAUAUAAAAAGAGAGAGAGAACAAAAGCAUAAUCUUGAUCUGAAAACUAAAAUAUCUAAAUACAUAAUAAAUAUCUCUUUUUAUAGAUGAAAAUUUAAAACCAAGAUCCCACCAGCAUCCUUGGCAGAAUUUACUCUAAGCGGUGAUGGUGGGAAAGAUUAUUACUAUAUAAGCCUUGUUGAUGGCUUUAACAUCCCAAUUUCGGUAACCCCGCAAGGAGGUUCUCCUGGCUGCAGUUCUACAAGCUGUGCAGCUAACGUGAAUGCUGUUUGUGAUCCUAGUUUAGCAGCGAGGGGGCCAGAUGGGACUGUGAUUGCCUGCAAGAGCGCGUGUUUGGCAUUUAACCAGCCGCAGUACUGCUGCACAGGAGAGUACAGUACACCUGACAAAUGUCCUCCUACCCAAUAUUCGAUGAUCUUCAAGUAGCAGUGUCCUCAAGCUUAUAGUUAUGCUUAUGAUGAUAAAUCGUGCACGUUUACUUGAAGAUCACAAACAGCAUUCACGUUAGCUGCACAGCUUGUAGAACUGUGCAGCCAGGAGAACCUCCUUGCGGGGUUACCGAAAUUGGAAUGUUAAAGCCAUCAACAAGGCUUAUAUAGUAAUAAUCUUUCCCACCAUCACCGCUUAGAGUAAAUUCUGCCAAGGAUGCUGGUGGGAUCUUGGUUUUAAAUUUUUACCUAUAAAAAAAAUAUUUAUUAUGUAUUUAGAUAUUUUAGUUUUCAGAUCAAAAUUAUACUCUUGUUCUCUCUUUCUCUUUAUAUUUGUAAUGCUUAAAUUUUGUCUCAGAUCAGGACAAUUUUAUAUUUUUUUUUGUGAAGCAUUUUUGUCUUAAUGAAUUUAUCCUUACUCUAGACUUAUUAUCAAAUAUUAGAUUCAUUAAUCAAAUAUUUGAUGAAUAUUAAAAAUAAAAAAAAAUCUUUAUUAAUAAAUUAAAUAUAUACACUAACAUAAAGCUCAUCCACCUAGAUGUAUUGGAAAAAUAAAUGAGGCAUCAAUCAGUGGAUAUCUCUAUAUGGUGGUGACAUUUAUCAUUGACUACCCCAGGUAUGUCCGGUGCAUUGCAUGAAAGAAAGAUCUAAAACCUUAGCAAAGUUUUAGAGUUUAAAAAGAAAGUUGAAAGUGAGGAUAGUAAGAAAAUGAAAUAUUUAUAGCUGAAACAAGGUUUGUGAUAAUUGAGAGGCUUGACCUAAUGAGAUAGUUAUUAGUACUUAAAAGUGCAUUUUCAUUAAGGUUUUAUAUCAUCAUAUUGGACUUAAAAUAUCAUUAAAUUCCCUAACUUGAGCAUGUUUUAUAAUAGCAAGCACGAUAACAUAAGAUAUCUUUGAUUUAUGGUAAAUGCUCAUUUUGAAUGCAGGCAAAUCUCUCAAUUUAAAGGAUUGAUUGAUGUGUUUAACUAUUGAAAGUAAAAAGACAAAAAGAGGGCUAAGCUUAAAGAAGAGAUGAUGGUUCAAUUCAAACUGGAACACCAUUCGGUUAUUGGAUCAUAACUGGAGCUGUAUAACUUGGAUUUAGGUCUGGUUUAUAUGGAUGGAAAGCUAAGACAUAGGCCUAAAACUUUAAUGAAGAGUCCAAAUUCAAAUGGGUCAUUUUCAAGUUCAAAUUGUAGCAACAAAAGAGAAGUUGGAAUCUGUCUUGCAGCCCAAACACUGUUCAGUGUUCAGCUCAUAUCUAGAGUUCUAGAUAUCCAAAUGAGCUCAUUCUUGUUUUGUUGGAAAGCUGAGACAAAUGCCCAGAACGUUCAUGUAGACUAUCUAUUCAAAUUCUGACAUUAGCAAUGAUGUUUUGUUCAGACAAGAAGACAAUGGUUGUCACCAAGUCAAGAGGUGGUCAUCCACUCAAUAAUUAGUCAUCAAAUCAAUAGUUCUGAAUUUUAGCCUAUAAAAGGAGGCAUUUACCAUACAUUUAGACAUUUUGGUUUUUAGAUCAAGAUCACUCUCUCUCUUUUUAUUUUAAUGUUCAAGUUUUAUUUUAUGUUGUAUCAAUCUCUUGUUUAUGCUUUCCAUUUCCUUUACUAUUCUUAGUUAACUUAUAUCAUGUUCAUGUUCUUAUAUUGUUUAUUUAUGUUUUUCUUCUUCAUGAUGUUUAGCUAAGUUAAUUUUGUCAAGGUGAAAAGGUUACACUAAUAGUAUAAGAAUAAGUAUAGUAUAAACUCAAUAUGGACUUUAAUGUUUGAUACUAACAUAUUUUGUAUUUGUUAUCUUAUUCACUUUUAAUACUUUGCUUGUUAAAUGGUUAAUCUAGAUUUAUGUUCUAUAACCCUUGGUACAAAAAAUACUUGGUACUUUCAUAGCCCAAACCGUAUGGUAUAACCGACACAUGUGCUAUGAAAGGAACUUGAUUUGUUGUUAACAUAAGUUAUAAUCAUGAAUAUCUGACAACAUUUACAAGUAUUAGCAUUAUUCGAAUAAGAUAGCUAAUGUAAUUAUGUUAACAAUUUAUAAUCUGAUUGGAACCUCCUUUGUGUGUGGUUUCUAGUUGAGUAAUAAGAGUUUAUACUAUACUUGUUUGAAAUACCAUUAGUGGAUCCUCUAACAUUGACAAUUGUUUUUAUCACUGUUUAAUCUUUCAAUCAAUCUUACAUCUCAAAGUCCUCAUUAUUAUUAUUAUUAUUAUUAUUAUUAUUAUUAUUAUUAUAGUUAACCUCUAUGUGGUUCUACCCCGGUCUUGCCGAGUUAUUUAUUACUUCGACACUCCUGCACUUGACAGAAGACAUCAACUAUUUGGUCGUGUCACCUUCCCUUCCCUUUCUUCCUCUCUCUCUAUCCUUUCCCUUGUUUCCUUCUGCUCUCCUUUUCUUUCCCCUUCUAUUUCUCUCUUUCUUUCUGUUUUACUCUGUUCUCCUCUCUAUAAUCUCACUUGUCUCCCCCUCCAGCUCCUCUCUCGCCCUAGUAUUUAUAAGAUGGAAAAGGGGGGGAGAGGGCUGCUAUCCUUGUCCAGUCAUGGUGUAGGGGUAGGGUGGCUAUGGUGGCCUACCCCUAGAGCCACUUGCAGGGAAUGGCUCUCCUGGCUUUUUCAUCAUGGUGGUAAGCCAUGAGGGGGUGUGGGUUGUGUUGGGGUUUUGGGUUUUUGGGAGAGAGAGAGAAAUGAAAGUUGCAAAGGAGGGGAAGAAAAACCUUCUUCCCCUGCCUUUGCACGUUAGGGAAGAAGAAGACACAUAGUGCCAUUCAAAACAAAAUUAUUUUGAACUUUUUUUUAUUGAAUAGUGCAUGAAACAAUUAGAAAACAAUUAGAAAGAGGACUUUUCUUAAACCUUAGACAGACCAACAAUUAGAAAACACAACAAUACUUUAGUUAUAUCAGACAAUGCAGCUUACCUUACGUAAGAUGUAUUAGGGGUGCUAAUACCUUCCCUUUACGCAAUCAAUCCUCGUGCCCAAUCUCUGAGAGUAGUUGGGGUUCCUAGUGACCAAAAUAUUAGGUAGUGACUCUCAUUCCCUCUUUCUAAGGAUAAAAGACGAGAAUUCUUUAUCCUGUCCAUUUCCCCACACCACAUGGCAAUAUGGAAUUCUAGGAGGACAUUCACUAUGAUGUCGCACCACAUGCGACAAUUGAGAAAGGGGAUGGUUGGAUUUUGGUCUUGACUUGAGUUGUUUUGGUUGUGAUAUUCAUGAUCGAUGUUGCUGCUAGCAUUAUUAAUGUAUGUCAUUGGCAACUGCUAUCAUUAGUUGGAGGGAGUAGUUGUUGUUGUUCUAGGAUUCAAGCAAACACCUAAAGGGAGGUGAAUUAGGUGUUCCACUAAUAAUAACAAAUAUUAAAAUUAAUUCAAUUAAACACAAUUAACCAACAAUAUAAUUAGAUUGUGUAAAGUGAAGAGUAAAGGGAUAGGAAUUGUAAACUUGAUUUUUAAUGUGGUUUAGCGAGUUUAUAUACACAUCUCAAGCACCAAAUUGGUCUUGUGUAUUUUUUUCUUGCACUAGUCCAAAUUAAAGAUUAGAAUUUUCAUUUGAUGAAUCCACAUCAAGAUUUUAAACCACUUGAAGAUCAUUUCUUUUCAAGAUUUUUCACCACUUGAUGAAUUCACACCAAGAUUUUUCCCUCUUGAAGAUAUGCUCUUUUCAAAAAAAAAUUCUUGGUGAUGUUCCCUCACCAAUACCAAGAGUUUUAUCCUAACUCUCAAAGGAUUACAAGGAUGAUUUUACUCACAAUAAAACUCUCUCGAAGAGUAGAUGAUAUAAUUUAAACUCUAGUAUCUCCAUAACUUACUCAAUAGCAUUUAGAUGAUUUAUAAAGGUCUUUAUAAAGUGUCAUGAGUAUGAAAAUAAAUGCUCUAGUGCUAGAAUAUGAAUGCUCAAUUCUUAAAAUAGCUUCUGUAAUAUGUAUAUUCAGAAUCCUCUUUUAUUUUAACAAUAAUGAGAGUUGUUUAUAAGUUUCCAAAACAAACCAGCCAUUUUUAGUCGUUGUAGCUCCAUUGACGGCUGAACCAAUCAACCGAUUCAGAUUUGUCAAGCCGAUUGGUCAAUCGAUUCCUAUAGUUUCUCAGAUGUUCAUCACGGAUGAAUAAGUGGUAGACCAGUUCACUUGGUAUUACCAAGCGGUCGACUGGUUCAACUUAAAUACCAGAUUUGAAUAGUUUGAACCUACUGAAUCUUGAACCGAUAUUAAUCCUAUAUAUAUACAAAAUUAAGUGUGUAAGUUCAUUUUAAUUUUGUUAUUAAGCUAAAAUAUAAAUAUUUACUUAAUUACUAAAAUGAACAAUUAAUUCUUAGAUUCUCAUAUGUUCUUCACUUGCUUUGGUGGCUAGGUUUUAGAGAAGAAGAAAACUAUUUUUUUUUCUACACUUUCACUCCAUUUUUUUUCUACACUUUCACUCCAUUUUUUUUCUUUUCUCUAUCUUAAGUUUUUCUUCGAGGGUCACUACGGUUUCUUACCCACUCUUUUUUUUUUCUCUCUAAUUUUUCUAUGGAGGCUAGAGUGUUUUUCUACACCUCCUCCUUUUUCUUACCUUGCCUUUCUAUUAAUAAGCAACGGGGCAGGUUCUAGAAUUUUUAUAGGUGAAACAAUCAUAUCCUUUGAUUUCUUUGGGUCGAUUUUGACCCUUCAUCAUUAUUGUACAUUUGGUACAACAUGCUCGUGUUCUAUAAAGCUCACACCAAAUCUUAAUCAUAAAGAGUGGGGAGGGGAGAGAGAGAGAAGAAGAAGAAGAAGAAGAAGAAAAUGGGGCUGAAAAACUUCACUGCCAUUUUUCAAAAUCAGAUGACCCGUUUCCUUUCAAAGGGUAGCCAAAAAGUUCCCAUACACAACACACACACCCAUUAGCGAGCUUCUUCUUUACCAAAACAAAACUAAAAAAAUUAUAUCAUCAUUUUCAAGCCACCUUCUAGCUAUAACUGGAAACAAAAAAAAACAAAAAAAACAAUACAGCCUCUUUCAUCAGCGCUGUCUUUUUUCUCCACCCUCGAGUAACUUCUAUCUUGCCCCACGUUGACUCAAGGAACCAUAGCCGCUGCUUCCACAGUACCAUUAACCUGAGGUGUUCAUUACCGGAAUCAUAACCCAAGGCAGGCCAGGAGCCCACUCACAUCGUCCAUGUGCAUCUUCAGCGUGCUCGUUCUACAUUCUUGCCUCUGACCUCUCUGGACUUAGCUUUAUUCAAGCACUAGCCACUCAAAAAAGAGUGAAGAAGAGGUACGGGAUAUCCAGUGGAGCUGCCUCCAUCAUAAUCACUCAAGGUAUAAAGCUUCUACUUAUUCUCAUGUAGUUGUAAUCUUUUACAUGUGCAUGCUACUGCAAAGGCAAGCUCCCGUUUUUCCUUUAUGUGCUAUGAAGUUAACAUAUAGUGUUGUAAGGUGUGUGGAUCUUUUAAGUCCUAACCUGGUCACGGGUGUUCUUUCACUUGCUACGGAUACUGAAGGGGAUGGGGUGUGAUUUUUGCUUCAAACGCAUAUGGUCUUGAAAACUUGAUUGCAUGUCCUAAGGUCAUGUUAAGACCUUGCCUAGUUAAUUAAGAAUGCUCUUACCCAAGGUUAAAGUUCAAGAACGAUAUGAGAAGGUGGAAAAAGAUGUUGAUAACUAUUGGGGUCAUAGGUUUUCCUUCGUUUUUUUGUGUCUUUUGAAAAUAAAAAUGCAUAGGACUGUCAGGGAGUUUUUCCAUACCAUGCUUGGGCUUUGGAUGUAUGUUUCCUUUACAUGAGAUGAUGGCUACCUUGCUUUGGAUCCCUGGUUAACGAUGAUGCAUGAACUAUCGUGCAUGAUUUUUAUGUUCAAAAGAUCCAGUCCUCUAGCAGUGCAUAAUUAUUGGCCAAGCCGUAGAUAAAAUGAUUUUUGGUUGAAGAAGAUUCGGUAUGUGCAAGGGUUUCUCGUUCAUUUCUUUUUACUGUCCCAUGGCUUUUCGUCAAUGCUAAGGCACCUAUAUUUCUCUUUUCUAAAGUUAAGUUGGUUGUUAUCUACAAAUAGGUUUCUCACGGGCUGAAGAAUAUAUAUAAAAAACAAUAAAAAACCUGUUCAAUUUAACCUCUUAAAUUCACGAAACAAGGUUAUGAAAAUAAAUAAUUUCAUAAAAAAUAAAUUAAAAAAAACAUAAAAUCUAACUAAAAAAACAUGAAGUCUAAAUCCUAGCUAAUUCAAUGUUGUCAAUCCAAUGUUCAAGGUUAAAAUUUUAAAAAUAAAUUAAAUUAAAAAACAAAAAAUAAUCUGAGUCAACAAAAUUAAUCCUCAAAUUUGUUAUAUGAAUAAUAAAAUCAUGACAAUUCUAUAAAAAAAAAAUUAAACAAAGUUAAUUGCUCACCAACCUAGUGGUAGAGCAUAAAAUUGAAAAGAUUGUGUGUGCCACUUAAUAUAUAUUGUUAAAUUUUCUAUGAGAAAGCAGAGUAGUAAACAACCAAUUAGAGGAAAGAAGAAAAAAAAUGGAAAGCAGAGUAGUAAACUGCCAAUUAGAGGAAAGAAGAAGAAAAAGAAAAGGUUGUCGGUAUUAAACUGAACAACCAUCUGCCACACGCGCCGCCUCAUUAACGACAGCCUCUGGUCAAUGAAUAUCCCUACACAUGCCACCUGAAAUGUGCGGGAACGACCAACGCAUUGACUUGCACUUAUCAACUAUUUUUUAAAAUUAUUUAUAUUUAUUAAAUUAUAAAAUUGGAAAUAAACCACCCUGAUAAAAAAUAAAAUAAAUAAAAUAAACCCAAUGAAAAUAUACAAAUGCUCUUGGUUUGAACCUCAAGUGACUAACUAGAUAUAUAUAUCUCAGUUAAUGAGAAAGCAGACCAGUAAACAGCCUUUUAGAGGAACGCAAUUUAAUGCAGGAAGAGGGCCAUACUCACAAGAAAAUUGAUUUACACCCGACAUAAUAUUUUCUAAGUGUAAAAAAAGUUAAGGUAUUGCUAACGUGUGUUUUCUAGAGAAACAAUUAAUUAUAAACUUAAAAUCUCAUACAUAUUAAAAAAAUAUAUUUUUAAAAUAUUAAGAUAGAAAAACACUAGAUGACAUUCUUUUUAUAUAUAUUAAGACCAUAAUGAACUAGAUUGAUUUUGGCAAACCAUGGUUAAUUUAUAAAAUUCAUGAUCAAGGUCAUAAGACCGUAAUAACCAAAUAAAAAACAAAUUGAAACAAAUCAUGAAGCUCAGUUCCCAAACAACAAAAAAUUUGUGGAUGAAAUUGAAUAAAAAGUUAAAUUAAAAAAAAUGAAAAAAAGGUGGUUUGAUUCAAGUGGGGUAAACUUGUUGAACUCGCAACAUAGGUUAUGAAAAUGAGAUAACCCCAUAGAAAACAAGCUUAAAAAAAAAACAUGAAGCUCAAAUCUCAACCAACUCAAUAUUGAAGGAUGAAAUUGUAAAAUUCGAGUCAAACAAAGUUAACCCCCAAAUUCAUGACAUGAGUAAUAAGAUUGCGAUAACUCAAUAGAAAUAAAAUUUUAAAAAAAAACAACGAAUGUCAAUUCCCACCCAACCAAAAGUUAAAUAAUGGAAUUGAAAGAAAAGAAAUUCAACCCGGGUUAAAUGAUCGCGAUAACCCCAAAGAAAAUAAAUUGAAGAAAAAAUGUCAAAUCUCAAAUCCCAACCAACCCAAUAUUAAAAAAUAAAAAUGAAAAAAAAACUAAAAACAACCUUAGUCAACUCAAAUUAACCCACCAACUUCAUGACAUUAGUCAUGAGAAUUGGAUAACCCCAUAUAAAGCAAAUUAAAAAUAAAUAUGAAGCUCAAAUCUCAAUCAACUCAAUAUUAGAGGAUGCACUACAAGAUUUCACAGUUUUACCGACGGACAUAUUCCGUCGGUGUGUGAUUAGCAGUCCGUCGGUGAUUUUUUUACCGACGGAUUACGUCUGUCGGCUUUCCUUUCAUCGAUGAUUCCCCAUUCCGUCGCUAUAUCGGUCGGCAAAACAAAAAAAACCAUUUGCCGAUGGUUUUACAGACGGAAUUUGCGCGCCAAAAAAAAAAGAUUCCCGCUUGAAAUAUACCGACGGAUUUUUAGUCCGUCGGUGAUAUCGUGAUUUACCGACGGCUACUAACCGUCGGUAAAUCUGUCGGUAAGUGUAUGAAAUACCGACCGAAUAUAUCCGUCUGUGAAUUCGUCGGUAAGUGUGGCAGCUACUGUUAAAUGCCGACGGAUUAAUUCCGUCGGUAAAGCUGUCGGUGAGUGUUUAAAAUACCGACCGAAUGAAUCCGUCGGUAAAACCCUUGGUAAUAGUUUUUUUCUAAAUUUGUUUUUAAAAAAUUAUUUAGAAUAUAUAAUAUAAAACUAUAUAAAUUAAUUGUAAUACAAACCAAUUAUGCAAAUAAAAUUUAUAUUAAACAUCAAAAAAAAAUCAAAGUUAAAUAAUAUUCAUUACAAACUGAAUAUGUUUCAAAAAAAAUAUUAAAUGAAGUUUUAAAGGUAAAUAAUGUUUAUUACAAAUUAAUAUAAAGGUGGAGCUGGAGGAGGAGGAGGAGAUCCUGGAGGAGGAGGCUGGUGGUUAUACGGCCAAAAAGGAUUAGGCGCACAUGUUCCACUAUGUGUUGCCAUGUUCAUGACCAUUUCGCGAAACUGUUCAUAAGCCGCUUUUUGUUGUUCAUAAGCCGCUUUUUGUUGUUCAUACUCCGCUUUUUGUUGUGCUUGAGACGCUUUGAUUUGCUCAGACUCCGCUCUUUGUUGUGCAUAAGACGCUUUGAGUUGUGCGUACUCUGCUAAUAGGUGGUCGUAUUUGUCGGUGAGCUGAGCCGUGUGUUGCUGCAAGGCCACGAACUCCUUAGAUUGGGAGCUCCCAACGGUUGAAACACUACGGGUCAACCGCAAGUUGUCGGUCGUAGUGUUGGAGAGCCCGUAAACCCGAUUUUUAUCGGGUCCACCUGACGAUCCAACCUCCAUCCACAAAUCCGGAUCGAAUUCCGGAUGGGUCAAAAUAUCGUCCCCGUAUCUCUCCCUCAACCGAUUAUUAUAGGUCUCCUGAAAAUAAAAAAAGUAAUCAUCAUAUUCAAUUCAAUAAACAUAAUAACUUACAUAAUAACUUACAAAAUAAAAUGGUCGAACAAACAUAACACGAAAUGUUGAGUACGGUUAUCAACGAACUGUCGCGCCUCCAUUUGGCGGUCUUGACUCCACACGUGCGUCUCCACAAACAGCUCCAUCGGGCUCGGCUCACGUCCAAGAGACGCAGCCUAUAAUGAAAAAAGAUAUAUUAACAACAACUUAAUUUAACGAUAUAUUUCAUUUAAAUUAAUCUUACCAUCCGUUUCGCAUGUGUAGCAAACAGAACGGAGCCGCCAGUGUGCGUUGUCACCGAGCCAUGAAUUGGUCGAUUCCGAUUGCCAGCACCGGACUGUGAGCGUCGUGUGAACCGCUCAAACGUCACGUGCUCAAGAUAGUGCGGCCAUAUAUCUUUUGGGAUGUAUAUCGGUUUGAAAUCCCUCCAAACCGCAACAUUGUUCCAGCCUUGGAAACCCCUAUCCCUCGCGGUUUGUUUUUGCCCUUUUUUGUGCUUCAUACCAAAAAUCACGCAACCUACUUCACGCAACCAAAAAUUACAUUUCAAAACAUAAUUUUUUGUUUAAAAAAAAUCUUGUAUUUUUUUCGAUCUUACCUAGUUGUCGCGUGAUUUUCCCACACCCUCCUCACAACAGUGUUAUGCUCACUGUCCUAGCAGAAUUUGUGUUGUGUAUAAAUAAACAAGUUUAAAUAAAAAUAAUAAUUUAUUUACAAUUAUAUUAAUAAUUUAUUAGAAAUAAGCUGAAAAUUAUAAAUUAACACCAACCUGAAAUCUGCCAAACCAUGCAUUGAUUUGAGGCAUCCAUUCAGGAUGUUUGGAUAUAUGACUCAAUUGAAACAAUGAAAUCUCCAUCGAUGAUUUAAACGCCGAUGAUAUUACUCGGGCGGCCUCAAUGUUUGUGAACCUGAAAAUAAAUGAAAUAAAUUAAAUAGUGAUUACUUCAUAAAUUAUGUUGUAAUUUUUUAAAAAAAGAAAAUUAAACCUUAACAAACUUACAUUGAAAGGUUGUCCUUCCACUGUGCCUCGUACUUGCGAGUAAAUUGAUUCCGCUGCGAAGGCAACCCGCCUCUGCGCUGUGAAGUAGCGCUGGAAGAGGCAGCAUCGGUUGACGGCGCAAGUGGUGUAGGUGCCUCUUCUUGAGAGGCACCUAAGGAAAUAUCAUCAUCGUUGCUAGACGAACUAGCUGCGACCGUACGUGAGCGACCAGCUCUGCUUUUCAUUCUACGCGUCUACACAAUUUUAUACAAAUAAUUAUAUAAUUAAAUUCAAAUGUUAAAAAAAAUUCGACAGCACCUCCUCUAUACUGGAUACUACCCAAAUCCACAAACCUGCACAUAUUAACAAAAGCCACAAUCAAUUGACCCAAUCUAUACUAAUUAUUCCAACAAAUUCAAUUAAUAAUCCUAAGGUAAAUUCAACAUUAAGAAUUACAAUUCAACAAAUUAUUCAAUAAUUAUGCCAAUACAACAAUAAAAUAUAUUCAAUAAAUUAAAAACAAACUGUAGACUAACAAUUAAAAUUAAUGGAAAAAAUUAAACAUAAAUCAUGCAAUAAUAGAGUAAAAUUAACAAUUAUUCCAAAAUAUUCAAUUACUAAUACUAAGGUAAAUUCAACAUUAACAAUUACAAUUCAAAAAAUUAUUCAAUAAUUAUGCCAAUACAACAAAACAAUAAAUUAAAAAAAAAAACUCUAGAAUAACAAUCAAAAUAAAUGGAAAAAUUUAAACACAAAUCAUGCAAUAAUAGAGUAAAAUUAAUAAUUAUUCCAACAUAUUCAAUUACUAAUUCUAUGGUAAAUUCAACAUUAACAAUAAAUAUUCAACAAAUUAACUAAUAAUAAUUAUGCCAAUACAACAAUAAAAAAUAUUCAAUAAAUUCAAAAAAAAAAACUAUAAACUUUAGCAAUGAAUUAUGCAAAAAAAAUUAUAGACUUUAUCUACAUUACAAAAAAUACACUAAAACAAAAAACAUAACAAAAAAAAACCCUUAAAGUAAAAUGAAAUAGAAGAAACACAUACCUUUUAAACUGAAGGAGAUUCACGAGAAAAGUUGCUAGAGAUUGCUGGUGAAACCUUUAAAGAAUGGAGAGGAAAAGAAUCGGUGAAAAAUUGAGGAGAAGAAAAAAUGAACUGAAGAGGCGGUUGGGGGACUUAUAUGGCAGUUUUACCGACGGAUUCACCGACGGAUAUAAAAUUAAUUAUUAUUUUAAUUUAUUCUGUCGGUAAAGUGUCAAAAAUCCAUCGGUAAAUUUUGAAUUUCGCACCAAAAUUUUUAAUAAACCUCCAUUUUUUUCGUGGUCCGUCGGUAAUUCCGUCGGCACUAUGACGCGGUCAGAUAUGCAUUUAAUGCACAACCCUUUGGAAUUCGCGCGGUCCGUCGGUAAUUUUGUCGGUAAAAUUGACCCGCUGACAAAUUACCGACGGACCUAUAGUUGUCGGUAUGUAUGUCGGUGAUUGUAGCAUUUCAAGUAAACUCUCUGUGAAAUGCCGACGGAUUUAUAUCCGUCGGUAUGUAUGUCGGUGAUUGUGGCAUUUCAAGUAAUUAUUUUCGAACUAUCUGUGAAAUGCCGACGGAUUUAUAUAUUGUGGCAUUUCAAGUAAUUAUUUUCGAACUCUCUGUGAAAUGCCAACGGAUUUAUAUCCGUCGGUAGGGACGUCGGUGAUUGUGGCAUUUCAAGUAAUUAUUUCAUGUUUCAAAAUAUAUCAUCCAUGAUCUAUAAUUAUUUCAAGUAAUUAUUUCGUGAUUGUAGCAUUUCAAGUAAUUAUUCCAAGUAAUAAAUAUUUUGUGUUACAAAAUAUAUCAUCCAUAAUCUAAAUUACAUGAAAAAAAGGGUUUUACACAGGGCUUCAUUUUGGUAGUUAGUCAGAAUUUUCUUCUUCUUCGUCAUCAAUUGAAUUGUCAUCACCUUCAUCGUAAUCUUCAAUAUGGAUAUCAUCUUCUUCAUCGACAUUUGCUUGUCCGCUAGAGCUCAAAACAAAAUUCAACUCCUCUGCGUCAACAUCAACAAGACUAUCAUCGAAAACACGAAAAUUUGAAUUUUCUUCCAAUUCAAUCGAAGGCGCAACUCGAUAUGGUUCAACCAACUCACUAACUUGAAAGACUUCAUCUCGCACACUUGUGUCUUCGUUCUCAUCCUGAACAACCUCGACACGACCUUGGGGUUUCGUUUUUAAAACGGAUAACCAAUCCACUCUUGAUCGAUCCUUUCUAAAUGAAGGGGUGUAUGUGUAAUAAACUUGUUGACAUUGCUUUGCGAAAACAAAGACAUCGUUUAUAUUGCGGAGUCUAGCUUUUGAGUUGAUUUCGACCAGACCAUAGUGCGGAUCAACUCUGAUUCCUCUGUCAGUCGUGUCAUACCAAUAGCAUUUGAAUAAAAACACUCUAUUCUGCUCGUUAUGAUAUUCCAGUUCGACGACCUCUUCUAAUCUACCAUAGUAGUCAACUUCUAACUCACUACUAGUGGAUCCCUUAACACAAACACCGCUGUUGUAUGUCUUUCUUCUUUGCCCGUAUUCUUAAGUAUGGAAAACAUAUCCAUUGAUAAAAUACCCGUUGUAGCACUUACAUUUUCUUUCAGGCCCCAGGCUUAGUGAAGACAAUGACUUAGGCGCACUCCUUCCCAUUUGAUAAACCUUGUGUACAUCAACAAACAGUAAAUGAACGAGAAUCUCGUAAUGACAUGCAUACGUACAAUAAUUUUGCAAGUUAGAAUGAGUUUGUGAUAGUGCUUACAUGUGUUCUGAACCACGUGGCAAACUGUUCAUCUUGUAAUUGAAAGAUCUGGGAUUCGGUCAGCUGUGAGUUAUUGGAGAGCAAAUAUUGUCGAUGUUGCCUACAAGUGAUGAUGAGUGUAUGAUAUUACAAUGUAUAAUUAACAGUAUAUUACUAACAAAGUUUAAUUAGUAUAAACUUACUGAAUAAAAGGUCUCAGCUCAUCACAGUUAAAUAGAACAUAGUUGUGUGCUUGUUUGAACUCUAUUUCCGACAAAUAUCUUCCUCUUACAGCAUUUUUAAGUGUGGGUCGUCCAGUAUUGGAGAAUAUUGACAAGUUCCCAGUGGAAGGCACCUCACCGCCAUCAUCAUGUUGUGGAACGCGAUUGAUUCUCGUUCUUAGAUGAGGUUCGAAAUAGUACGAAAUAAAUGUUGAGAUCUCCUCAACAAUAUAGGCCUCACAUAUCAAAGCCUCAACAUGCGCCUUGUUCUUAACCUUUUUCUUGAGAUUAAACAAGUACCUGCAUUGAAAUAUUAAUCAAGUAUUUUCAAUUAAGAAAAACAUAUAAAAUACUUUUAUAUAUGAAUUACAUUGCAACUGUAAUAUCUAACCGUUCAAAUGGGUACAUCCAUCUAUAUUGGACCGGUCCUCCAGCUUUUGCCUCGAACGGUAGAUGUAUAGGGAGAUGCUCCAUUGAGUCAAAAAAUGAUGGAGGGAAUAUCAUCUCAAGUUUGCAUAGUGUCUCGAUGAUAUUCAUUUGAAACCUCUCAAUGUGAUCAACAUUCAACUUGCUGGAGCAUAUAUCUCUGAAGAAAUGACUAAUCUCCGUGAGUGCAUCCCAUAUUCUCUUUGGCAACAAAUCACAAAAAGCUAAUGGGAUGAGUGUUUGCAUAAACACGUGGCAGUCAUGACUCUUCAUUCCAUACAAUCUGCAGUUCUCUAUAUUAACCAGCCUUGAUAUGUUCGAUGCAUGUCCAUCCGGAAAACGCAGACUCUUAAGCCAUUUGUAGACUAGUAGUUGUGCGUUUUUCUCUAACAUGAAGCUUGCUUUUGGUUUUGCGACCCGUGACUCAUCAUAAACCAACUCUAUAUUUUUACGGUUACAGUAUAAAGCUAUAUCCAAUCUAGCCUUGAUGUUGUCCUUUGUCUUCCCCUUCACAUCCAUAACGGUGUUGAAAAUGUUCUCAAACAUGUUCUUUUCGAUGUGCAUGACGUCAAGGUUAUGGCGAAGCAAAUUGGUCUUCCAAUAAGGAAGCUCCCAAAAGAUACUUUGCUUUACCUAAUUAUGGGUCAAACCAAAACCAGGAAACUUUUGCUUACCUGAUUGAAGGCCAAACACAAUGUCACCGUACUCUGAGACAACAUCAUGCAAUUCUUCACCAGAAAGACGCGGGGAUGCAACAUCUUUUUCAACUCUGCCAACAAAGAAAUCUUUUAUGUUCUUUCUGUACCUGUGAUUAAGUGGCAAGAAGCGACGGUGACAGUCAAAAAUAGAAGCUUUACCUCCGUUUGCUAGCGUGAAUGCCUUGUUGUUUUCCAUGCAGUAUGGACAUGCGAGUUUCUCAUGCAUGCUCCAACCAGAAAGCAUUCCAUAAGCUGGAAAAUCAUUGAUAGUCCACAUCAAAGCCGCCCUCAUAAGGAAAUUUUGUUUCCUCGAUAUAUCAUAAGUCAGAGCUCCGGAGGACCACAACUGCGCCAACUCAUCAAUCAACGGUCGAAGACAAACAUCUAUAUUCCGCCCCGGGUUGCUUGGAUCGGGUAUGACAGUAGAUAAAAACAUGAACUCUGGCCUCAUACACAUUCCCGGUGGCAAGUUAUAAACUGUGAGUAUGACCGACCAACAAGAAUAAGGAGCAGCAAAUGACUCAAAUGGGUUGAAUCCGUCUGUACACAACCCAAGACGCACAUUCCUUGAUUCAGCUGAAAAGUGAGGAUGAACACUGUUAAAGCGUUUCCACGCUUUGCCGUCAGAAGGAUGAACCAUCACUCCAUCAACCGCAUGGUGUGCUUGGUGCCAUGUCACGUGCUCAGCAGUCCUUGGUGACAUGAAUAACCUCUGCAGUCUAGGUGUGAUCGGGAAGUAUCUAAGUUUUUUAUAUGCCACUAGANNNNNNNNNNNNNNNNNNNNNNNNNNNNNNNNNNNNNNNNNNNNNNNNNNNNNNNNNNNNNNNNNNNNNNNNNNNNNNNNNNNNNNNNNNNNNNNNNNNNCUCGCAUGUCAUGCACUCGGUCAUCUCAGCAUUUUCAAGGUAGUAUAAAAUGCAGAAGUUAGGGCACAUGUCAAUUUUCUAGUAUCCUAAACCGAGGGGUUUCAUCAUGGACUUCGCAGCAUAGAAGUUCUCUUUCAGCCUGUUCCCUUCAGGUAAAAUGCUUCUUGCCCAUUCAAUAAUCUUGUCAUACCCGGCCUCACUCAACCCGUGAUCUGACUUGAUGAUGAACACCUGUGCUAUGGCUGAUAAUUUACUAUGCUUCGUGCAGCCAUCCCAUAAUGGUUCAUCAGAAUCUUUCAACAAAUCAAAAAACCUAGCUGCAUCUGCAUUAGGUUCUUCUUCUACGAUUGGACAUUGACUAACAUUACCUUGAUUCAUUCUCAUUGCAUCCAUAACCAUAUUUCUGUAAGGAUUAGUGUUGUCAUUUGCCGCUUCAUGCACGUUGCUAGCACUAGAAGUAGACCCAACCACCGUUUCUUCCAUUCUCCUCUCACUAACAAAUACUUCUCCAUGUGCAUACCAACACUGGUAAUUCUCCAUAAACCCUUUGUGUAGAAGAUGCAUCAUUACAACAUCUGGAUGCAGAUACUUUUUAUUUUAACACUUCCUGCAUGGACACCUAAUACCGCCUCCAGUAAAAUUUAUGGGAAUAGAUGUUGCGAAAUUAAUAAAACCCUGAACCCCGUUACAAUAAUCCAUCAUCCGCAAUCCUUGGGGUGAAUCUCGAUACAUCCAUGAACGAUCAUCCAUGAUUUAUAUCGAACCUCUAUAAAAUUAUGAUGACAUCAUGUAUUAAUUAACUAAGUUAGGUAAAUAAACUUGCAAAAAUAUUACUUUACCUCGAGAUUAUCCAACAAACCAAUCACAACUUCUCAUAAAUAUUAAAUAUUCAUUAUCAUUUAUCAACGUCCAUACAAAUUAAAAUAUAUAAAUUUACGGAAAUUACCACUCCGCAAUACCAUUGAAAAAACUUUAAACGGACCCAUUAAGCAAGCUAUUAAUUAUUUCAAAACAGCACAUGUACUUCGGUAGUUCCAUAAAGUUUUAACAAUUUACAAACAAAUACAAUCUUACAAAAUCUAAAACAAACCAUAACAGGUAUAGAAUUAUACAUUCAUAUACUACAAGUUUGUUUGAGAAAUAACAAUAAAACAUGUACAUCUACUAACAAAAUACAUAACUAAAAAAACAAUAAAAUUGACAUUUAAUUAAAUGUUAAAAUUUAAAAAGAUAGAAUUACUUACAAAAAUUGAUAAAAUCCGUCGGUAAAUCAGAACACGGAUGUUGUGACCACAAAACUUCAAGAAAUAUAACUUGUUGUGCUGAUAUGAGGGAGAUUUUUGUUUGGGGGGGAGGGGGGGCUGGUUGUUUGCAGAUGGGGAGAGUUGGGAUUAGGAAGAAGAAGGAGAAAUAGGGGAGGAGAGGGUCGGCAGAGCGGACAUAUAUUAACUUUUCCCGACGGUUUCACCGACGGACACUCCGUCGGUGAAACCGUCGAUGAUUCUGACGGAACAAUCGACACGUCAUCGUACGGAUUUGUCAUUUCAAAUCCCUCGGUGAUUCCGUCAGUAAUAUAAACGGCAAACCGGUCACGUCGCUGUACGGGCUGUCUUUUUGAAUCCGUCAGUGAUUCCGUCGGAAAACAUAACCCGCCAAAACCUCCACGUCAGCGACCCGUCUUGUUUUUUACGACGGACACUAUUCCGUCCGUAAUUCAGUCGGUAACUACCGACGGAAAUUUUUCGUCGGUAGUUACUGACUGAAGUACGGACGGAAUAGUGUCCGUCGGUAAUUUCGACCUCAAAUUACCGACAGACAUAUUCCGUCGGUAAAUCCGUUGCUAUUUAGCGAAUUUCUGGUAGUGAUGAAAUUGAAAAAAAAAUUGUAUAAAAAAAAAGCCAUCCCAUGUUAACCCAAACCCAAGUCAGAAAAAUGUAUUAAAAAAAGAAAAUCUUUCAUUGCUACUUUUAAUAAUAAUUGUUUUUUCAUGUUUUUGUUGAAGGGAAAUAUGACAUUUAAAGAAAUUAAAUACACUUUUUCAUAUUUUUGAGAGUGUUAGACAUAAAAAUAGUGAUGAAAGAUAAAUAAUAAUAAUAAUAGAAAACAAAAAAAGAAUCGAUCGCUAGAGGCAAACCAGAAGCCCGUUGUCGGCACAUACAACACAAUGACAUAGAACACAGAGAGAGGGUUCAAAUGGGCAUUGAGAAAGGGCAGAAUCGGUCAUCAAAAGCUACUGAACAUGCCACCUAAGUGUUGCGACCUCCCCCACUCGUCGGUGCGUCCUACACACACACCACCACUUUUUCCAAUUUUUUUCACCAUCGAGAAAGAUUAUCACCUUAUGACAAGUUAACUUGGCAAAGAAAGGUAAUAACAAUGUUUUGAAAUUGAAGGCGGCAACAGCAGCCAAAAAUAAUUAAUUUAAAACCAUCUACUUAGUACAUAUAAGUUGAUCAAGGGUUGCUAAUUUGUAACGAAUGGCAUACAGUUUUACCAUAUCAACAGCAUGAAAAUUGAUAAUUGAUGUGAAUCCCAAAUCUAUUAUUCUAUUUCUUUAUUAAUUAUCAUAAAAAAAACAUUUAUUAAAGGUGUUGUCCUCCAACUCUCUUUCCAUAAAAAGAAAGAGUUGUGAGCCACCACAUACAUUUGAUCAUGGACAAAAGGUAAUCAAAUAGUUGCCUCCGCUAGGACAAGUAAACGUGCUCGAUUUAUCAUCAAAAGCAUAACUAUAAGCUUGAGGACACUGCUUCUUGAAGAUCAUCGAAUAUUGGUUAGGAGGACAUUUGUCAGGUGUACUGUACUCUCCUGUGCAGCAGAACUGCGGCUGGUUAAAUGCCAAACACGC